CAAUCUUUAAUUUGCAAAGAGCUGGAAGACUCGAAAUUGAAACUGACAAUUCUUCACAUCCUUUAAUAACAAGCUUCUCCAAUGCAGGAAGGUGCUCUGGAAAUGUUCCUUUCAGUUUAGAACAUCUUAAAAUGUGAAGCUCUCUCAAUUUAGGAAACCCUUCAACUCUUUGACUGGAUCCAUGAGGAAUCCAGUCUUCCCAUUCUCGCAUGUUUUCAAAACGAAGAGUCUCCAAGCAUGGAAAAGGAAUUGGAGGAUCAUUCCCAUAGAACUCUGAACCCAACCUCUUUACACUAGUCAUUCCACAUACUGCAAGAUGCUUUAGAGAGGGUAGUUGCCCGACUGACGGCAGGGUAGGACACAUGCCACAAUAUUCAAAUUUUAAGGUCACCAACUUUGAGAAUGAGGAAUCUCCGAACCAAGUUGGAAAUUUUGCACCUCUAUAGCCGCUGAUACAAAAUUGUUCCAAAUUUUUAUUGGGUUCUAGCAUGUCAAGCACGUCCUUUUCAAUUUCCGCCUCCCUUGAAGACGAGCCAUCGGUACUGAGUGUCCAUCGAAGCAAUAAUUCUCUAAGAUUCUUCUUUCCAUCCAAUUGAGCCUCCUUUGCAUCACCAACGUCUUUUACAUUCUCCAAUUUUGAAAUGUUAAGUGUCCCAUGAAGGUGCGUCAACAACUUUAGCUCUCGUAACCCGGAACCACUGCCUUUUCCCACAACAAAAUUACACAACGUCUGAAGACUAGUCAACCUACCAAUUCCUACUGGCAUUUCCUCCAACGACUUCGUAUUUGAAUUCUUAAGAUGAUGCAAUUUGGCGAGGUUUCCCAUGUCUGCACACAACUUCUUCAGCCGAUCACAAUCUUCCAACAAAAGACUAUGCAAAUUGUAAAGCUUGUUGACUGAUUCAGGCAGAGUUCUAAUCUCAGUUGUAGACAGGUUAAGGUACCUUAAAUACCUCAAAUCACCAAUUGAAUCAGGCAGCUCAGGGAUGCAGUAUCCACGCAAAGAGAAGACCCUCAAGCGUCGGAGUUUGAGCAACUUAGGAAGAAUGCUAGGAGCCAAGAAGCCAGGCGAACUUUUUGUCAACAUUACUGGUAAAAAAGUUCUCAAAUGCUGGAUAUCAUACAAGUCCCCAAACCUUUUACCGCCAUCAAAAUAUUCAGGAAUGUAUGAUAGAUGACGAAGAUUUUCGGAAAAACUUUGCUGCUUGUAAAUUUCUGAGGUAUACUCCAUUGUGAAGUAUAUCUCCCCCGCAGCCCAACGGGCAAGGUCAUUGAUAAGAUCGUGCAUCACAAAUCGUGAUGUAUUGUUGCUUAAUUGCUGGAAAAAAGAUCUUGAACGUAGCUCUUGAAAGAACUUUCGACCUAGAACUUCGUUAGGAUUCCCACUCUCUUUAUGAACCAAGAAACCCGAAGCACUCCAUAAUAAAAUUAUCUCCUCCUCUUCAAAUUCAUAAUCCUUCGGAAACAACGAGCAGUAUGCAAAGCAUUGUUUCAAAAUUGGAGGAAGAUAAUAAUAGCUCACUGCAAGAGCUGGUAUAAUGGGACAUCUAUCUUCUGGUAAUUCCCAUAUCUUGCUACUGAGCACAUCUUCCCACACACCUCUGUCAUGUUCUCCACAUAAAAGUCCUCCCAGUGUUUUUGCUGCCAAGGGCAAGCCAUUGCAUUUGAUCACUAUCUUCUUACCAAUGUCCUCCAAUGACUUGUGUGAACUGAAAUCUCUUGUCCCCAAAGAGUGCUGAGCAAACACAGACAGACAAUCCUCAGUUGACAAGUUUUUCAAUUCAUAAGCUUGAUCCGGCCUCAUGAUUUUUGCAACCUGUUGAUUGCGAGUAGUGACAACAAUCUUACUUCCCUGUGCGCCAGCUUCAAACGGACGGCUCAUGUCAACCCAGUCAUUGUAAUUCUCAUUCCAAACGUCGUCUAAAACGAGCAAAAAUUUCUUUUGAGAUAACUUCUUCUUCAGCUCCUCUUGAAGCAAAUUUAAAUCACUGUCAUCAAUAGUCUGCUUGGUAAUGGAUCUUAGAAUUGUUUUUGUUAGCCCCUUAACGUCGAAAUCCUCAGAGACACAAGUCCAUGCCUUGAGAUCAAAAUGAUCCUGCACUCGCUUAUCAUUGUAGACAAGCUGAGCAAGAGUGGUUUUGCCCAGGCCGCCCAUACCUAUAAUAGGAAUAACAGAGAAUCCACCAUCGUUGCUUAAAUCAUCCCUCAACAGCAGUUCAACAACAUCCUUCUUUUCUGUUUCCCUGCCAUAUACUUUGGCUUCAGUCACUAAAGAGGUUGUCUCCAGCCUUUGACUGGCUUUGUUGGACCCUCCAGCUGAACUUUCUUUCAAAUCUAGCAAGUUUUUCUGUGUCACAAUUUCUUGAAAUCUGCUGUUGAUCUCUUUGAUUUUGGACAUCAAGCCAUAAUCGAACUGAAUCGAUUGUGGAGUAAAAGUGGUGCAGCAAGCAGGAAUGAGCUUCCGAAACUUACUUGUUCUGGCACGACUGCUACUGGGUUGAUCAUGAGCAGCAGCUGGUUCUCCAUUUCCAAGCAGCAACAUCCUCCGGAAAGCCUCAGUUUGAAACUCAUCCAACAAGUCUUCAACAUCAUAAGCCAAGUUCUGAAGCUUGCCAAGCCACUUCUUCACAGACCGAUUAGUUGUCUUCUUCUCCUCAGCAUCAUCAAGCACCGCCUUGAUCAUCUCCAACAUAUUCUCCCACUUCAUUAGAUAGUCUUGGAUCUUCUCUUGGCGUGCAAAAAACAGAAUCCCCUCUGAAGCUAACUUAUUGACCAGCAAAUCAACAGAUGCCGUAAGGAUUGCCUCUCCGAUGAUCGACAUUUUUUUUCUUUUUUUUGGGCAAAGGAAGAAAGGAGCAGAAUUAUGGGUUAUGGAAAGCAGAAUGAGAAUAUUGAACGGGUGAGAAAAUGGAUAAUUAAGCGGAAUGAGUUUGUGAUUGUGAAGGGUCUGGUACAGCAAGCUUAGUAGAAAUCACGCGUUUGUACUUUAUUGACCAAUGACUAAAUAAUUUGGCAAUGCACCCACCACCACCACUUGGUGAGCAAAAUGAAAAAGUUUAAUAAGUGGAGGGGUCCAGCAAAAUACGACGUAAAAUGUGGCAAGUCUCCCCACUUGUUGUUCGUUGCAGCUAAGAAAAGAAAAAACAGAGCCCACCACCCAUUAAUAAUUUAGCAAAUCACCAAUCAUCACAAAAUUCCAUUAGAUAUUCGUCGAUCAAGUAGUUAAUCCAGUGUCUGCUACGUAGAGCCUUCACUUUACAAAUCUUCAACUCAUAAACCAAGUUAAAUCAAGACGUUUCUCUCUCUGUAUAUAUUUUUUUUAACUCCUAAAACGUUUCUUUUUAGAAAUAUAUUACUUUAUUCAUCUAAUAUGUUAUCUAACAAAUAGACACAGAUGAAAUCACUCUAAAGUGAAGAUGAAAGGGGAAAAAAAAAACAUUCCAACCACCAAUAAUUUAGCAAGCGUCACUUUUAUUCCACCAAAGUGUAAAUAAAGCCAGCCCCCACCACCAUCGAUAAUUUUGCAAGCUUCACACGCUUGUUGUCUUCUCCUUGACGAACUGGACGGGGUGGACCAAGAAUCAAUGAAAGAAUUUUAAAAAUAAUAAUAAAAGAAAAACAUAAACAUUUUGGACUCAGAGUAGAACCGUAAUUAAUGCUAAAAUUUACUCCGCUAACGUUUUCAAAAUAUUGUUCUUUACAAUUGUACAGCAAAUAAGACUAAGUUUUGGACAUUUUCAUAUUCACUUACUUUCAAAAGCAGUAUUUCGAAACAUUUUACAGAAUCAAGUAACAGUUAUAUAACGAGAAAAGUGCAAAGUUGUGUAAUUCUAAUGUUUAUUUUAUCACUGACACUCAGAUCAUUUUUUAUUUGGGUCGCCAACUCGCCAAUGAACCCAUGAUUGAAUAAGUGUUUAGAAAGAAAAUCAAUAAAAAACAGUUUUUUUUUUGUCGUCGAAAUAUAGUAAGUGAGAAAGAUUAUUCUGUUUUUUUUGUUAAUUAGGUUAGUAAUUAUGAUUGAGUGACUCAGAACUAUAUUCUAGAUUGAGAAUCAAUGGUUCUCCCACACUGAGAGGCUGUAAGUUUAAGAUUGUCGUUUGCUAUUUCAUCAACAAGAGAACACUUGAAUUUAUUAAAAAGAGAAGGCCAUAAAAGUUUUCUUUUAUGAGAAAUGUAUCUGAUCAUUCCUUUUUACUUGAAAAUUUCAUAUAUAAAAACUCAUUAAUAAAUGACAGAAUAUACAUAAAUUAUUAAUUCAUUUGAUAGUUGAUUAUCGAAGGACAUGUGACCCAUGGGAGCAUGCAGACUAUAAAAUAAUUCUUUUUUUUAUUAAACAAAAAAUCGGUGAUGUUGAAAAGCAAUAUUAAUUCGACUGAUAAUUGGGGUGAACAUUCAUAAAAAGAAUGCCGUAUGAAACUAAAUUAUUAAUUCGUUUGACAUGUGACCCACAAUAAAUAGUUAAAUUUGGCGGCAACAAUAAUUACAAGACGAACUUAAAGCAGCGCAUAGGUUUUUCUUAAAAAUACAUAAACAAUUCGAUAUUUGAAAUUCUAAUAUCUCAAUAAUCUAGUUAUCCUGUAUUUAGAUCCACAUACAAUUUCUUUUUUUCUUUUUUCUGAUUUCCAAUCGUUACCAAAAGAAAAUAUUUAGUGAUCCCUUUUAUCAACUUGGUUUUAUUGACUUUCUUCCAAUCAUAGAAGUGAAAAGAGAAACAGAGGCCAGCACCAAUAAGUGUUGUGUUACCAGAUUCUGUAAAGACAAAAUCAGUGCCCAGCAAAAAGAAGCAAUGUUUUCGUUAUAUGCUGCUUCCUAUUUAGUACAUGCAUAUAAAGAUAUGCACGUGCACAUGCAGCACAUCUAUCUAAAAUUUAAAAAAAGUAAUUAGAAAUACAGGAAUUAUGGUAGAAAUAUAACAGGAAUAAGAGUGAAAUUACAAUUUUAAAAUUUGGGAGAAAUGAAAUGCGAUAUUUUUUUUAUGAAUAAAAUAAUUUAAUUUUUUUUAAUUCUACCAGCAAAAACCAUUAACUUAUCAAGUUAUUGGUUUCAUUCACAGUUAACAGUCGGUUUCUUAGUUUCAUUCCUUAAUUCUACAAGAAAAAAACAGAAUACUUGACAUUUACUAUUUGACAAUUUUUAAGAAAUGUCAAGCAUAUAUGACAUUUUGUGAAAAACUGAGUAAUUGUGAAAUAUAAAUGACAAUUUAUUUAAACGUCAAAUAAUUGUGACGUUUUAUCAAAUAAAUGAUAAAUAUAUUACAUAUUUAUUAAAUAAUUAUCAUUUACCUUUUCCUUUUAUUGACUUGAGAAAAAAACAAAAACAUUGACUAUACUGCUUUUGUUUUCGUUCUUAGAACAGAUUUUAGUUUCUUUUGAGAAAAUUCAAACUCAUUCCCAUUACUUUCUUUUCAAUAAUCACCUCUCAGUUUUUCAUCAAUCACUCAAUACCGAAUUACAUCUCCAUUCUCUUUCGAAGAAGAACGCACGAAGAAUUUUAGCUUGCUUUCGCUGCUUCUCGAAUAUUGGGUAUUGUUUCCUUUAAUUUAGAUAAUUUUUUUUUUUAUAUCUCUCUUUCUAGUUUGAUAAUUUAUGGUUAUACUUGAAUUAAUUGUAUUUUUAAUCAACCAAGGUUGAUUUAAUUGAUUCCAAGUCUCAAUUUCCUGUUCAACAAACAAGGAACGCACAAAUAAUUUUCAUUUUCAUACUCAAUUUUGAAAGAAUCAAUUUAUUUUAUCUUUGGUUAGUACACUUCUGUUCAAUUUUUGUUUAUUUAACUUAAGAUAUCUUUUUCUUUCUUUUCUUCAAGCAGAUUAUAGAUUAUAUUGAGAACAGAGCUUUCUCCUUAAUUCCGCCAAGAGCAACGUUGAUUUCAGGUGAUAAUUGAAUGUGUAAUAUUUUCAAUUGAAAUUAAUUGAGUCUCGUAAUAAUAAUAGGGAUUUGAGAUUUACAUCCUGUUGAAAUGAUUUUAGAGUGUUUUGCUAUUUGAAUGCGUAUUAAUUGUUCCUCUGUUUCAAAUCCAAAUCCACUGGUCUACUAUUCAUUAUGACAAUGCAUAUGCCGAUAUUGUCUUCCAUCCUUUGUGUACCUUUCAAUUUAGUGAGGUUUAGACAGGGGUUCCAGAUUUGGUAAAUCAACAAUCACCAGAUAUGUAGAGCGGCCGGAAGAGGAAGCAUGGUUCCUAAUCCUAAUCUUGAUUUAGAGCAGAUUAGGUAACAUGUGACAUUCUACAUUCUUGCAAUGCCAUUUCUUGUUAUGGCAGCGGCAUUCUUGGUCAUGGCAUCACAAGCAAAUGCUUUGAUUUGAAGACUUGCUUGGCUAUGAAAAAUAAGGAGAGCAAAGGUAAUUAAUCUUGGUGUGAUCAACAUUUUUAUGGGGGUACUAAGAAAAAUAAAGAUAAUAUAAGGAAUGUUGUUGAGGAGUAUUUUCAUAUUUACACAAGUAUUCAAAGUAAAAAUUGAUUUCUUAAAACCCAUUAGCUAGCGCACAUAAUAAUGGGGAGAAAAUUUUAGACUACGAAUGGUCCCGCCCAUUUAAUAAUAUUCUUCAAUCAAUUAUGUUUACUUCAAAAAAAAAAAAACCUAUCUCUUUAUUACUUUCUAACUAUUCAUAUUAAUGUGUUAAUAAUUAUGAAGAACCGGUGUAAUUUAUAUGAUGUAGGAAGCACUUUAGGCAAAAUCAUUUGAAUCUCAAAAUUUCGUGAUAUUGUGCCAAAUAUCGAAAACAGAGCUUCCUAUCACAGAAAUUAGGAAUCACUGGAGAGUAGAGUUACGUGACUGAAUAGUAUCAUAUCACAGAAACUCAAAACUCAAAAGUGCAAUAACAUUGAACAUUCAGCUGGCUAGCUUAUAUUGAUUAAUUAAUACUACUACUAGUUCUUUAUGAUUAAUUAAAAGAUAAAAUAUUUGACAAUCACGAAACAUUAUUCCAUCACUGAAGAGUAGAGCUUCCUACAUUGUUACCCAAGCUCUUUUAUAUCUCCCAAACAUUAUUAGAGUCCCACAUUUGUGGGCACAUCAUUAAGUAAAAUGUGCCAAUUAGGAAGAACUGGCUUCUUUGUUUUGUUUUCUGGGAUGUGUUGCAAUUUUCAAGUAUCAUUCAAAAUUUUACACCAUCAACACAGGAAAAUUAUAUAUAUUCUGUCAGCACUUGCAUAUGUUGCAAGUGCUGACAGAACUUUUCAUUUGAUUUGAUAAUUGGCUAAGGGUGAUUUCGAUAACGUUUCCAAAGAAGACAUAGAACAAAGAUCAAAAAGAAAAAUAAGUAAUUUGAUCAGUCGAUGCAAAAAAUGAGCGAGCUUCGUAGUCUGACUAACAGGAAAUGGCUUGGAGCAAGGAUCAAUGGACAAGUUUGAGGUUUAUGAAUAAACAGAACAGAGGAAAUAAGUGAUCAAUUUAUUACUUCGUGCAAUGGCCACAGCAACAGCGAAAAUAUGUCUACAUGACUACAUUAUCCGACUGGCAUGGUACUAUAACCGUGCAGCAUUACACUAACAUUUCCUUAUCAAUCAAUUUUGAUGGUAUGAUAUUAAAAACAUAGAUUUCAUAAUUUUAUGUAAUUCAAAGAAAAGAUAUAAUUGAUUUGAGUUAGUUUAACAUAUAAGGAAAGAGUAAUGGGGAAUGAUGUUGAUGUGGCAUGUGAUGAGUAAAGAUAGACAACAAAUAUUGAUCGUGUAAUAAUGAAAUAUGUAUUUAUUGAAAAUAAAUUGACAAUUAAAAUUAAUAGAUAUAUAUCCAAUGCAUCGAGUUUAUUUUAUCACUUCGCUAACCAUUUUGUAACUACAUGUUAAUUAGAAGUUCAAUUAAUUUUGACCAAAGACUCUAGAGAAUGUCGAAAAGAGAUUUGAUUUUUGUCUUAAAAAAAAUUAGAAAUGAAAUAAGUCAAAAUCAAUCACAAGAACAACAACAAGAGCAUAUUUUAUAAAACCACAAAUACAUAAUAUAAAUUUAGUUUCGAAUUAGAUAAUUAUUAAUUUGUAUUGUAAGAGAGUCUUAUAGAAAAAUAGGAAUUUUUUAAAAGGAGAUUUGCUUAAGGAACAACUUUAGUUAAUGGAAGGAAAUACAAGUUUGAUUUUGACAAAGUAAUCACUAAAAUAUUUGACAAGUUUGAGAUGUUAAAAAACUGGAAAAAUAGACAAAUAAUGAAAACCCUACAAGUUGGCAAAGCGAAUAAACAGAGGAAAACAGAGCAAAUAUUUACCGUUAUACAUAUAUUUUUUUAUUUUUUUCCGAAAAAGAAUGUUGCGAUAUUUUUUCCCAAAAAGAAGCACAGUUUGAUAUUACUACCAAAGAACUUUAGCUACCAUAUAUAAGCACGUGUCUAAUUACCAAAUGAAUUCCGCUAUAACAAAGAAUAAAAGCUAAUUUCAUUGAUGGCAUAUGUCGUGCUUUCUUUUCUUUUAUUUUAUUGAAGUUACUUUGUAAACUGCUCCAAGCUAAAUACAAAAUUUACUCUUACACUAGGAUCUUUGCAAUGGUCCAGCAAUUUGUAUUUCCAUUCGGUGAGGUUGGUUUUUUUCUUUAAAGUUGGGAAGUCCAUGUUUGCCAUCAAGAGUACGAUUAAAGAAGAGAUGUUACAAUACACAAAAAGGAAAAAAAAUGCCCAAGGAAGCUUGGGACACUUUUGCAAUGAUUUUUUUUCAAUGAAGAAUAACACACAACUACAACUUUUGGACAAUGAGUUACAGUCAAUUUCACAGCAAAGCAACUUCAAUAACCGCAAAAUUUUUGGGUUAGAUCCUACUGUUGCAAUUUCUGAAUCCAGAAUGAAGAGAAUUAUUAUCCAUAGCUUGGUCAUAUACAAUAUGUGUGUGCGUGUGUGUAUGUGUGUGUAUUGGGAUGUCACAGGCCCUAAAAGAUACAGCUGAACAUCAAUCCUAAAUCUAAAGUGAAAAACAGUAGCUAGAACAUAAUCUUUGUUUUGAUGUCUUUGUUUAUAAGCUCAAACAAUUGACAGUAUAGAAAAUGCAUGAUAGAACAUAGAACUCAUAUUUUAGCAAUAAUCCUAAGCUCACUGGCCCUUAGUUCAAACUGGCAGUUCUUAUUAGUCAAAGAAUCAAAUUGACUUUUAGUUGUAUAUAAGUAGAGCACUAGAUCAACAAAUAAUUGAAGACUUGCUUGGCUGUGGAACCAUAGGAAGGCAAUUCGUGAACAGCCUUGAUAUUUCAUUUGGUUUUAUUUAAUUCUUUGUAAAGUCGUAUUGUAUGUAAAAUUUUUGUUAAAUGAAAUCGGUAUGUGAAGAGAAUUUUUAAAAGCAACCAUCAAAGUCACGAUCAAAGGGACGAAAUCAGUAUAAAUAUUGAUUGUCUCAAGUUAGAUUAUACAAAGAUGAAAUAAUUCUAAUCUAGAAAAUUCGAUCAUUAUAAUUUGAUUUCCAUUAUAUUAAUUAUGUUCAAUCUUGCUAUUUUAAUGAAGAACACUCGAGGAUUUAUAUACACUCAGCUUAUGAAAUUAAUUACAAAACGAUCUUUGACCAAGUCUGAUGAAAAGAUCAUAUUAUAAGUGCAAAGUUACACUUCCCGAUCAUGCAACUAUCCAUCGAAUUGUGUAUUGUGUUAUCGUUGAGCUCUUAGGAAGAUUCAGCUGCUGAGGAGAAGAUGUAAUCUGUUUUUAUGUGACAAGCCAUGUACUCUGCUUUUAUGGUGUUUCUCUUGGUAGUUUUGGACAAAACUGUAAUGUAAAUUUCUAUCUUAAGGGAUUCCUAAUCCUUUUAGUUAGUUUGGGAUUGUUGAUUUAUCUAUGAUGUUUGGUAUCCAAAAUUCAGGUGAUGAUAAUCUUCGCAGUACUUUUGUCAAAUUUUCUUUUAUGUUGGUGUUGUUUUAAUUAAAUAUCACAAAGGUGCAAAAUGCGGUAAAAUUAACAUUGAGCUCAUGAGAUUGCCAUUAGAUAUAUUGAAAAAGAAAUUGAUACAAGAAACUGAAAAUUAGUUGUUAAUUAUGAUGGGAAUAUAAUCUUUGAAUUAUAAUUAUAUCUAUCUAACGCAUGUGCACUAAUCUUAUUUAUCUCUAUCACUGAAAAAGCAGAGUGGCCUGAUUGAAUAGUAUCAUAUUAUGUCACAGCAAUCACAAAAACUCACUCAACAUUAUGCUAAUUUAUACUAAUUAAUUAAUACGACUAACAGGAAAAGUUGGAUCUCGCCUUGCUAAAAAUCAGGUGAUUGUUUUUCAUUUUUGCGGCUACUUGACUCAAUUAUGUUAUUGCAAGAGGAGAUUUCUAUUUUGUCCGGUUUAAGCCAUAAGAUGGGUUUUAAGAUUCAUUCUGAUUGGUUAUCUGUUAGCUUUUUGUUUUAAGAACUUCUUAUUUACGAAAGCCAAAUUCUUCUUUCUAGGUUUAUUCAUAUUCAGAAGUUGCUUUUGUCAUAUCAGAAGAAGAGGCUAAGACUGUUGAAGUACUAGAAGGGACUACUGCGCUGAUUGCCUUUUUCAUGGGCUUCUAAUAUCCAAUGUUGAUUAUCUCUUCCAUUUGAACAUGAGAGUAAAAAGAUAGUUGAUAUUUAUGUUACAAAAGUUGGAAGCGACUUAAGCAAUUCAGUAUCAUGCGAGGACUAUAAUAAUAACCCCGAUUAUUUUGCCUCUUGGAUUUUUUUGUUAAUUCACUUGCUUUAUGCUUAUCCGACCUCUGAUUUUUUCUUAAUAUUUCUUUGUAGUUCACUUCACAGCACUUAUAGCCGCUGCAUUGGCAUUUUCUGCUAUUUGUUAUUGUUCAUUGAAGCUAGUUAGUUUACGAAAUUUCUUUUUGAUAAAUCUUCUUCAGAGGGUUGUGAGAGGCCAAAUCAAUUGAGAUGACCGGGUUUUCUAGAUCAGCCAUCUUUGUCGUCAACAGUGCUAAACUGUCAAUUACUGAGACACCAAACUCUAACCCGAUUCAUAUGGAUGUAGACUAAAGCUUCUUGCCGAUACCAUCCCAGUCAAAGCUGCUAUCUUUGAAAGUUUCGCAAGACAAAACAACGUUGGUUUCCCAGUCGACACAAAUACAGAUUUCAUAUGUGCAGAUUGCUCUCAAUCUCUGUUUAAUAAGCUAGUCCUCUGCUGUAUCCUAGAAGGUGGAACAAUACAUUAUGCUUCCCAGCAGGCUCCAAUGGGAUCUAUAUAUGUUUCUGCUGCCAAAUUUUUGAAAGCGAUCAUUGUGAAUAUCGCUGCCCAGUCUGAAGUGGGCUUUGAUACUUGUGACAAUACUCCAUCGAGGCUGUAAAGAAGCCGUGGGUGUACAUUUCUGGUCCAACAAUCAAUCUAACUGGCUUACUUUACAGCAACAAAGAGAUAGAAAAUAUAUUAACUGCUUGUGCAGAAUAUGGAGCAAGAGCUUAUUUAGUGUCGUGUCAAAAUAAAUAUAACAAAGUUUAAGCUGAAUAUAAAUUGUUAAUUACAGGCAGAGCAAGUUGAGUUUAAAAAAUGCGAAGCACCCAGUCCCAAAACAGAGAAGCUUGACGUUGGCCGGCAGGAUUAAUAUUAUUUUUUUUAACAACAAUCAAAGCCAGUCGGGAAUUUAUUAAGAGGUUAAUUAGUUGAAGUAUAAAAAAGGAAUUAGCAGGAUUCACGCCCGACCAAAUCCACAUGGCCAAAGCAAAGGAUUAAGUUUGAGAGAUUAUAAUGAAAUAUAAGUAAGCUUCGCACAUGCAUGCGUCUGACUGACAGAACAAAUGAAGGAAACAUAAACUUAUCAUUUUUAAGAUGUAAGCAUCAAAACAUUCGACAAGUUUGAGGUUCGUGAGAUAUUGGGAAAAUAUACAAAUAAUAAAGCCACUACAAGUUAAGCAGAGCAAAUAAACAGAGGAAAUAACUGAUCAAUUUAGUUCUUUGUGCAAUGGCCACAGCAACAGAGAAAAUAUGCCUACACGACUACAUUAAUCCUACUGGCGUGGUACUAUCACCAUGCAAAUUAACAUUAACAUUUCAUCAUCAAUCAGUUCUGAUGACAUGAUAUCAAAAACAUUGAUUUCAUAAUUUUAUGUAAUUUCAUAUAAAAGAUAUAUAUAGUUUAUUUGAGUUAGUUUAAAAUAUGAAGAAAGAGUAAUGGGGAAUGAUAUCGCUGUAGCGUGUGAUGAGUAAUGAUAGACACCAAAUAUGGAUCAUGUAAUUAUGAUAUAUGUAUUUACUGAAACAUAUUUGGCAAUAAAAUGAUGCUUUAAAAAUUUAAUAUUGUUUGCUUGAAAAUAAUUUGACAAUUAAAAGUAAAAGAUGUAUAUGCAAAACUUUGACCUUAUUUUAUCACUUCACUAACCAUUUUGUAAGUACAUCUUAAAUCGAAGUUCAAUUAAUGCUGACGAAAGACUCCAGAGAAUGUCGAGAAGAGAUUUGAUUUUGGUAUACCAAAAAAUUACAGAUGAGAUAAGUUAAAAUCAAUUACAAGAACAACAAAAAGAAUAUAUUUUAUAAAAGCCACAAAUACAUAUAAUAUAUAAUCAGUUUCGAAUUAAGUAAUUAUUAACUUAUAUAGUGAGAAAGUGUUAUAGGAAAGUUGGAAUUUUUUAAAAGAGAUUUGCAAAGGAAAAAGUUUAGUUUAGUUUAGUUUGCGAAGGCUCAAGUAAUUCAAAGCAAUUAGCAAUGCAAUUGAAGGAAAUAUAAACUUCUAAUUUUUACAAAGUAAUCGCUAAAAUAUUUGACAAGUUUGAGAUUUUCAAAAAGCUGAAAAAAAUAGACAAAUAAUGGAGACCCUACAGAUUGGUAGCGCAAAUAAACGGAGGAAAAUAUGGCAAACAUUUAUUUUUUCCAAAAAGAAUAAAAGCACGUGUCUAAUUACCAAAUAACUUCACUUUAAAAAAUAAUAAAUGCUAAUAUCAUUGUUAGCACAUGUUGUGCAUUUUUCAUUUAUUUAUUUGCUAUUACUUAUUGAAGUUACUUUGCAAACUGCUCCAAGCAAACUACAAAAUUUCUUAUCACUCUAGGAUCUUUGCAAUGGUCCUGCAAUUUGCCUUCCUUUCUAUUAGGUUAGCUGUUUAUUCAAAAGAAAAAAAAUUGGGGAAAUGGAAACCUCACCCUCUUAAUACAGAUUUUGAAUUUUAUUAUUAUUAUUCAAAAUUAGAUAACUAUGCAAAUAAUGGGCGGUUAUAACCAGUGAAACUGUGUCUAGCUACGACGCAGGUUUAAUUUUCUCUUGAUUAAAUAUAUAAACAAAACUAAAUCACCUGAGCCUCUGGUUUCACUAUUUUUCAACUUGAAAUUAAAACGCAAAAAUUGAUGGUAUUGGAGUUCGUUGUUUAGUUUUGCUGUAGGUCAUGGGGAAUCAAAUAGCCAUCCAUUUUUAAGUCUAUUUUAUGUACUAUUGGUCACUAAGUAUUGGGAUGUCAUAGGCCCUAAAAGAAAAAGCUGAAAAUCAAUCCCCUAUCUAAAGUGGAAAACAGUAGCUAGAACAGAAUCUAUGGUUUGAUGUCUUAGUGUAUAGGCUUAAACAAUUAAUAGUAUAGAAAAUGCAUGAUAGAAUUCAUAUUUUAGCAAUAAUCCUCACCUCACUGGCCGUUAGUUCAGAAUGACAAUUCUUAUUAGUCAAAGAAUCAAGAUGAUUUUUAGUUGUAUAUGAAUAGCGCAGUAGAUCAACAAAUAAUUGAAGACUUGCUUUUGCUAUUGAACCACGCGAUGGCAAUUCGAAGACUACAGCUUAGCUCUGCCAUUCGAAGUAAGCAAAUCAGCUGCCCAAAGACUGCCAAGCCAUCAAGACAAUACCAAGAUACAACAUCAAGAAUUACAUACAGGCCGUCACAUAUUACAUUUCUCCUCUGUUUUAAGAGAGAUUUACGAGCCCAUGCAGUAGAAGUAAUUAAUUAAUUUAUACAGUUCAGUACUCAUUCCUCCUCUGUUUCAAAUCCAAAUCCACUGCUCUGCCAUUUAUUAUGACGCAGGGUAUAUGGGUUAGCAAGUGUCGAUAUUGUCCUUCAUCCUUUGUGUACCUUUCUUCUAACAAGGGACAGCACGAGAUCUCUAAUCACAAAAGAGAGGCAGGCAGGCCGUUCGCUGGAAAGUACUUGAGCUUGGGACAAUUACAGAGUUUCAAUGAAAUGAGGUUUUGAUGAUCAACAAUUGAAGAAGACAGGCGUUCCAAAUUUGGUAAAUCAACAAUCACCAAAUAUGCUAGAGUGGCAGGAAGAGGAAGCGUGGCUCCUAAUCCUAAUCUUGAUUUAGUAUUGCGUAUGUAACAUGUGGCAUUCUACAUUCUUGCAAUGCCAUUUCUUGUUAUGGCAGUAGCGUUCUUUCACCAUGGCAUCGCAAGCAAAUAUUUGACUUGAAGACUUGCUUUGCCAAGAAAAAUAAGGAGAGCAAAGGUAAUUGAUUUUGGUGUGAUGAAUAUUUUUAUGGGUGUUCUAAGAAAAAUAAAGAUAAUAGAAGUAAUGUUAUCGAGGAGUAUUUUGAUAUUUACAAAAGUGUUCAAAGAAAAAAGUGAUUUUUUGAAAUCUAUUUGCUGGUGAACAUAAUAAAAUGGCAUUCCGACUUCUGCGUAAAUUUAAAACUACAAAUAGUUUUACUCUUUUAAUAAUAUUCUUCAAUUAAUUCUGUUUCUUUCACAAUAAAAAAUCCAUCUCUUUAUUACUUUCUAACUAGUCAUACUAAUGUGUUAAUAAUGAAGAACCAGCGUAAUUUAUAUGAUAUAAGAAGCCCUUUAGCACAUUAACCCGAAUUUAGCUAAUGCAUGUGCCUAAUAUAGCGAAAUCAACAUUCGGCUCAUUAGAAUGCCAUUAUAUAUACUGAAAAAGAAAUUAAUACAAAAAAAAACUGAAUAUUAAUUGACACUGGAUCAUGUUGGAUUGUUAGUUGUUAAUUAUGAUGGGAAUACAAUUUUCAUCUUUUGAUUAUCCGCUAACUAAUGCAUGUGCACUUUCAUUUGUGUCUAUAUAUACAAAAACUUGUAUCCCAUGGUUUACAUAUGUAUGAAGAUAAUGUAAUAAAGUGCUUUUGAUAAAUUCCCCUGGUCUGUUUACUUCACUAAUUCAUUAAUGUGCAAGUCCUCUAUAGAGCUGUGUUGUGCGUACAAGUUUUGCUACAUGAAAUCGUUAGGUGAGGAGAAUUUUUAAAAGCAUACAUCAAAGUAAUGAUUAAAGGGACAAAAUCAACAUAAAUAUUGAUUAUCUUGAGUUAGAUUACACAAAGAUGAUAAUGUAGUAAAUUUAUCAUAAUACACUACUAAAAAAUGCAUUUUAAUGACACAAAUUUUAUGACAUACAUCUUUAUGUCAUGAAAAUACUUGCAUGAUGUAUAAUGCUUCUGUGAUUAUUUGAUGAUAAAUUCAUAAUUGAUGCAGAUACAAAAUGAAGUGAUGAUAGGUAAAUAUCAUGUGAUUUUUUUUAUGGGUAAGAAUAUUUGAACCCACCAAAUUACUCUUUAAACUUACUUUUUUAUUGAUAAUUUUAUUACAAAAUUACUGANNNNNNNNNNNNNNNNNNNNNNNNNNNNNNNNNNNNNNNNNNNNNNNNNNNNNNNNNNNNNNNNNNNNNNNNNNNNNNNNNNNNNNNNNNNNNNNNNNNNNNNNNNNNNNNNNNNNNNNNNNCCGCAAAACUCAAUCAAAGUAUGCUUAUUUUCUUCUUCUGCACAAGUGUAGCAAAGUUUUUAAUAAGUUCCUCCUUCAUCCACAGUUGAGAACUUUCUAACUUUUGUUUCUUGUUCUAGUAAUUUGGAUAUGCUGUGUUAGAUACUGAAUUUAUUAAAUUUCUUCUUCUCUUUUGAAUAAAAUCUCUUUAAAAUUCAAUCCAUAAAAAAAAAAUUAAUCUCCUUAUAAUUUAAUAUGUUUCGGCUGUCUUAGUGGAAUGAUGCAAUUUGUGUCAAUCAAAGUUUUGAAGCAUCCUAAAUUAUAUAUUUUUUUGUUUAAUUUGUUUAGAGUUCAAUUGUUUAGAUCUAGGCUAAUUUUUAUUGAUAAUAUUUAUGAUUAAAUUAUAUGAGUAUGCUUAAAUUUUUUUUUCCUUCAAAUUUAUUUUCUGAUGUUGCAUUUGGUUAGCAAAAAGAUAAAAAUAGUAGAAAAUGUCCGAAUUAUUGUUAUGAAAAUGUUGUUUUAGUCUGAUAUUGGGAAAAUAUCCUUAUACAUAUCGGCAUGAUAUUCAUGGGAGACCAAAUUGAGAAUGAUGGCAGACUAUGCAUUGCUCACAACUAAUUUAAAACUCACUAUUUCUAUUGUUUGUGUUUUAGUAACUUUGGGGGAAUUCCAACUAUAGUUAAUAAGCUAUAAACUUGUUUAGGAUUACUAAUCAACUUGCUAGAAAGAGUUGCAAACUAAUUAGCUUUCUCUUAUAACUUUUACAGAUCAUCUGUGGAGGAGAACUGCAAGGAGUUGAAGACUCUAGACCCUAAACUUCAUAUCUUGAUUUAUAAGUGCAAUGGCCAUAAGUCCGAAUUAUGGGCUGGAGAUGGUAUAUGUAAUCUUUCUGCUCUUGGUGUUUUUUUUUUUUUCCCCUCUAGUUAUUUUUUGCUCUCUACUCCAUUGUAUAUUUGUAUUCAAAAGUAUUUUUUUCUUUGUUUUAAGCUUUCAAAUUUAUGGAGAUGAUCUUAUUAGGUGUUAAAAAAAUAGUUGUAGAGCUUUACUAAAACUAUGUAAACUCUUAUUGAGAUUUGGGUUUGAUUUUGUAAGAUUGCUAAAAAUUUCAUAUUUUAUACUUGUUUUAUACUUUUCUAGUCGAAUUUCUUGCUUGUGGAAGAUAAAAUAAAAGUCCAAUUCAUGUUGUAAAAUUUUUUUUUCCUCCCUUUUUUCUUCCCUUAUAAUCUGGCUCUGGUUUUGGUGCAGUUUAUGGUUUCAAUGCAGGGAACCAAUUUCAUCAGAAUCAUCUUAAAGGAUCAAAGUGGCUUCCUUUUGUAACUGGGUAAGUCAAUGCUACUUCCUGAAUUCGAUUUGGAGUUCUUUCGGAAUAGAUUUCCUUCCCUUACAUCACUUGGCUUCUAGUUGCAUCUUCUUGGCUUUCUCCAACGGACUUUUUUAUUGGCAAAUUCGUUUGUUUCUAUUGUUUUCAAGUGCUAGUGCUGGAUUUGGAGGUAUGAAUGGUGCCUUCAUUUUUAUUUUUUUAAUUUUCUUUUGGGUGUAUAGUACUGUAAUAUACUUCUUUGUAUAGCUAGUACAAAAUAGUUCUUUAAUUUUAUUUGUCAUGAUUUAUUUCUAUUGCCUGGUGAUGACACCCAUCACGACUUAGUAGUCGUGAAUAAAUCGAAAAUCAAAUUGCACUGGUUUUUACCGGUUAUCAACAAUUGUGAUGUUUUGAGAUUAUAACAUACUUGACAACGCCGACUAGCGUUCUCUCCUAUGUGAAUUGGGACAAAAAUUAUUUUCCCAAUCACGCUUUCGUUUGAACAAUUCCACUUCAGAUAUAUAAAAUAAUGAUGAAAUUGUGUUUUAAAAUUAGUUACGAGUAAUUGGUUCAAUAUUAAUACAAAACUAUUUUAAGUAACACGUGGCAUAUUCUAAUUCCAGUGAGCUUCUAACUCAGAUUCCCAAAUCAAAAGAAACGUUUCAAUUUUCUCCAGAACGUUCUGCAAAACAUUUCUUCGAGUCUCUACGUUGUGCUAGAAUUUUCUCUCAGUUUCUUUUCCAUAGACUUCUAAAAAACUGUCCAGAUACCGAGAUAUAAUCCAAUCUAAGUGUACAUAUUGUAAGAAAAACGAUACACAGUGAGAUAACAAUUUAAAUAGUAGCUAAUUUAAACAACAAUGUAAACUAGCAAUGGGAAACAACAAAUGAAGAACUGAAGAGAAAGGAGACCAAAACAGAAAUAUAAACCCGAGGCCUGCGGACAGUUUCCUUAAACAUAUUUACCCCCUCUUGGAGUGCUUUAGGUCAGCUGGUAUCUGUUUCCCAGGAUACAACAGGCACGAAUUUUCGGCUAAGCACAGGCUAGAAAUUCUGGCGAACCACAACAACGAGCUCGAUCAGAGAAAACAGACGACGAAGAUGGAGGAAGGAAAAUAAGUGUGCUGGUUUUUUCAGUGUGCAAAAAAACAGAAGAGGAGAUGCCUUUUUAUAGUCAUAUGAGGAUGUAACAGCUACUUUGUAUUGAAUUUCUGAAUUCAAUAUAUUUUAUUUAAUUGUUAUAACAGCCAAAUCAAUUCAAUGAAUUGAUUUCAAAAUUGAAUUAAAAAAAACGUGAAUUAUAUAACAGCUAAAAAUAAUUGUUGAAGCUGUUACAAAUCCUUUGAAUUCAAACGUGAAACUGUUACAAUAAAAAAAAUUUUAAAAGGAAAUUAAAAACAUGCCAAGCUUGCAUGGAUGAUUUUGGGCUGACAUUCGCGUACGCAGACGAGUUCAACCAAAUUGGUCAUGGAUUUGCACCCCCCUGCACACGCGCACGUGGAGAGAGCCUCUAUCCUUAUAAUUCUUGAACAAGCAUGGUUAAGUGUUUAUAUAUAAACACUAAUCCCUAGGCUUCUUUUUCCCAUGUGGGAUAAGCCUAAUUUCUUUUCAAAUUUCCAACUUCAAAGGUGAACUUUGAGAGACAAUUUCUCAUUCACCCAAGCACCAUUUUGAGAAAAUAAGAUUAUACUUUUGAAGUAUCAAAGGAGUAGAAUCCGAACCUCACAAGAUUUUCCACUUUCGUUAAGUGGGACCCACUCAAAAUAUGCCCUCAAAAUAGCAUCUAUAUAUGCUAUUUUUUCAACAAUCCCCCACAUGAAUGAAAAUUGGCAGUAAAACAAAAAACCGCUAUAUUUUUUUUACAUCAAAACCAUUUUUGACCUUAAUGAUUGAGUUUAUUGGAUUGAUACCUAGCACAUGAUAGGUUGGUGUUAUCCUUUUAACCUUCCCUUGUAAUAGUAUAAUUACUUUACUGGCUGAUCAGUAGACGCGAUGUCUUUGAACUGUGCGGCCGUUAGUGUAAACGAUCAUAUACUACACAUAGGUAUUUCUCCUAACACUGUUGAGUUCUCAUGGUUAUGUUCGUUUUGGCCUUGAACAUCUACCUGGUUCUGCAAGAGUUUCUAAGAGCUAAACCCAUCAUAGCUCCCUUUGAAGCGGCCCCACUUCUCUCUCACAUAGGUGAUAUCUUAAUUAAAAGUAACCCGCAUUACUCCGCUCGAAUUUUCCGACGCAUAAGAAUCAUUAAGAGCCUAGCUCAACCUUAUUCCCCACGAGCAUCAUUGUUUCAUAAUAUGAAUGGUCAAUGAGGUAAUCUUCUCAAGAGAAUAAACCCCACAAUAAUCCAACUUUAGUCUUUAACAAAUAGGUUGUUCAAUUGAACCUAGAUCUUGGGAUCUCCAGUCUACUAGGUUGGGUUUUCCUUCGUUAUUGACUAAUCAAUCUAUGAGUUUUAAUCCCAUUCCCCUCGAUGAUUUUUCUACUAGCUCUCUAUUUAACCCUUUGGUUAGCGAAUCCGCAAUGUUAUCCUUUGACCUCACAUAGUCAAUAGAAAUAACUCCAGUAGAAAUAAGUUGUCUAAUGGUAUUAUGUCUAUGACGUAUGUGUCUAGACUUACCAUUAUACAUAUUGCUUUGUGCCCUACCGAUAGCUGAUUGACUAUCACAAUGUAUACAAAUCGAAGGCACAUGCUUUGGCCACUUUGGAAUACCUUUUAAAAAAUUGCGUAGCCAUUCUGCUUCUUCACCACAUUUAUCUAAUGCAAUGAAUUCAGAUUCCAUUGUAGAUCUAGCAAUUACUGUCUGUUUAGAAGAUCUCCAUGAUACAGCUGCACCUGCUAGUGUAAAUACAUAGCCGCUAGUGGAUUUUGAAUCUUUUACAUCUGAUAUCCAGUUAGCAUCACUAAAUCCUUCUAAUACUUCUGGAUACCUAGUAUAGUGCAGUCCAUAAUUACGAGUGUAUCGAAGAUACCUAAGUACUCUUACGAUAGCUUUCCAGUGAUCAGUUCCUGGAUUACUCGUAUAUCUACUAAGUUUACUUACCGUAUAGGCUAGAUCUGGUCUGGUACAACUUGUUAAGUACAUCGGACUGUCUAUUAUUCUAGCAUAUUCUACUUGAGAAAAACCCUCUUCUCUAUUUUUCGAUAAAUGGAUACUAGUAUCUAAUGGAGUUUUAGACAUAAUAUUAUCAUUUUUAUUAAAUUUUCCAAGAAUUUUAUCUACAUAAUGAUUUUGACUUAGAAUAAGUCCAUUAGAAGCCCUUCAGAUUUUAAUUUCCAAAAUGACAUUUGCAAGACUCAUGUCUUUCAUGUCAAACUUAGACUUCAACAUAUUCUUGGUAGAUUUAAUCAUGUCAUCAUCACUUCCAACAAUGAGCAUGUCAUCAACAUAUAAACAUAAAAUGACAUAGCCAUUUUCCGUUUCUUUGACAUAAACACAUUUGUCACACUCGUUGAUUUUAAAACCACUUGUGAUCAUCAUAUGAUCAAAUUUCUCAUGCCACUGUUUCGGUGCUUGCUGCAAGCCAUAUAAUGACUUUACCAAUUUACAAACUUUCUUUUCUUGUCCUGGAGCUAUAAAACCUUCAAGUUGCUCCAUAUAGAUUUCUUCAUCUAAAUCUCCAUUUAGAAAAGCCGUCUUUACAUCUAUUUGAUGUAUCUCGAGAUUGCGCAAAGCUGCAAUUGCUAUUAUCAUCCGUAUGGAAUUUAUUCUCAUAACAGGAGAAUAAGUAUCAAAGUAAUCAAGGCCUUCUCGUUGCCUAUUACCUUUAAUUACAAGCCUAUCCUUGUAUUUAUUGAUUUAUCCAUCAGCUUUCAUUUUCCUUUUGAAAAUUCACUUAUACCCCAAAGGUUUACAUUCUGGAGGAAGAUCUGCUAGCUCCCAAGUAUGAUUUUGUAAAAUGGAUUCAACUUCACUGUUAAUGGCUUCUUUCCAUAAAGUGCCUUCAGCUGAAGUUACAACCUCUUUGAAGCUUUGAGGUUCACUUUCUAGCAAAUACGUCAGAAAGUCUAGACCAAAAGACUUUUCUAUCCUAGCUGUUUUGCUACGUCUAACCUCAAUUUCUUGUUCUUGAUCUUCUUCUUCUUCUUCUUCUGGUGCUUCAUCAUUUUCUUCAUUUCCAAGUGUUGUUUCAUGAAAUUGUCGCAAUUCUCUCGAUUCCACUCUAGAAUUGCAAGGAAACACAUGUUCGAAUGAUGCAUUUCUUGAUUCUAUUAUCAUAUUUUUGUGGACAUCUGGAACUUUAGACUUAUGUAACAAAAAUCGAUAAGCACUACUGUUUUGUACAUAACCAAUGAAAAUGCAGUCAACAGUUUUUGGUCCUAUUUUCACUUUUUUAUUGAAGGAACCACUACUUUAGUAAGACACCCCCACACUCGUAAGAAUUUAUAUGAAGGUGAUCUAUUUUUCUAUAGCUCAUACAGGGUUUUAUCUUCUUGCUUUCAGGGUAUCUUAUUUAAUAAAUAAUUAGCUGACAAAACAGCUUCUCCCCACAUAUUCUGGGGUAACCCAGAACUUAUCAACAUUGCAUUCAUCAUUUCCUUUAAAGUUCGAUUCUUUCGUUCUGCAAUCCCAUUAGAUUGAGGUGAAUAUGGAGUCGUGACUUGAUGUAUGAUUCCAUUUUGUUCACAUAGUGACAUAAACAUAACAACAUACUCACCACCACGGUCACUCCUUAAUUCUUUGAUUUUUCUAUUAAGUUGAUUCUCAACUUCAUUUUUGUCGAGAAUAAACUUUUUCAAAGCUUUAUCUUUACUUUUCAAUAAAUAUACAUAGCAAUAUUUUGUGCAAUCAUCUAUAAAGGUAAUAAAAUAUUUAUUAUCACCUCUUGUUUGAAUGGAUUUAAAGUGACAAAUAUCAAUAUGUAUUAAAUCAAGUGGUUCGGUGUUUCUGUUAAUUAUUUGGAAAGAUGACCUAGUUAGUUUUGCCUCAACACAAGUUUCACACUUAUGUUUCAAAUCAAUUUGGAAAUUGGGAAUAUGCUUCAUGUUAAUUAAUUUACGCAAAGAUUUAAAAUUAACAUGUCCUAAUCUACCAUGCCAAAGAUUAGAAGACUCAAGCAAAUAAGCAGAAGAAGUAGCUUUAUUAUUAAUUAUUGGUUUCAGAGUCAUUACAUUGAGCUUAAAUAGCCCAUCAUUAACAUAACUCUUUCCCACAUACAUCCCAUUUUUAGACAAAACUACCCUAUCUGACUCAAACACCAUUUGGAAGCCAUGUUUGUUCAACAGCGAUCCAGACACCAAGUUCUUCUGAAUUUCUGGCACAUAAAACACAUUGUUCAGAGUCAGUUCUUUCCCAGACGUCAUCUUCAAAAUCACCUUCCCUUGACCAUCAAUCUCAGACGUAGCCGAAUUCCCCAUGAAUAGCUUCUCUCCAUUGCUAACUGCUUCAACUGAAGUGAACAAUCCUUUGUCCGAGCAAACAUGUCUGGUUGCUCCCGUAUCAAUCCAUCAUUCUCUCGGAUUAUAGCCAACCAGAUUCACUUCUGAAACCACUGUAGAGAGGUUUAUGUCUGAAACAUGUUGAGUGAUGUUUUCCAUCACAUUCUCCUCUCGCUUCUUUUUAGGCAACCUGCAAUAUGAAGCAUUGUGACCCAUCUUAUCACAAUUAAAACAUUUUCCUUGAAACUUUGUUUACUUCUUGGAAAUUCCUCCUUUCGGACCCAUUUUUUUAUUUUUAUUUUUAGGUCCAUGUUCGACAAAAUUUGCCUUUGCCAUAGAAAUAACUCCUUUUCUUUUUGCAUUUCUGUUAUCUCCCUCAAUUCUGAACUUAACAACCAGCCCUUCAAUAUUCAUCUCCUUUCAUUUGUGCUUCAAAUAGCUCUUGAAAUCUUUCUAAGCAGGAGGCAAUUUUUCAAUAAUUGCGGCAACUUGAAAAGUUUCACUUAGAUGCAUCCUUUCUGCAAGGAUUUCAGAUAAUAUAAUUUGAAGCUCUUGUACUUGACUUAUUAUAGUUUUAGAAUCCACCAUUUUAUAAUCUAGGAAGCGACCAACAACAAACUUUUUGGUUCCCGCAUCCUCGGUUUUAUAUUUCCGGUCAAAGGAUACCCAUAACUCCUUGGCUGUUUUCUUUCCUAUGUAUACAUUAUACAAGGAAUCACUAAGGCCAUUCAUUACAUAAUUUUUACAUAAAAAAUCUUAAUGAUGCCAUGCAUCAAUUGCACUUGCAACUUGAAUAUCCGUUUCACCCUCUUUAGGUUUAGGAGCAUUCUCGAUUAAGAAACUUGCAAGGUUCAACAUGGUCAAGUAAAAGAAUAUCUUUUGCUGCCAACGUUUGAAAUUCUGGCCAUUGAAUUUUUCAGGCCCUUCCGCAUGAUUGACAGGAAUUGCCACAGAGGCUGGUUCCUUUACAACAGUUGGUGCAGCAACAGAAGAUGAAACUGGGACAUACGGAAUAUCAUCAAUGGUUUCAGUUGCCAUCUCAAUGAUAAUUGAUUCUGUUUUAAGAUUGUAAAAAAAAUGAUACACAGUGAGAUAAUAAUUUAAAUAGUAGCUAAUUUAAACAACAAUGUAAACUAGCAAUGGGAAACAACAAAUGAAGAACAGAAGAGAAAGGAAACCGAAACAGAAACAGAAACAUAAACCUGAGCCCUGCAGACAGUUUCCUUAAAACAGAUUUACCACUCUUGGAGUGCUUUAGGUCAGCUGGUAUCUGUUUCCCAGAAUACAACGGGCACGAAUUUCCGGCUAAGCACAGGCUGAAAAUUCCGGCGAACCACAACAGCGAGCUCAAUCAGAGAAAACAGACGAUGAAGAUAGAGGAAGGAAAACAAGUGUGCUGGUUUUUUCAGUGUGCAAAAAACAGAAGAGGAGGUGCCUUUUUAUAGUCAUAUGAGGAUGUAACAGCUGCUUUGUAUUAGAUUUCCGAAUUCAAUAUGUUUUACUUAAUUGUUAUAACAACCAAAUCAAUUCAUUGAAUUGAUUUUAAAAUUGAAUUAAAAAAACAUGAAUUAUAUAACAGCUAAAAAUAAUUGUUGAAGCUGUUACAAAUCCUUUGAAUUCAAAACGUGAAUCUAUUACAAUAAAAAAAUUCAAAAGGAAAUUAAAAACGUGCCAAGCUUGCAUGGAUGAUUUUGGGCUGACAUUCGCGUACGCAGACGAGUUCAACCAAAUCGGUCUUGGACUUGCACCCCCCCUGCACACGCACGUGUGGAGAGAGCCUCUAUCCUUAUAAUUCUUGAACAAGCAUGGUUAAGUGUUUAUAUAUAAAUACUAAUCCCUAGGCUUCUUUUUCCCAUGUGGGAUAGGCCUCAUUUCCCUUCAAAUUUCCAACUUCAAAGGUGAACUUUGAGAGACAAUUUCUCAUUCACCCAAGCACCAUUUUGAGAAAAUAAGAUUAUACUUUUGAAGUAUCAAUGGAGUAGAAUCCGAACCUCACAAGAUUUUCCACUUUCGUUAAGUGGGACCCACUCAAAAUAUGCCCUCAAAAUAGCAUAUAUACAUGCUAUUUUCCACUUUCGUUAAGUGGGACCCACUCAAAAUGUGCCCUCAAAAUAGCAUAUAUACAUGCUAUUUUUUCAACACAUAUCUCUCUAUGUCACCUCCCUCCAUUUCACCAGAAAAUCAACAAACACUUAGCUUCAAAACAAACACUCUAAAAAAGCUAGCUAGUUGAUGGCAAAAUCAAGAAUUCUUGCAAUGGCAAUGUUGUUUCUUGUUAUGGCAGCAACAUUGAUGAACAUGGCAUCAAAGCAAAUGCUCUGAUGCUGUACACACGAUCACCUUUCUUUGACGUAAUGUUCCCAAUGACGGAAGAUCCUUUCAGGGUUCUUGGACAAACCCUGUUAACAAUCCCAAAAGGAGCUGAACAUCAUCAAACUCUAGCACUGGCGAGAGCAAACUGAAAUGAGACACCAACAUCACACGUGAUCACACUCGACAUUCCAAGGAUGAAGAAAGACGAUGCGAAGAUAGCAGUUGAAGAGAACAGGGUACUGAGGGUGAGUGGGGAGAGGAAGAGCGAUGAUUAUUAUAAGGAGGAAGUUGAAGGAGAAAAAUGGCACAGAGUUGAGAGACCAUUUGGCAAGGUUUGGAGGCAGUUCAGGAUGCCUAUGAGUGCUGACUUGGAUCAUGUUAAGGCUCAUUUGGAAAAUGGUGUUCUAAGGAUCACAGUGCCAAAACUUGUUGAGGAGAAGAAGAGGCCGCCUAAGGUUAUUAACAUUGAUGAAGAGCCUGGUAAUUCUUCCGAUGAAGAUGUUAAGGCCGCCAAGGCUCAAAUGUAAUUGAUUAAAGAAAGAAGUGUUUGAUUUGCUUGAUGUGCUAUUUGUUUUGUGAUCUUUUCUUGGUUUUGUUGUGGGAUGUUUUUCUUUGGAUGUUCUGUUUAUUGUAUUUUGAUGGAUUUUUAAAGAUGGCUUUUAUGUAUUAACAACAAUAAAGUGUUUUUUAUAAAUCCGGGUCCUAAAUUUGUAAAAGAAAUUAAUAAUACUCUUGGUUUAUUGUUAAUAAAAAUAAAAAAGAAGAAUCUUUUUCUUUAGCAUAUAUUAUGCAUUUUAAGGAAAAAAAAAAUUAUCACAUUCUAAUACAUAAAGAUAUUCCUCUUCUGUCAUAUUAAUGUGUUAAUACGAAGGUCUAUUGGAAUUAUAAUAGUUUAGAUGAAUCCAAAAUAUUCAAUAAUUGAUAAAUAGUAUAUUGACACACAGAAAAUGUGCGUGUGUAUGUAUAUAAAUGAGGUUUCAACAGCUGAGAAAGAGAUAGCCAUUAUACAUUACACAUUUGCACUCAAUAAGAAAUCAAUUCAUUAAUAUAGCCAUUAAUACGCCUGGUUUAUUGUUAAUGAAAAUUAAAAAAGAAAAAAAGUCUUUUCUUUGGCCUUUAUUAUGCAUUUUAAGAGGAAAAAAAAUUUAUCCCACUCCAAUUCAUGAAGAUAUUCUCUUUUCUGUCAUAUUGAUGUGUUAAUAUGAAGAUCCAUUGCAGUUGGUGAAUUCAAAUAUUCAGUAACUGAUGAAAUUGUAUUUAUAAAUUCAUACUAAUAGCAAUUGAAGAUUAUAAUUAAUUUUGUAAUAUGGUCUAGCCCUCCUGUGUUUAAUUAGCACUCAAAAACCACUUUACAAUAGGGCAUUAAAAGAACAUUAUAACGUCAUUGCUGAUGAGUUCUGGCGAAGACAUUAAGUUAAGGCCACAAAAAUCGAAAUGCACGUAGCUUCGUUUGUUUUUUAUUUUUGAUUCUCUUUGGGGGCAAAUGCUUGGCUUCGUUUGCUUUUUCGUUUUUGAUAUUUUAUUGGGCUUUAUUGUGUGGCAUCUUCUUGUUUUCUUUUGAUUUUCUGUUUUGGUUGUUAUGGGAUUUGAUGACGACGUACAUGUACGAAGAUUAUAUAAUAAAAUGUUUUUGAUAAAUUAUGGUCGGUUUAGAAUUAAUUAACUAAAUUUAAUUUACUUGAUCAAUUGAUAUUUGUAAGCAUUGUUGUUAUACAAACACAACAAAAGAAGAACAUUAAUGUACUAAUUAAUUACUAAUAAGAACAUUAAUAACUUUUGCCGAAGAAGAGAAAUAUUACACAUAUGUAACCGUGCAGCAUAUGUAACCGUGCAGCUAAAUAAAAGAAACUGAAGUUUAUUUCAACAGCUAAAGAAUGAGAUACGCAUAAGAAAUUAAUCCAUUAAUUAAUUAAUUAAUUCAUAGUCCCCCGCUGCUAAAAUAAAGCGAGCGUCUUACUCUACCUAACAUUUUUCCUUUUAUUAAUUUAAAAUAGUUUUCAACUGAGAUUUGAAUUUUAAAAUUACACGCUUGAUUUAGAAGAAAAAAAAGUCAAAUAUAUGUAACCGUACCGCGGAAAAGACAAAUAUAAGAAACUGAAGUUUCAACAGCUGAGAAUGAGAAAUUAAUUCAUUAAUUAAUUAAUAGAGUCCUCCUUUGCUAAAUAAUGCGAACCCAUUGUUCUUUUUAUUUCCAAAACCCAUUAAUCACCAACACAUAAUACACGCCCAAUUUAAAAAAAAAACUAAUAAUAAAAUAUUUCAGUCUUCCUUUGUUGAGUCGUCAUUAAAAACCCAUUUACCAGCUAUUCGAGCAUAAGGUAUAUGGGUUAACAAGUCCCAAUAUUGUCCUCCAUCCUUUCUGCACUUCUCUUCUAUCAACGGACAGCGAUAGAUUCUUAAUUGCAAAAGUGAGGAAGGCAGGCCCUUCUCCGGAAAGUAUUUGAGCUUGGGACAAUCAUAGAGUGUCAAUUUAGUGAGGUUUUGAAGAUCAACAAUUGAAGAAGAUAGGCUUUCCAGAUUUGGAAAAAAGGCAAUGCUCAGAGAUGUUAGAGAGGCAGGAAGAGGAAGCGUGGUCCCCAGUCUUCUGUCCUCUGGCUCUGGUGGAAAUGACACCAUGUCGUCAUCGCAUCCUCUGAUUAAAAGAUAUCGCAGAGAGGAGAAUCUGUGAAAUCCCCGGCCCCGCUCAAUCAUUGACUUCCAAAUCCCCAUAUUACCCUCAAUCCUCAGUGAAUGAAGGUUGGUGGGAAGGCCAUCUUCUUCAAGGCUUGGAAGCUCACCUCCUAUUAUUGUUAAUUGUUGAAGAGAGGUCAGAUUGUGCAAUCCCUUGGGUAAGGCCUCUAGUCUCUUACAAUCAUAUAUCUCCAGCCUCCUGAGUUUCGCACAAGGCAAUCCCCCUUUGGGAAAGGACUCCAGAUUUCCACAACCCCCAAUACCAAUCUGUUGAAGCUGGCACAGAUUAUGUAAACCACUCGAUAAAAUUUUCAGAUUUUCACAGUUAGAAAUGUUGAUUGUUUCAAGAGAUGUGUUGUUGUCCAACCUUUCUGCUAUUGACUGCAGCUUUGGACAUCCAUAAACAUCAAGUACCUUAACGGACGGAGGUAGAUUGCCAACUUCAAGGGACUCAAGCGUGGCAGGUAACUCGUUUUUUGAAAAUAUACAUGUCAGAGACGGACAACUGGAAAUUGCUAAGUUCUCAAGAAGAGAUGAGGUGUACCUUCUGCUGCUGCUACUCUGGAUGCCCUCUUCCACUGUCAAAGUCCUUAUUUUAUUGCACCUCUGGAUGUCCAACCUCUUAAGGCUCAGUGGUAGCUGGACUUCAGCAAUAUAUGUCAACGAAUGGCAAUCCCAAAUUUUCAAGAUCUCGAGAGAUGAACUAGUGUCGCACAUCCAUGGCUCUGGUAACGAUUUCAGUGCAUCACAUUCUCUAAUCUCAAUUUUCUUCAACUUGGAAGGCAGAGCAACCUCAGGAAAGGAAACAAGGGAACUGCACUUGUAGAUUUCUAUCUCUUUCAAGGAACUAAGGCUGAGAGAUGAUUGUGGCAGCUUCACAAGGCCUUCGCAAUAUCUCAAUCUUAGAUAUUCGAGUCUGCAUGACAACUCGCAGAGCUGCUGUUGUUGGUCUUUCUCUUCCUCCGCCACCAAGGAUUGAAGUUUGGGACACCCUCUUAUCUCCAGACUUUUGAGAGAGCAAAUGUCUUGUAGUAAUCCGUCAUGACUCUUCCAUAUAUAUGUUUGCUCUUUUGUCGACAAAAUUAAUUCUUCCAAUUUCGGUAGUUGUGGCUUCAACGGCCCCGCAAGAAACACUUGAUUUGAUGUAUCUCUACAAACCACUGAAUUCUGUGAUCCGAGAUGACCAGUUGCACUUUCCCACACAACCUUUUUGCAUCCACCAAUUAAGAAUUUGCAAAGAGUUGGAAGACUCAAAACUGAAACUAACAAUUCUUCACAUCCUUCAAUAACAAGCAUCUCUAAUACAGGAAGGUGUUCUGGAAAUGUUCCUCGCAGUUUAGGACAUUCUAAAAUGUGAAGCUCUCUCAAUUUAGGAAACCCUUCAACCCCUUGACCGGAUCCAUGAGAAAUCCAGACUUCCCAUUCUUGCAGGUCUUCAAAACGAAGAGUCUCCAAGCAUGGAAAUGGAAUUGGAGAGUCAUCCCCAUAGAACUCUGAACCCAAUCUCUUUACUCUACUCACUCCACGCACUGUAAGAUGCUUUAGAGAGGGCAGUUGCCCGACAGACGGCAGGGCAGUACACAUGCCGCAAUCUUCAAAUUCAAGUGUUACUAAAUUUGAGAAUAAGGAAUCUCCUAACCAUGUUGGAAAUUUUGUACCUCCAUAGCCACAGAUACCAAAUUGUUCCAGAUUUUUAUGGGGUUUGAGCAUGUCAAGCACACCCAUUUCAGUUUCUGCCUCCCUUGAAGAUGAACCAUCGGUACUGCGUGUCCAUCGAAGCAAUAAUUCUUUAAGAUUCUUCUUUCCAUCCAACCGAGCCUCCUUCGCAUUACCAACGUCUUUUACGUUCUCCAAUUUUGAAAUUUCAAGUGCCCCACGAAGAUGCAUCAACAACUUUAGCUCUGAUAACCCCGAACCACUGUCUUUUCCCACAACAAAAUUACACAACGUCUGAAGACAAGUCAACUUGCCAAUUCCUAGUGGCGUUUCCUCCAACGAAUCUGUAUUUGAAUUAUUGAGAUGAUGCAAUUUGAUGAGAUUUCCCAUGUCUGCACACAACUUCUUCAGCCGAUCACAAUCUUCCAACAAAAGACUAUGCAAAUUGUAAAGCUUGUUGACUGAUUCAGGCAGAGUUCUAAUAUUAGUUCCAGACAGGUUAAGGUACCUUCAAUACCUCAAAUCACCAACUGAAUCUGGUAGCUCGGAGAUGUGAUAUCCACGCAAAGAGAAGACCCUCAAGCGUUGGAGUUUGAGCAACUUAGGAAGAAUGCUAGGAGCCAAGUAGCCAGGCGAACUCUCUGUCAACAUUACUGGUAAAAAAGUUCUCAAAUGUUGGAUAUCAUACAAGUCCCCAAACCUUUUACCGCCAACAUAAUAUUCAGGAAUAUAUGACAGAUGACGAAGAUAUCGGGAAAAACUUUGUUGCUUGUUAACCUCAGAGGUAUACUCCAUUGUGAAGUAUAUUUCCCCUGCAGCCCAAUGCGCAAGGUCGUUGAUAAGAUCGUGCAUCACAAAUCGUGAUGCAUCGUUGCUUGAUUGCUGGAAAAAGGAUCUUGAAUGUAGCUCCUUAAAGAUUUCAAGACCUAAAUCUUCACCAGUUUUCUCACGCUCUUUGCGAUCCAAGAAGCCCGAGGCACACCAUAACAAAAUUAUCUCCCCCUCUUCAAAUUCAUAAUCCUUUGGAAACAAUGAGCAAUACGCAAAGCAUUGUUUCAAAGGUGCCGAAAGAUAAUAGUAGCUCACUCUAAGCGCCGGCAUAAUGUCACAUCUCUCUUCUUGCAAUUCCCAUAUCUUGGUACUGAGCACUCUCUCCCAAUCACAUCUGUCAUCUUUUCCUCGCAAAAGUCCUCCAAGUGUUUGCGCUGCCAAGGGCAAGCCAUCGCAUUUGGCCACUAUCUUCUUGCCAAUUUCCUCCAAUAAGUUAUCUGACCCCAAAGAAUGUUGAGCAAAUACAGCUAGACAAUCAUCAAUUGACAACUUUUUUAAUUGAUAAGCUGAGGCAGUUCCCAUGAUGUCUGCAACCUCUUGAUUACGAGUUGUGACAAUAAUCUUACUUCCCUUCGCUCCAGCUUCAAACGGACGGCUGAGGCGAACCCAAUCAUUGUAAUUCUCAUUCCAAACGUCGUCUAAAACAAGCAAAAAUUUCUUUUGAGAUAACUUCUUCUUCAGCUCCUCUUGAAGCAAAUUUAAAUCACUGUCAUCAAUAGUCUGCUUGGUAACGGAUCUUAGAAUUGUUUUUGUUAGCCCCUUAACGUCGAAAUCCUCAGAGACACAAGUCCAUGCCUUGAGAUCAAAAUGAUCCCGCACUUGCUUAUCAUUGUAGACAAGCUGAGCAAGAGUAGUUUUGCCCAGCCCGCCCAUACCUAUAAUAGGAAUAACUGCGAAUCCACCAUCGUUGCUUAAAUCAUCCCUCAACAGCAGUUCAACAACAUCCUUCUUUUCUGUUUCCCUGCCAUAUACUUUGGCUUCAGUCACUAAAGAGGUUGUCUCUAGCCUUUGACUGGCUUUUUUGGACCCUCCAGCUGAACUUUCUUUCAAAUCUAGCAAGUUUUUCUGUGUCACAAUUUCUUGAAAUCUGCUGUUGAUCUCUUUGAUUUUGGACAUCAAGCCAUAAUCGAACUGAAUCGAUUGUGGAGUAAAAGUGGUGCAGCAAGUAGGAAUGAGCUUCCGAAACUUACUUGUUCUUGUACGACUGCUACUGGGUUGAUCAUGAGCAGCAGCUGGUUCUCCAUUCCCAAGCAGCAACCUCCUCCGGAAAGCCUCAGUUUGAAACUCAUCCAACAAGUCUUCAACAUCGUAAGCCAAGUUCUGAAGCUUGCCAAGCCACUUCUUCACAAACUGAUUAGUCGUCUUCUUCUCCUCAGCAUCAUCAAGCACCGCCUUGAUCAUCUCCAACAUAUUCUCCCACUUCAUUAGAUCGUCUUGGAUCUUCUCUUGGCGUGCAAAAAACAGAAUCCCCUCUGAAGCUAACUUAUUGACCAGCAAAUCAACGGACGCCGUAAGGAUUGCCUCUCCGAUGAUCGACAUUUUUUUUUCUUUUUUUGGGCAAAGGAAGAAAGGAGCAGAAUUAUGGGUUAUGGAAAGCAGAAUGAGAAUAUUGAACGGGUGAGAAAAUGGAUAAUUAAGCGGAAUGAGUUUGUGAUUGUGAAGGGUCUGGUUCAGCAAGCUUAGUAGAAAUCACGCGUUUGUACUUUAUUGACCAAUGACUAAAUAAUUUGGCAAUGCACCCACCACCACCAGUUGGCGAGCAAAAUGAAAAAGUUUAAUAAGUGCAGGGGUCGAGCAAAAUACGACGUAAAAUGUGGCAAGUCUCCCCACUUGUUGUUCCUUGCAGCUAAGAAAAGAAAAAACAGAGCCCACCACCCAUUAAUAAUUUAGCAAUUCACCAAUCAUCACAAAAUUCCAUUAGAUAUUCGUCGAUCAAGUAGUUAAGUAUUUUUGCUAGAAUGAAUGCAACCAAGAUUCUAUGGGAUAUGUAUGAAGAUGAUGUAAUAAAGUGCUUUUGAUAUAUUCCCCUAGUCGGUUUACUUCACUAACCAUUAACGAGCAAAUCCUCCCAAUGACCCUCAAUACUCUUGUGCACAAUUAAAAUAAUUUCAAUUAUAUAUAUAUAUAAAUAAAAAAACUCUCAAAUAUAUUAUUUGAUAAUCACCAAAAAAAAAAAAAUUCACCCCAAUAAAUCACAUUACAGUCUAUGUUGCAAGUGUUUUUAGGACUAAUUCAAAGAGAAAAUGCGAAGGACAUGUAAUUGAAUUUGGGACACUGAAUAUAUUCCCAAUUACCCUUUAGUGUAAAUAGUUCCACUUCAGAUAUAUAUAAUGAUGAUGAAAUUUUGUUUUCUCAUAGCAAUCAUUCUAGUGUUUUACAAUGAGUAAUUGAUUCAAUAUUAACACAACACUAUUUUAACAUGUGACAUAUUCUAUCAUAGUGUGCUUCAACUCAGACUUCUAAGUUUCCAUUUUAGAACAAGUUAAAACAGUUCCAACUCAAAAUCAGUAGUGCGCAAUUGGGUUGUUAUAAAUAUUUCUAAAUUUUAGUCUAAUUUGAAUUAUUUAAUUGUGUUUGUACAAACUAGCUUUAUCACUUCUUUUAUAUUGAUACCCUUAAAUUUCAACCUUAUUUUAUGUUGAUGCACAAUCUAACUUAACAAAAAUAAUAUUCAAAUUGUCACAAUUUUUUUUUUUAAAAAAAAUAUACAAAGUUAAUUUUUCUUCUUCUUUACUCUAGGAUCCAGCUCCAUACCCCUCUUUUUUGUCGUUAUGCUACUCAGCCGUUAGAUUUUAAUUACGUUAAUCUAAUGGUUGGGAUUUGCAAAUGAAUAAUGAAGUGGUGUUCGGCUACUAUCCGAGGCCAUUGCAUCUAAUUGGUUUUGUGAUUUUUCACUUUCUUCCCUGUAACACUUGACUAGUUCUGGAAAUUGCUUUUUGGCAUGCUAAUUGUUGUGAAAAUUUUAAUAUACUCGCAAGCGCACGAAUCUAGAAAUAAAAUAGUGGUAACGAGGUCGAUCCCACAGGGAUUGGCACCCAUCACGCCUUUAGUUGUCGUGAAUAAAUCGAAAAUCAAAUUGAACUGGUUUUUACCGGGUAGCAACAAUCGUGACGUUUUGAGAUUAUAAUAUAUGACAACACUGAUUAGUGUUGUCUCCCAUGUGAAUUGAGACAAAAAUGAUUUUCCCAAUUGCGCUUUCAUUUGAACAAUUCCACUGUAGAUUUAUAAAAUAAUCACGAAAUUGUGUUUUAUAAUAAGUUACGAGUAAUUGGUUCAAUAUUAAUACAAAACUACUUUAAGUAACACGUGGCAUAUUCUAAUUCUAGCAAAGUUUCCAACUAAGAUUCCCAAAUCAAAAGAAUUUCAAUCUCCAGAACAUUCUACAAAAUGUUUCUUCUAGCCUCUACGUUGUGCUAGAAUUUUCUCUUGAGUUUUUUAGCAAAGACUUCUAAAGAACUAUCCAGAUAUCGAGCUAUAAUCCAGUCAAAGUGUAUAUAUUUCUCUAAUUCACCUCCCUCCAUUUCACCAGAAAACCAACAAACACUUAGCUUCAAACAAACACUUUCAAAUAGCUAGCUAGCUACCCAGAUGGCAAAAUCAAGAAUUCUUGCAAUGACAAUGUUGUUUCUUGUUGUGGCGGCAACAUUGAUGAACAUGGCAUCACAAGCAAAUGCUCUGAUGCCGUACACACGAUCACCUUUCUUUGACAUGAUGUUCCGAAUGACGAAAGAGCCUUUCAGGGUUCUUGAACAAACCCCUUUAACAAUCGCAAAAGGAGCUGAUCAUCAUCAAACUCUAGCCCUGGCGAGAGCAGACUAGAAGGAGAGUGGAUGGAGCCUUUACUUUCUAUUAUAUUUGUAAAGCGUGCCACAACACACGUGAUCACACUCGACAUUCUCGGAAUUAAGAAAGAUGAUGUGAAGAUUGAAGUUGAAUAGAACAGGGUAUUGAGAGUAAGUGGGCAGAGGAAGGCUGAUGAUUAUUAUAAGGAGAGGGUUGAAGGAGAGAAAUGGCACAGAGCUAAGAGAGCAUUUGGCAAGUUUUGGAGGCAGUUUAGGAUGCCAAUGAGUGCUUGACUUGGAUCAUAUUAAGGCUCACUGAGUGCCAAAGCUUGCUGAGGAGAUGAAGAGGCAGCCGAAGGCUAUUAACAUUGAUGAAGAGUCUGGUAAUUCUUCCAAUGAAGAUAUUAAGGCUACCAAGGCUCAAAUGUAAUUGAUUAAAGAAAGAAGUGAUUGCUUUGCUUGAUGUGCUAUUUGUUUAUGAUCUUUUUUUGGUUUUGUUGUGAGAUGUUUCUCUAUGGACGCUUUGUUUAAUGUAUUUUGAUGGGUUUUUUAGGAUGGCUUGUAUGUAUUGACAACAAUAAAGUGCUUUUUAUAAAUCCUAGUCCUACAACACUAAAAGAAAUUAAUACUCUUGGUUUAUAAUUAAUAAAAAUAUAUAUUUUUUUUAAAAGUCUUUUUCUUUGGCAUAUAGUAUGCGUUUUGAGGGGAAAAAAAUUUAUCCCACUCCUAAUUCGUCCUCUUCUGUGAUAUUAAUGUGUUAACACGAAGAUUCAUUGUAAUUGCAACAAUUUUGACGAAUCCAAACGUUCAAUAACUGUUAAAUUGUAUUUAUAAAUACUAAUAGCGAAGGUACAGAAACGAUUAAUUCAAGAAGUUGCUUAAAGUGCAUUAAAUUAGGGAGUAUAAAUAAUUGUGUGAUACAGUCCAGCCUUCAUCUGCUUAUAAUUAGCAACCAAAAACCACUUUGCAACACCAUUAAAAAAACAUUUUAACAUUAUUGCUGAGGGAAGAGGCAACUUAGGCUUAUUAACUCGUAUUAUUAAUGCUGAUGACGCAGCUGGUAAUCCUUUUGGUGAAUAUAUUAAGGCAGCUGAAGCUUAAAAUUAAUUAAGCCCACUAAAGCUUAAAACUAAUUCUUCUAGUGACGAUGCUUUGCUUAGUUCGCUUUUUGUUUUUAAUUUUUUUGGGGCUAACGUUUUGCUUAUUUUGCUUUUAAAAUUCUAUUGGCGUUGCUGUGGAAUAUUGUUUCUCCUUCGAUUUUCUGUUUUUGUUGUUAUCGGAUUUGAUGAUGGUUUAUAUGUACGAAGAUUAUGUAAUAAAGUGCUUUUGUAACAAUAUAUAUAUAUAUAUAUAUAUAGAUGUUUCAACAGCUAAGAAAGAGAUAGCCAUUAUACAUUACACAUUUGUACUCAAUAAGAAAUCAAUUCAUUAAUAUAGCCAUUAAUACGCCUGGUUUAUUGUUAAUGAAAAUUAAAAAAGAAAAAAAAAUCUUUUUCUUUGGCCUUUAGUAUGCAUUUUAAGAGGAAAAAAAAUUUAUCCCACUUCAAUUCAUGAAGAUAUUUUCAUUUCUGUCAUAUUGAUGUGUUAAUAUGAAGAUCCAUUGCAGUUGGUGAAUUCAAAUAUUCAGUAACUGAUGAAAUUAUAUUUAUAAAUUCAUACUAAUAACGAUUGAAGAUUAUAAUUAAUUUUUUAAUAUGGUCCAGCCCUCGUGUGUUUAAUUAGCUCUCAAAAACCACUAAGGUAAAGGCAAAAUCAUGAUAAAUUGUGGUCGGUUUAAUUUACUUGAUCAAUUGAUAUUGGGUAGCAUUGUUCUUAUACAAACACAAUAAAAGAAGAACACUAACGUACUAAUUAAUUACAAAUAAGAACAUUAACAAUUUUGCCGAAGUCUGAUGAAGAGAAAUAUUACACAUAUGUAACCGUACAACUAAAUAAAAGAAACUGAAGUUUAUUUCAACAGCUAAGAAUGAGAUACGCAUAAGAAAUUAAUCUAUUAAUUAAUUAAUUAAUUCAUACAAUUUUCAACUGAGAUUUGAAUUUUAAAAUUACAUACACAAACACACCUGAUUUAAAAGAAAAAAAUUUUAAUAAUAAAAUAUUUUACGUAUGUAACCAUACCGCGGAAAGAACAAAUGUAAGAAACUGAAGUUUCAACAGUUGAGAAUGAGAUAGGCAUAAGAAAUUAAUUAAUUAAUUAAUAGAGUCCUCCUCCUUUGCUAAAUAAUGCGAGCCCAUUGUUCCUUUUAUUUCGAAAACCCAUUAAUCAUCAACACAUACACGCCCAAUUUUAAAAAAAAAAAAUAAUAAUAAUAAAAUAUUUAAGUCGUCCUCUGUUCAAUAAUCAAAAACCCAUUUAAAAUCUAUUUUAACUUUAGGUAUAUGGGUUAACAAGUCCCAAUAUUGUCCUCCAUCUUUUCUGCACUUCUCUGCUAUCAACGGACAUCCCCCGAUGUAUAAUUGCAAAAGUGAGGAAGGCAGGCCCUUCUCCGGAAAGUAUUUGAGCUUGGGACAAUCCUCGAGUUCCAAGUGAGUGAGGUUUUGAAGAUCAACAAUUGAAGAAGAUAGGCGUUCCAGAUUUGGAAAAUUACCAAUCAUCAGGGAUGCUAGACAGGCAGGAAGAGGAAGCGUGGUCCUCAAUCUUAUGUCCUCCGGUGGGAAUGACACCAUGUCGUCAUCGCAUCCGCUGAUUGUAAGUUGUCGCAGAGAGGAGAAUCUGUGGAAUCCCCGACCCCACUCAAUCGUUGACUUCCAAAUCUUCUUAUUAUCAAUAAUCUCCAGCCUAUGAAGGUUGGUGGGAAGGCCAUCAUCUUCUUCAAGGCUUGGAAGCUCACCUCCUUCUCCUAUUGUUAAUUGUUGAAGAGAGGUCAGAUUGUGCAAUCCCUUGGGUAAGACCUGUAGUCUCUUACAAUAAGAUAUCUCUAGCCUCGUGAGUUUCGCACAAGGCAAUCCCCCUUGGGGAAAGGACACCAGAUUUUCACAUUCCCAUAUCCCUAUCUCUUGAAGCUGGCGGAGAUUAUGUAAACCACUCGGUAAAAUUUUCAGAUUUUCACACUCAGAAAUACUGAUUGUUUCAAGAGAUGUGUUGUUGUCCAACCUUUCUGCUAUUGACUCCAGCUCUGAACAACUCCAAACAUCAAGGGACUUAAGAGACGGAGGUAGAUUGCCAACUUCAAGGGACUCAAGCGUGGCAGGUAACUCGUUUUUUGAAAAUAUACACGUCAGUGACGGACACCUGCUAAUAUGCAAGCCCUCGAGAAGAGAUGAGGUGUACCUUCUGCUGCUGCUGCUGCUCUGGAUGCCCUCUUCCACCGUCAAAGUCCUUAUAUUAUCGCAAUGGCGGAUCUCCAACCACUUAAGGCUCGGUGGUAGUUGGACUCCAGCAAUAUAUGUCAACGAAUUGCAAAUCCAAAUCUCCAAGAUCUCGAGAGAUGAAUUGGUGUCGCACAUCCAUGCCUCUGGUAACGAUUUCAGUGCAUCACAUUCUCUAAUCUCAAUUUUCUUCAACUUGGAAGGCAGAGCAACCUCAGGAAAGGAAACAAGGGAACUGCAGCCGUAGAUUUCUAUCUCUCUCAAGGAGCUGAGGCUGAGAGGUGAUUGUGGCAGCUUCACAAGGUCUUGGCAAUCUCUCAAAUCUAUAUAUUCGAGUAUGCACGACAACUGGCAGAGCUGCUGUUGUUGGUCUUUCUCUUCCUCCGCCACCAAGGAUUGAAGUUUGGGACAACUUGUAAUCGUCAGUCUUUUGAGAGAGCAAAUGUCUUGCAGCAAUUCGUUAUGACUCUUCCAUAUAUAUGUCUGCUCUUUCAUAUCAUUUAUCUCCAAUUCUUCCAAUUUUGGUAUUCGCGGCUUCAAUGGCCCUGCGAGAAACACUUGAUUUGAUGUAUCUCUACAAACUACUGAAUUCUGCGAUCCGAGAUGACCAGUUGCACUUUCCCACACAAUCUUUUUGCAUCCACCAAUUAUGAAUUUGCAAAGAGAUGGAAGACUCGAAACUGAAACUAACAAUUCUUCACAUCCUUCAAUAACAAGCAUCUCCAAUGCAGGAAGGUGCUCUGGAAAUGUUCCUUUCAGUUUAGAACAUCUUAAAAUGUGAAGCUCUCUCAAUUUAGGAAACCGUUCAACUCCCUGACUGAAUCCAUGAGGAAUCCAGUCUUCCCAUCCUUGCAUGUCUUCAAAAUGAAGCGUCUCCAAGCAUGGAAAAGGAAUUGGAGUAUCAUUCCCAUAGAACUCUGAACCCAACCUCUUUACACUAGUCAUUCCACAUACUGCAAGAUGCUUUAGAGAGGGUAGUUGGCCGACUGACGGCAGGGUAGGACACAUGCCACAAUAUUCAAAUUUUAAGGUCACCAACUUUAAGAAUGAGGAAUCUCCGAACCAAGUUGGAAAUUUUGCGCCUCCAUAGCCGCUGAUACAAAAUUGUUCCAGAUUUUUAUGGGGUUCUAGCAUGUCAAGCACGUCCUUUUCAGUUUCCGCCUCCCUUGAAGACGAGCCAUCGGUACUGUUUGUCCACCGAAGCAUUAACACUUUAAGGUUCUUCUUUCCAUCCAAUUGAGCCUCCUUUGCAUCACCAACGUCUUUUACGUUCUCCAAUUUUGAAAUGCAAAGUGUCCCACGAAGGUGCGUCAACAACUUUAGCUCUCGUAACCCGGAACCACUGUCUUUUCCUACAACAAAAUUACACAACGUCUGAAGACAAGUCAACUUGCCAAUUCCUAGUGGCAUUUCCUCCAACGACUUCGUAUUUGAAUUCUUAAGAUGAUGCAAUUUGGCGAGGUUUCCCAUGUCUGCACACAACUUCUUCAGCCGAUCACAAUCUUCCAACAAAAGACUAUGCAAAUUGUAAAGCUUGUUGACUGAUUCAGGCAGAGUUCUAAUCUCAGUUCCAGACAGGUUAAGGUACCUUAAAUACCUCAAAGCACCAAUUGAAUCCGGCAGCUCAGGGAUGCGGUAUCCACGCAAAGAGAAGACCCUCAAGCGUUGGAGUUUGAGCAACUUAGGAAGAAUGCUAGGAGCCAAGUAUCCAGACAGUGAGCUAUUUGACAGCAUUACGGGUAAAAAUGUUCGCAAAUGUUGGAUAUCGUACAAGUCCUCAAACCUUUUAACACCAUCGUAAUCUCCACGAAUAUACGACAGAUGACGAAGAUUUCUUGAAAAACUUUGUUGCUUGUCAACCUCUGAGAUAUACUCCAUUCUGAAGUACAUUUCCCCAGCAGCCCAUUGAGCAAGGUCAUUGACGAGGUCGUGCAUCACAAAUCGUGAUAUACUGUUGCUUGAUUGCUGGAAAAAAGAUCUUGCACGUAGUUCUCGAAAGAACUUUCGACCUAGAUCUUCACUAGGAUUCCCGCUCUCUCCGUGAUCCAAGAGACCCACAGCACACCAUAAUAAAAUUAUCUCCUCCUCUUCAAAUUCAUAAUCCUUUGGAAACAAUGAGCAGUAUGCAAAGCAUUGUUUCAAAGGUGCCGAAAGAUAAUAGUAGCUCACUCUAAGCGCAGGUAUAAUGUCACAUCUCUCUUCUGGUAAAUCCCAUAUCUUGCAACUGAGCACAUCUUCCCAAUCACUUCGGUCACGUUUACCACGUAAGAGUCCACCAAGAGUUUUCGCAGCUAAGGGCAAGCCGUUGCAUUUGAUCACUAUAUUCUUGCCAAUGUCCUCCAAUGACUUAUGUGAACUGAAAUCUGUUGUCCCCAAAGAGUGCUGAGCGAACACAGACAGACAGUCCUCAGUUGACAAGCUUUUGAGUUCAUAAGCUUGAUCCAGGCUCAUGAUUUUGGCAACCUCUUCAUUGCGAGUGGUGACAACAAUCUUACUUCCCUGUGCGCCAGCUUGAAAUGAAAGGCUGAGGUGAACCCAAUCAGUGUAAUUCUCAUUCCAAACGUCAUCUAAAACAAGCAAAAAUUUCUUUCCAAAUAGUUGUUUCUUUAGCUCCUCUUGAAGCUUAUUCAAGUCGUGAUUAUCCACAUUCUGGCCAGGAGCAAUGGAAAUUAGGAUUGAUUUUGUAAGCCUGCUAACAUCAAAAUCAUCGGAGACGCAAGUCCAUGCCUUGAGAUUAAAAUGAUCCUCCACCUGCUUAUCAUUGUAGACAAGCUGAGCAAGAGUGGUUUUACCCAGCCCGCCCAUACCUAUAAUAGGAAUAACAGAGAAUCCACCAUCCUUUCUUGAAUCAUCCUUCAACAACAAUUCAACAAUUUCCUUCUUUUCUGUUUCCCUGCCAUAUACUUUGGCUUCCUCCACCAAAGAGGUUGUCUCUUGCCUUUGCCUGGCUUUUUUGGAUCCCCCAGCUGAACUUUUUAUCAAAUUCAGCGAGCCUAUUCUUUCUUCAAUAUCUUGAAAUCUAUCGUUGAUUUCUUUGAUUUUGGACAUCAUGGCGUAAUCGAACUGAAUCGAUUGUGGAGUAAAAGUGGUGCAGCAAGUAGGAAUGAGCUUCCGAAACUUACUUUUCGUGCUUGUACGACUGCUGCUGGGUUGAUCAUGAGCAGCAGCUGGUUCUCCAUUUCCAAGCAGCAACUUCCUCCGGAAAGCCUCAGUUUGGAACUCAUCCAACAAGUCUUCAACGUCAUAAGCCAAGUUCUGAAGCUCGCCAAGCCACAACUUCACAGAAUCAUCAGUCGUCUUCUUCUGCUCAGCAUCAUCAAGCACCGCCUUGAUCGUCACCAACUUCUUCUUCCACUUCACUAGAUCGUCUUUGAUUCGACCUUGGCGUUCAAAUAAACGAAGCCCCUCCGAAGAUAACUUAUUGACCAGCAUCUCAACGGACGCCUUCAGGAUUGCCUCUCCGAUGAUCGACAUAUAUUUUUUUUUUUUUGGGACAAAGAAUGAAACCAGAUUAUGAGCUUGUGGAAAGCAGAAUGAGAAAAGUGAAUAAGCAGCGUGAGUUUGUGAUUGUGUCUAGCAAGCCUAGAAAUCAAGAAAAACCCACCGUAAAAGUGAAAAGUAAAACGGAGCCAACCACAAAUAUAAAAUCAGAGGAUCACAGAAAUUAAAAAAAAAAAUCAAACACGUAAUGAUUUGUAAAGUUAUUAGCGAUUUGUAAAAAUCAAACAUGCGUCUUCUUCCUCUGAGUGUUUUUUUUUUUUUUUAACUUUAUUAAUUAAUUAGUGAAGUAAAUUUGUAAAGAUCACGGGCAUCAAAUUAUUGGGAGGUAUUAAUUGCGCUUAGUAUUUACAAUUUUUUGUAAAACUUUUUAAUUUCGUUGAAAAUGUAUCGUUAUUAAGUUAUUAUUGAUUUCACUCUCUUUUACUUUUUGACGUUGCGAAAAAGACAGUAAAAAACUUGCUAAAUGUCAUCAAAUACUUGUAUCUCAUCUCACAAAUUAGCAAUAUUUGUUUGGUAUUUCAUCUCAACGGGACGAAGGAACGAUAGAAAACGCGUUCCCUCAUCAAAAUUUUCUUUCGUGAGACCGAUAAUAAAUAAUAAAAUAUUCUUUUAUGGGAUCGAUUAUAAAUAGUAAAUUAAAGAAGGGUCGACAGAAAACGCGUUCCCUCAUCUAAUUUUUCUUUUGUGGGACCGAUAACAAAUAAUACAAUAUUCUUUUGUGGGACCGACUACAAGUACUAACAUAAAGAAUAAAAAAAUGAAAAAAAGGAUAGUGAAAUAACUCAACGGAGAAGUCUAUAAAUGCUUUUGUUUGGUAGCUGGCUAAAGCAGAAUCUGUAAGUUGCAGAGUCAAGUUACACUUAGCCUGCUCCAUAACUCUAAUGUGAAACAAAAAAAGUCCUGCCACCAAUAAUUCAGCAAGCUUCACUUUAUUACACGAAGGUGAAAGCAAAAAGCCAAAAACAGCCCCCACCACCAUCAAUAAUUUAGCAAGCUUCACGCGCUUGUGCUUGUCUUGUCUGCUUGACGAACUGGACAUGGGUGGACCAAGCAUCCAUUGAAUAACUGGAAAAAGUAAAAAAUAAAAAACAGUGUCCCGCAAAAAGAAUCCAUCUUUAUGUGUUGAUAUGCACAUCUACCGAACAUCUACAAAAUGGAAGUAGAAAUUGAAACUUACGUUUUUUAGUUAUGGCUCAUAUAUAAUACAAGUAUCAAUAUUUAAGUAGAAUAGAGUUCACAUAUACACAUGCGUCUAGUUUUAAGUUUUAACCGAGAGAUAAAUUAAUCAUUAAUACUCAGGUGUUUCUAAAUAAUUGAAUAAUGAUAUUAUACGAACCUUCCCUUUACAAGUCUUCAAACUCAUAAACCAAGUUAAAAUAAAAUUAAAAAAAACGUUUCUCUCUCUCUCUCCUUUUGCUAUAUGAUUACUUUAUUUAUUGAAUUAAUUUCCAUGCUAUAUCAAAGACUUAAAAGUACACUAUAAUUUUUUAUAAUCAUAAUGGUAAUUUCUAUCAUCAUAUUAAAUUAUUGUCGUGUCAAAAUAAAUUAUAACAAAAUUUUAGCUGAACAUAAGUUCGACUCAUUUAUUAAAUAUAUAUACUUAAUAAAAUAAUAAGACGAUUAAUAUGUUAUCAGUGAUAUAGACCCAACUGAAAUAACUCUAAUGUGAAAACAAAAAAAAUCCCGCCACCGAUAAUUGAGCAAAUUAACUUCACUUUAUUACACGAAAGUGGAAGCAAAAGCCAGAGGCAGUCCCCACCACCAUCGAUAAUUGUGCUUGUCUUGUCUGCUUGACGAACUGGACAUGGGGGGGGGGGGGGGGGGGGGGGGACCAACCAUCCAUUGAAUAACUGGAAAAAGUAGAAAAUAAAAAAAUCAGUGUCCAGCAAAAAGAAUCUACCUUUAGGUGUUGCUUCCUAUUCAGUACAUGCAUAGAUAAUGUACAUCGACCUGGAAUUAAAAAAAUGGAAGUAGAAAUUAAAACUUACUUUUUUAGAUAUGGCUCAUAUAUAUUACAAGUAUCAAGAUUUGAUUAGAGUUCACAUAUUUACAAUGUGCCUAGUUUUAAUUGAGAGACAAACUAAUCAUUAAUAAUCAGGUUUUUCUAAAUGAUUAAAUAAUGAUAUUAAUUAUUGAUAUUUAAAAAAUUUGUAAGAAGUAUAACUAAUAUGUUGGGAUAUGUAUUUGUGUAGAAUGGCAAAUAUAAAGAAUAGCAAUAAAAAUAGUGGAACUUUAAUAUGAUGAAAAAAGGUAAACUGUAGAAAAUUAAUAUAUAAUUCAAGGUACGUUACAAAUAUCACUUUCCUUCAGACAUUAUUUACCCCACCAAUUGAGUGAAUGCACAUGAGUUAAGCAAAUAUGUCUCUAGGAUAUAAUGAAACGCUUCUUUGUUUGCUUGUAUUGUGCAUCGACAAAAGUAAAUCUGAAUAUUCCUUAAUGUUGCAAGCUUGCCACGAAUUAAUAUAUUGUUAUUGUAAAAAAAUAAAAAAAAUAAUGUAUUGGAUAUUUGAUGCAUAAAAGAAAUAGAUAUUAUUAGAUGAAAUUCAUUUUGAGAAAUAGGGCUACAAAAAGAGUGGUGUAAUGUCGUUUUAUUAAUGUCUAAAUGGCAUAAAUAUGACAUCUAUUUACAAAUAUAUUUAUGCUCUUUUAUUUAAGUUAUCGUCUUUAGUAAUGCCCUUGAUUCAUAUCCAUUAGAUCAAGCAACCUAAUCCCCACUAAAACUAACUUAUUGAACAGUAACUCAACGGAUGCUGUAAAGAUUGCUCUUGGAUGAUUGACAUUUUUUUUAAAAAAAAUUUGGGCAAAGAAAGAAACUGAAUUAUGAGUUUAUGGAAAUUAAAGCAAAUGAGAAAGUGAAUUAGCACAAUGAGUUUGUGAUUGCGAAGGAACCAGCAAAUCAAAAAACAAUUAAGCAAGAGAAAAGGACAAUGAACACUUUAAUAUUCUAGAAAAGGGAUAUGAAACCUCUAAACAUUUUAAAAAAGAUAUAUAAUCUCCUUUUUAUUAGUAAAAUCUGUUUAUUUCAGUAGUAACAUAAUCUUUAAUUUACAUUUACUAUCAUGUCCCUAUAAUAAAUAAAUUAAUAUAUUUAAUUUAAAAGAGUGAGCCCUCCAAUUUUACUUCCCAUUUGCUCAAUUGCCUUUCAUUCAUAUACAAGCAUGUUUAACAUCUCAUUUUGCCUAAUUUGCCUUGGAAGAAAAUAAAUUUGAUUUUAUUUUUAUCUAUUAUUCAUCAUUUUUUAUCAUCUUAACAUUGGGAAGGAUAUAUUCAUAAUUUAAAGUGAAUAAUUUGGAUAAAAGAUAAUUAUAUCUUAAUUUUAAGUUUUAAAUAAAAAGUUGUUGGUUUUAUUAUACAUGUCAUUGAUGACAUGUCUUAAAUUAAUAUAUUUAUUUAUUUAUUAUCGGGAUAUAAUAAUAAUUAUAAAUUAAAAAUAAAUUUAUUAUUAAAAUAAAUGGAAUUUAUUAACAAAAAUAGGAAUUAUAUAUCUUUUUUAAAAUAUUAAAACAUUAUUUUUUUUUAGGGUAUCACUAUCCAUUUCCCAUUAAGCAAAACAAAAGUGAAAAGAAAAAUCAGAGCCCACUAUAAAUAUAAAAUUAGUGGAGCUCAUGAUGAUGCAUUUGCUUUACAUACUAAAUUAAAUAAAAGCCGAACCAAGAAUCUUUGCCUUAGCUUAACAUGAUUAAUUAGGCACUACUUCAUAGAAAACGCGAAAGCAAUGAACCCUUUUUUUAAUCUUAAAUGUCAUGAAUAUAAUUCUUCUGCGUUAAUUAAUCAUUCUUCUCUGACCGUCUCUUCAGGUUCAUUUCAAAAGUUUGAAGAUAGUUUAUCAAUUCUUCUACUUAUAAAAGCAAGUUAAAUUAAAAGAUUUUAAUCUCUCUUCUUAUUACUAUAAGUGCACUGUGCACGACAUUUUUUUACAAUAAACAAUGCCAAUUUGUAAUGUAAUGUUAUAUUCAUAUUCCCAUCGCGUCGAACUCUUUUUUUCCCUCUUUUUUAAAAGGAGACGGUGCGGUUUGGUUGUUCGCAAAAUUAGUGGUGUGGGGCUCUAUUUGCUUUUGUUUUCACUUUAUUAAUUAACUAGCGAAGCAAACAUGUAAUCAUUUGUAAAGGAGUCACUAGCACCGGAUUAUGUAAGAUGAAUUCGUAAGACUUAUUAAUUUCAAUUGAAAAUGUAGCGUUAUUAGGUUAUUAAUUCACUAAGUUAACUUGAGGUUCUAAUAUUUACUAAUUGUGGUGAUUAAUUUAUUUAACUUGUCAUAAUUUUCAUUUGAGAAUGAAAUUCAAUCAAUGUAUGAAAAAAGAUAAUUUUUUAAAAUUUUUAAUUCCUAUGAUUUGAUUUCACUUUUUUCCGGAUAUUGACGCUGUAAAAGCUUGCCCAAUGUCAUCAAAUGCUUGUAUCCCAUCUCACAAAUUAGCAAAUAUCAUUUGGUUUCUUUAUACGUGGCCAUCACAAAUUAAAAGUAACAACAUCCACCAUAUAUCGAAAAUUAAUUUUGAGAAUACUUUUGACUUUUAAAAGAAAAAUGCGAGUACAAUUUAAUAAGAGAGAACAAGAAUUGAUCAUGUCCCAAGAGACUGAAAAUAAGAUUAUAUAAACUUGAAUGCAGGCAUAUCAUAUGUUAAUCUUAAUUUUUUUUUGUUGCUGAAAAUUAAUUAAUUUGUUCCACUAUUCCUUUUUUAAUUGUAUGGUGAGAAACACAUUGGCCACUUCUGAAUCAUGUUGCAUAUUUGUUAACUCAAAGAAACAGUACACUUUUGUAUCAAUCAAACUCACUUUGUUAAUAUUCUUCAUUAUUAUGGUUAAUGGCUUAGCAAAUGUAGAAGGAGGAGUCAACCAAAAUGUAGCACUUUCUCUUGUAUUAACCUUUUAUUAAUUGUUGAAGUUAAAAAAAAUGUUAAAACAAGUUAAAAUAGUUCCAUCUCAAAAUCAGUAGGGUGUAAGUAGGUUGUUAUAAAUAUUUUUAAAUUUUAGUCUAAUUUAAUUGUGUGAUGCACAAACUUUCUCACUUCUUUCAUAUAAAUAAAGGGGAGAACUAUUUGAACUCAUUAAAUCACUUUUUAAAUUCCUCUACUUAUUAAGGCCAUCAUAAAAAUUCAAAAAUCCUUUUUAUACUCACUACAUCUCUUAAAAAUAUCGCAAAUAUGACACAUUUGUCUUCACCUUCUAUUUAUCUUCAACAUUCACAAUUUUUAUUUGAAUCUGUAAUAUGUUUAACACUGUUCAUUCACUCAUUAGAGUUCCAAUAAUAGAAUAUAGAGAUUAAAAAUAUCAUUAGCAAAUUAUUUGUUUGUGUUCUAUAUGAUAUUCUUGGUUUGGAAAAAGCUUCAUCGGCAAUAUAUGUAAAUAAAAGACUAAGAACUUCCAAUAAUUCAGAUUUGAUCGAAACUUCACAAACUUAUUUUCACUUAAAAAAAUAAAAUAAAGUAAAAGAAAUUCUCGUGUUUUAAAAGAAAAACUGCCAGACAUGUUUCUAAAACAACUAGAAACCAAACUAGGCUUGAAGCAGUGAGUUUUGAAUUAUAAAAAAUACAUAAUUGUAAUUUCACCUAAAUCAAAUGAUGAAUUUCAUGACAACGGAUUUAGACUAUAGACCAAUACACAAAGAAUUGGAUGUUCAUCGCAUUUGUUCUUGAAAUUGUUUUGCGCAAAAAAGUUAACUAUUGUAUUAUGUUGUAUUGCAUUAUUUUAAUAUAAGUGUAUUAUAUUAUGCUGUAUUGCAUUAACACUGUAUUAUAUUAAUACUAUACAACGUUUGGUUCUACAUUGUACUAUAUUAAUUUUUAAUUAUACAUACACUAUAUUAUGCUAUACUAUAUUAUUUUUUUGGUGGUUAAUUUCAAUUAUAUGUUUGGAAAUAAUAUUUAUUAGUACUUAGCAAAAUAUAAAAUAUAGAACCUUAAAUUUUAGAAUAUUUACAUCAAUUUUUUUUAGUAUAAAUGUAAAUAAUUAUAAUAAUUCUUCAUUAAACUUAUGUAAAAAUAACAAAUUCUGAAUUUUUGCUAUCGUAACAUUUUUUUUUUAACGGCGUUUUUCAAAUGUAUACCUUAUUGAUGAUGCACCAUAAAAAUAAAUAUCAAAUUUUGCGAUCAUGAUCAAGUCGAGUUUUACAUUAUGAAAGCAUGACACAAAAAUUGAAAAAAAUAAUGGCCGGCAAAAAGUUAUACAAGCAACAACAAAAGUGCUAAUUACUCGGAAAAUAAACAAUCAAGAGCCGCUGAUAGAUAUGAGUCAUAUGACAAGGUAGAGGAAUACAGAUAUCUGCAUACAUUUUUAACAAAGAUCAUCUUUGUAACCAAUUGUUGGCUUUGGCAUUAAAAGAUCAUCUUUGUAACCAACUGGGUAGCUAUAAAAUGAAUACUAAGUCAAUCAAACGGGAAAGCUUGCUACAAGACUUUGAAGCAUUAUUCUGUUGCAUCACCUUCCUCCUCUGCCUCACUUCCUGCAUCCCAAAUUAAAGAACAACAAAUAUUAAAUAACAAAAACAAAAUCUUCAAUAGACUUUUCAUACUCCAUGGAGCAAAUCUAUGGGAAUCCACAAAAUAAUUGAAAUAUAUCAAUGCUGCAGGUCAUAGUAACAAAUUACAGAUACACAAUCAUGCAUAUGCAACUAAAAAAUGCUUAUUUAUUACAGCCGCUUUUUGGCAUGACUACUUCAUAAGUUAUAUAUGAUAGAUAACAUUAUUAUUCUAAUCACAUGGUUAUGAUUUUAGUUGGACAUACAAAAGCUACGUGCAUGAAUCUGUAUCAUGCCACCUUUCAUGAGUCAAAAAUUUAAAUCAAAUCAAUUUGGUUGAGCCUUCAAAUUCCUAUUCCAGUCAAAGGAGAUGAUUUUUCCAAAGGUAAAGAAUGAGUCCGGUUACUUAAGCAUGUCAACCUUUUUUCUAGGCUAAGGUUUAUCCCUUUCCAUUUCACUAACUCUCCUCUCACUACCUUGCGUCAACAUUUGCAUACUUGAUAUACUUUCACAACCUUAAUCUAAUACUUUCAUUUAUGCUGAUAUAAAGAAGAAGUUUGAUUUAAAUCUGGACAGGUAACAAGAUUAAAAAACUGCCUUGUAGUAGAGCCAAUUCUUCCAACAAACAUUUCUUGAACCAAUAUCUAAGAUUAAGCUGGAUCACGUAAGACAAAUAUGCCAAGAAGAUUUUUAACUCACCUGACACUAUGGAUCUCCAAAUGUACUCAAUUAGCUUAGGUAAGCCAUACUUCUUCUCAAUUAUGAGCCCAGUAAAUAGGACCCGAAAAACUUGCAUUCCUCUGCUGACAUUCAUUUCAGUGUUGCAAGAAUUACAGAUUCCAUGACCAUGGACUGAAGUUCUUUUGUUAAGACAGGCGCAAGAGAGUACGCCCCUAUCCCACUAGUAUUUGGCCCGGUGUCACCAUCACCAACUUGUUUAUGGUCCUGACAAGACAUUAGAGGUAUGGGCGUAUGGCAUUCUCCCCAUCCACGAAGUCCUUUAGAACCAAAAGCAUUGUUUACAAGCAUCGAAUCAACAACUUCUAUGAAUCAUCCAAUGUCAUAGUUAGAGCUGGUAAAAUUUGACACGAUCCAAUUAUUCGACACGAACACGACACUAAUAAAUGGGUAUGGGUCGUCAAAUUUAACACGAUUAUUAAAUCGGUCGGGUCCGGGUCAACACGAUUUUUUUCCGUGUCGGGUUAGGGUUAAAAUUCUUGACCCAUUUACCCGAUCAAUGACUCGAUUAUAUUUUUUAUUUUAAAAUAAUUUAUAGAUUCUUGUCAUCAAAACUUAAAUAUUAGAGAAUUUUUUUUUAUUCUUUAAAAAGAUGAAUAUAGACACAAUAUUUUAUUUAUAAAAUUUUAAAUAUAUUUAGAGCUUUAAUAAUGUAAAUGUAUAAAAUAUUGGUAGAUACGUAUAUUUUAUAAUAUUGAUAUAUAAUAUUAUUUACAUAUAUAUAAUUAAAACCUCAAUAAUGUGUGUAAUAUUUUAGUAGAUAUGAAAAUUUUAUAAUACUGAUAAAUUAUGUAUGUAUGGAUGGAUGUUGAGACAAGCUAGAGAAGCCAUGAAUGAGAUUUUUCCUUUGACUCCUGCUAUGUGGCAAGAAUUUGCGAGAGAUGAAGCCUCUAUUUCAACCGGGUAUCUGUCAUUUCCUUUUUACAGUGGUUUUUGAUUUUGUGAACAAAUACUUUUUUUUUCGCUUAGAGAUAUAGAUGUUUAUGUUAGUUAUUUGCUAAUGUAAAAAGGAACAAAAACUGCUUAAAAGGUAUUAAAGAAAGAAAAAAGGAACCAAUUUGAAGAAGGGGAUACUCAUAGCGGGAGUUCUGCUUUGGGGUUUAAUUGAUGGGAAGAAGAAAUAGUUUAUAUGUUUACAGAAUUAAACAAUUGAUCACUGAGUUAGUUGAGGAAGAUAAUUAAUCACAAUGUCUGAAGCUGUUGCUGUUGGCGUCACCUAUUGUUAAGAUUUCAUCCUUUUUUAUGGUUUUACAUAGCUGUGACCUAAAGCUUAAUGUAUACGUUGAUAAUUACAUAAUUGGUUUCUUGCUGAUACUUGGCUUUAAUUUGUAAGCCUGAGGCUCUUUCGGGAAUUGAGAAGAUUUACGGAAGAGGAGUUUCUGAUUAUCUGGUUUGUUCUCUUUAUGCUUACAGAAUUUGAAUUAACGCUCUGCAUGAAUUUAUGAUUCAUUUUUUUUGGAGAAAUAUUUUAUGAAAUUGAAGCAUUGGAGUAAAGCGUACUAGUCGUAAGCUUGAUUCACUUUGUUUUGAUUUUAUUACCAAGAGGUGCUAACAGUUCAUGAUGCAUAAAAGAGGGGGAAAAAAACUCUUCUUGGUAGAUACAUAAAUUUUAGUUUCUGAAUCAUUUUCAACGAAAGAAAUAAUUUUACAGAGGCUGAAGAGCAGCAUUUUCAUUUAUAUGAAAGUUCAAUUGUUAUAUCAUCUGUUUCCAUAUCUUUUGUGGUAAAUAAAGUCCUUGAUGAUGGCAUAAGAGCACAGAAGAGUUGUUAGUUUCAUAUGUGGAGAUUUUCAUCAUAGUAGUUCAUUGAAAGUGAAGGCAGCUGAAUACCCUUUUUUCUGAUGCAGUCUGUCCCUCUUUGGUGUGAUUAUUUAAAAUUUGUGCAAGAAUAUGAUCCAUCUAUACGCGAAUGUUUACCCAAUGGCACUUCAAAGGCAAGGAAUCUAUUUGAGCGGCUAUUACUGCUGCUGGUCUGCAUGUUUUAGAAGGCAGUGAAAUAUGGGAAUUGUACAGAGAAUUUGAGCUAGCUAUAUUUAGUAGGAUUGAUAAGAUUAACUUGAAUGUGAAAUAUUUUAAUUUAUUUUACUUUUUUUUGGGCUUAAAUAACGAGUUUAUUCCCAUCUAUAGAAAGAAAAAGGGAAGGUUUUUUUUUUUUUUGCUGGGGGGGGUGUUUCCAACCCUAGCACAUGACAAGCAUUCCAAGACCCUUGCUGCUUGUUUUGCAGGAAAAGGAAAAACAGGUUCUGCGGAUUCGAAGUAUAUUUCAUCGCCAGUUGUCUGUUCCCCUUGCUAACUCAAGUGCAACUCUUCUUGCCUACAAAUCUUGGGAGCUCAAACAGGGGGCUGUUCUUGAUGUUGAAUCUAGUAAUGUAGAUGGGAUUUCUUCUAAUGUUGCCGCAGCAUACCAAAAGGCAUUGGAGAUGUGUAAUGCACGAGCUCAUGUUGAAGAGCAGAUUUCUAGGCAGGAUUUAUCUGACUCAGAGAAAUUUCAACAAUACAUGGCAGAUGACUUUACUAUCGUCAUUUGAUAGCUUUUUAUAGUAAGUGAAAUCCAGCCCUAAAAAUUUUAUUAAUAUGAAUAUUUUUUUGGGGGGAUUUCUUCUUAUGGCAUUAUUAUUUUGCUUUUGUGUAGCUAACAAUUAAUAUGUGCACUUUAAAUAUUAUCUAUUGUUUCUUAGCAAAUAAUAGUAAUAAUAAUAAGUAAUAAAUAAUUAAUAUCUGCAUUGUCAAAUAAUAAUAAUAAUAAUGUCUGCUCUUUUUACUCUUGGGGGGGGGGGCAUGCAGUGUCAUUAUCUUCCUUCUUCUCCUUUUUCUAUUUUGUGCUUUCAAGUUUAAUAUUAUUAUAUUAAUCUGUUAUUGUUGUAGAUAUACUUGAAGUAUGAGCAAUCUUCUGGAGAUCCUGGUAGAGUUCAACUUCUUUAUGAACGGGCUAUUACCGACUUUCCUGUAUCAAGUGAUCUCUGGCUUGAUUAUACUCGUUAUCUUGACAAAACAUUAAAGGUUUAUCCUUCUAUUUUCUAUUUUACUUCUUCUGUUGCAGCUAUUUGUAUACUAAUCGACUCUCCUCUUCAGGUUGGUAAUGUUGUGAGAGAUGUUUAUUCCAGGGCUACAAAAAAUUGUCCCUGGGUAGGAAAACUUUGGGUACGAUCUUUGCUUUCUCUGGAACAUGGCCGUGUUUCUGAGGAGGAGAUAUCCACUGUAGGUUUAAUUGUUACCCUUCAUUCUGAGCUUAAUCAAUUUUCCUGAAUGUAUUCAUUCUGAGCUUAAUCAAGUUUCCUGAAUGUAAUUGAUUUUGAUUGUUUGAAGUUAAAGAAAUGAUCAGCUUCCUAGGCAAAUUUCUUGGCAAGCACUUGAUUGUGGGAGUAACUGAGGAGAAGCAUUCCCUAGUGUUUUUUUUUGUUUUUCUCCUCCCCUAAAAUUGCAAUAUACUUCCCUUGAAGAGUAUUUUUUGCUUUAGCAUUUACACAUCUGUACAGAAGCAAACAUGAAUCAGAGAGAUUUAGUGGGCAAAUUCACCUGUGCUGACAAAUUAAAGCAUAUUAAAUACCGCGGUGGUUGUUGGAAUGCUCCAAAAAGUGUUUUCUUGGUGCUCCUGCUCCUUUUGCACUUUCAUAGUGUUUUAAUAACUGGGUUGUUUAAAUGUCCUGUACUUAUUUUCUUUACAAAUGUCUUUGUAUUUUUUUAAAUUUAUAAAAGAUUGUUCUAAUUAUAUUAAUAGCAACAAAUUGCGCAAACUCAAAUCUUAAUUUCAUUCUGCCCCUAUUACAUAUAUACGGGAUUCUCCUAUUAUUUCAUCAAAUUUUCCAUUACUAAUUUCAGGUCUUUGAGAAGUCACUACUAUGUACUUUUUCAACCUUUGAGGAGGUAGAGAUAUAAUCUUAUGUCUUCUGUACAUACCUUGGUUUCUUGAGCUGUAUGAUUUGGUAUAUAUCUACUUCUGAUUCAUCAUGCAUUUUUUUGUUAACUGGUUCUUUUUUGUUUGAGUACCUAGAUCUAUUCCUUACUUGAAUAGAUGGUUUGAGGUGGAGAAUUUUAUUCUCCGGUGAAGUUGAGGGCGCCUUGGAUUAUUCAUUGAUAACGGAAACCCUUCAGGUUUGUAAACUUAUACUGUUGGCUAUUCAAUAUUAAAAUUGGUUAUACUCCUUAAUAUCAAGAAAUUGAAGCUUCCCAAAUCAUACCCAAGAAAUGCUCUAUUGUGGAUUACUGGAUGGAGCUAGUUGCUAGAUGAUACCUUUAAGAUUCAAGACAUAUGUUGUUUUGUGUAUGGCUAUCAAGUACUUUGGCCUGCAAUUGUGGCAUAUUGGUCUUACGCCAGCAUCAGGUAUAACAUUGUGUCUGGCAUAUAUACCAUUGGAAUUCUGGGUUUCUGUUGAGUGGGCUCCAACAGCUAUAUUUGUGUCCAAUGUUGUGGGGUCCUCUUCUUUGGUGCUUUUAAGUGAAGUUUUAACUUUCCUUGUCAAAAUUUUGUUACAAAUCAAGUAGAAGGCACUGCACUGAAGCAUUGGUACUUCUAGAUUGCUUGUUUUGCAUGGUAGAUUUCAAUCCAUUGCUUUUAUUUCUUGGAUCAUGUUUAUCAUUGAGGACUUUCUUGGCCAGUCAUAGAGCUGACUAGUGCUACCAUCAUCAUUGGUAGGGCAAAAAAGUCAAUUCCUAUGGGAUGCUUUCUGACUUAGAGAAGAUGUCUUCAAGAAUUUGUGGAUUUAAGUCUUCACACGAUGUUCAACUCUUGAUAGUCUAACCUUGGUACAGGAUUUAUAGCUGUCUUCCAAGUUUGUGCUCAUAAAUGAGUAACCUGUCUGUCUUUAUGAUACCAGUUAAAUUUGUUAGCUUUCCGGGAUUUGGAGGUUGUAAAUGUCCAUAAACAACAAUGUCUUCUCUUCCUUACAGCGUGCAUCAGAUUACUUGUCAGAACAGAUGAAAAAUAACAAUGGUUUGCUGCGUUUGUAUGCUUAUUGGGCACGUCUUGAACAAACUAUGGGAAAAGAUACGGUUUCAGCUCGUAGUGUCUGGGAGAGGCUACUUAAGAUCAGGUUCACCAAUUUUAAUUUUUGCCAGUGCAUACAUAGCAAAAUUUCUUUAUAUCUAUAUAUUUUCGGAUAACUUGUGCUUCUCUUAAUGCAGUGGUACAAUGUUGGAAGCCUGGCAAAGUUAUAUAUCUGUGGAAAUUGAAUUGGGUCAUAUUAAUGAAGCUAGAUCCAUCGACAAGAGAUGCUACAGUAAAAGAUUUACAAGGACAGGUUCAGAGGUAAAUUUCUUUCAUCCUGCUUCUUUAAUGAAUAUUAACUGCUUAACAACGUACCUUGUUGUUUCCAUCUUGUUUGUUUAACUGGUCUUAUUUGUAAACACCUGAAAUCAUACAUCUUAAUUUCUGAUAAUUAGAUGUUAUUUUAGAUAUCUGUAUCUGUUAAUGUUCUUUCAAGUCUGAUUCCAAUGCAUAUUUAGUUAAACUGCUCUUUACUGCAUUUUGGAUUAGUUGAUAUCUUCCUUUCCUAAAAACAGAAUCAUUCAGGACAUAUGCCAUGCUUGGCUGCAAUUUGAAUGGGAAUUUUGUAUAAAAUUUUUAAUGAAUUUAUGGGUUUGAUGAGUAAAAUUAGGGGUUCAUAUAGACUCACCCAUAAAUUGAACCCUUAUUUUAUGUUGAUGCACAACUUAACUUAACAAAAAUAAUGUUCAAAUUGUCACAAAAUUUGAAAAAAAAAUCAUACAGUUAAUUUUUCUUCUACUUUACUCCAUUAUUCAAUGGGCAUAUAAUAAAUUAGGAGAGGGGAGAAAUAAAGGGGAAAAUUAGAGUAUUGUCGCAAUGAUACACUGAUACAAAUGCCCAUUGAGUGAUUGUCAAUGGGCAUAUAAUAAAUUAGGAGAGGGGAGAAAUAAAGGGGAAAAUUAGAGUGAUUGUCACAAUGAUACACUGAUACAAAUGCUUAUGUAUGUGUAGUGUGUGUGUGGGGCGUUCUUUAAUUUGACCAAAAAUAAAUGCAUUUAUUUGUAUUUUUAAUCAAAAUCGAGGGAUAUAAACAAAAAUUUUACCACUCCAGAGUCCAGACAUGUAUCAUUGCCUCGUUAAAAAAAAUUGCAUAAAAUUAAAAAACCAUUAGUGGCUGAAAGAGAGAAACAAAUUAAGAAAGGGUUCAAAAGAUGGAACCCGAAGAGAAAACCCUAGCAACAAUCCCAGAAGAAGAAGAAGAAGAUGGAGACACGGCCAUGCCCGACGUCAAGAACAACCCUAAACCAACAACAACAGCCAACUCUUCGGACUCGAGCGAUGCCUCUGACUCAGACUCGGACUCUGACUCAGAAGAUGAAGCAAAACAGAACAUGGAGCUUCAAACCCUAGAGUAUCAGCUAUCCAAUGAACCCUCCAAUUACGACACCUAUGUUCAAGUAACUUCAAUACACAUAUUUAUUGAGUGAUUUUGUGGAUAACCGUUUGCUUGUUCUUUCUUGGGUUGUGAUAAAAAUGGUUUUUAUCUUUUUUUUUUCAGUAAAUAAAGGUUUUGAGAAAAAUGGGUGAGAUAGAGAAAUUGAGACAAGCUAGGGAAGCCAUGAAUGAGAUUUUUCCAUUGACUCCUGCUAUGUGACAAGAAUGGGUGAGAGAUGAAGCCUCUAUUUCAACUGGGCAUCUGUCAUUUCCUAUUGCAAUGGUUUUUUAUUUUGUGAGCAAAUGUUUUUUUUGCUUAGAGAUAUAGAUGUUUAUGUUAGUUAUUUGCUAAUGUAAGAAGGAACAAAACCUGCUUAAAAGGUAUUAAAGAAAGAAAAAAGGAACCAAUUUAAAGAAGGGGAUACUUAUAGUGGGAGUUCUACUUUGGGGUUUAAUUGAUGGAAAGAAGAAAUAGCUUAUAUGUUUACAGAAUUAGACAUUUGAUCGCUGAGUUAGUUGAGGAAGAUGGUUAAUCACAAUGUCUGAUGUUGUUUCUGUUGGCCUGAACUAGUUGUUAAGAUUUCAUACUUUCAUUCAACAAUACAAUAGACUUUGAUUGGGUCCACCGUAGUUGGGUGUUCUGAGGAAUCAAUGAGUGUCUUGAGAAAACUUGGGUGGAGUGCUGGUCAUUUUCAGGAUUCAGUUUCCAAGAAAACAAAAAUGAAGUCGUAGUUGUAGUUUAAAUUAAUUUAUGUUUUUAUCUUUUUCUGUGAGCCCAGUGAGCUUUUAUUUUCACUUUGUUCGCUUUUGUUUCUUUCCCUUCUUUUCCUACAGUUUCUUGAUAAUCAAACAGAUCAGGAUUAAGUGUUUACUUUUGGUUAGGGGUGGGCGUUCGGUUCGGGUUAACCCGAACUAAACCGAACCUGAAAUUUAUUUCGGGUUCGGUUCGGUUUGGGUUAACUCGUGCAACCCGAACGGAUUCAAAGCUUCAAUCUGUUCGGGUUAAAUUUCGGUUCGGGUUCAACCCGAACCGAAUUUUCAACCCGUUCGGGUUGAAGCUUUUUUUUUUUUAAAGAUUUAGCUUUUAAAUUAAAAAUAUAUAUACAUUAAUUAAACCAAAAAAUCCCUAAAAAUGAAAAAUCCCUAAACAAAAAUCUCUCCCUCUCGGCCUCCCCCUCCUUGCUCCCUCUUCUCACUUCUCAGUUCUCACUUUCUGUGAACUGUGGUUGAUGACAUCAGCACUUCAGCAGCAGCCACAGCAGCCCCGUUCAGCUCCAACAGACACCAGCCGGCCUCAUCGUCUCACUCCCUCCCCCUCCUUGCUCCAUCGUUUCACUCCCUCCCACGACGACAACACUCACAGGCCACAACAGCAGCCAGCAGCCCCGUUCACAGCAGCCCACUCGCGUCAGCCAGCACGCCUCGCCCGCAACUGCGCUGUGCGUUCAGCUCGCGUCCCACUCAGCCCAGGAAGUCUCGAUCUGCCAACGCUGUAGCUGCUCUGACCUCCGAGAUUAAGGUUUGUCUUGCCUUGCCGACGGCGACGCUGUAACUUGCUGACUUGCACGCAACUGAUGGCAACAACCCGAAUUGAAUUUUAAGUUUUUAACAGCCUGUUGCUAUUAAUUAAAUUGUAAAUUUUUAAUUAAUUGAUUGACAAUUAUUCAAUUAUUUGAAGUGGGUUUGUUGUUGUUGAUUGAUAAUUGAACCCGAACUAAUCCAAACUAACCCGAAUUAACCCGAACCGAAAUUGUAACCCGAAUUAUCAACCCAAUCCGAUCCGAAUUGUCAAUCCAAACCGAACCGAACCGAAUUGGUUCGGGUUGGCGUUUUCAACCCGAUUGGGUUCAAUUCUCCAACCCGAACGGGUUGAAACCCAAACCGAAACCCGAACAACCCGAACCGAAACCCGAAACGCCCACCCCUACUUUUGGUGUAAUUAUUCACUCUAACUCGAAUAGUACUUAGGUUUAGUGCUAACAAAAUAGGAAGUGAAUUAAUAUCUGAAGUUGACCUAGGAGUGGAAUGAAUGUUACCAAAAAUAUACUAUAUGGUAGAUAGAAUUUGCCUUUUAGGUAAGACAAAAAUAAUUACAGCUGUUAAUUUAUUUCAAUAAGUUCGUACAUCAUUGAAUAAUAAGUCCAAGAUUUUAAUGGUUUUGUUUCCUGAAAAUUUGUCACGAGUGCAUGAACAAAGUUCUAUGGAUGAACUUCUCUUAGUUAAUUUGAGUUCAAUGUCGCAGUUCCUCAUAUUAACUAUAUAAAACACUAAUCUUGCUCUUUACUUUGGAGCAUUUUAAUAAUUGAUGCUAAUUCCUUAGCCAUUUUAUUCAUCUUGUGCAUAAAUUAUGCAAUCAAUAAGCCAACUCCACUUUCAUCUUUAUUUAGUGAAAAAUUUGCAAGGUCACUAGGAGGUUUUUGUAUGUCUCAUGCUAACAUGGACGCCAUGGUUUCACUAUGUAAAUUUUCCCCACUGAAAUUCAUGAUCCCUCAUAUACCACUCAUCACUCAUGAAGCUGUUUCUGGGGCUUUAAAAGCGCCAAAUUUUAGUUUUAUCCUUUCUAGCUUAUUAACCUGUCCGCAUCUGCAUUAUUAUCUUUCCUGUCAUACGAAAGUUUCAUUUAUCAUCUUCCCAACAUAAACAUCCGUAGGUCAUUGUUGACUUUUUUGCUUUGACACUUAUUGUUUCUAAGUAUAGGCUACCAAGGGAGAAAAAAAUUGACAUUGAUGGUCAUCCCCAGCAUUUUUAUCCCAGGAGACUGGUCAUUCACUUUCUAUGAAGGACUAUAUAGACAUCCAGACUCUAUUUUGAAGGACAAAGCUGUGGCUGAGCUUGGUUGUGGAAAUGGAUGGAUAACCAUUGCCAUAGCUGAGAAGUGGUUGCCUUUGAAGUUUUGUUGGUUUGUCGUCCUUAUGCCAUGUGAGAGCUUUUAUUUCCUUCCCUACCAGUGCCUUCAGGGGCUCCAUCAUGAUUUCUCUCAUCAUUUUCUAUCUCUGUGUUUUGCAAGGCCAUUUGAUAUUUAUAACAGCAUUGGCACCAGGUUAUGGUGAUUUAAUGCACUCCUAUUAGGAAAAAUUACAUAAUUAUCAACUCUGUCCUUGUCCAAAAGUCUUUGUUGGAGUAUGUUGAAAAUAUAACCUUGUAGGAGUUCUUUUAUGCUGUCUGAAUAUCCUAUUGCAGGUCUAUGGCCUUGAUAUUAAUCCCAGAGCAAUAAAGAUCUCUUGGAUAAAAUUGUACUUAAAUGCAUUAGAUGAAUCUUUUUCUAAGCUUUUCUGUCACUGUCACUGCAAAAGGUCUUUUGUAUUGAGGGUUAUCUGUGGGGCUAGGAAAGGUCAGCCCAUCUAUGAUGCGGUGAAGAAAACCUUACUGGAUAGGGUGGAGUUUGAUGAAUCUAAUCUCCUAGCAUAUUGUAGACAUCAUGACAUUCAACUUGAAUGAAUAGUGGGGUGCAGACCUCAGGUACUCUCACUUUCUGCAACUCAUGAUAUUUCUAGGGGAUUAAAUUUUAGUGAAGUUUGUUUACCCAACAUCAAGUUGGAAUUUUAGUGUGCCCACAUGGAUUACUUUUAACUCCUAGUUUAACUUAUUCUGUUGUCUCCAUGCAGGUUCUCAACCCCAAUUCCAAUGCAAUGUCGAAAAUAAUCACUGAAAAUGCAAGCGAGGAAUUUCUGUAUUCAUUGAGUAACUAUUGUGGAUUGCAGGUUGGAAGAUAUUCUAAAUAAUUUAAUUGUGAUGCGCAAUUGCAAUUGCCGGGAAGUUAGCAAUUAAGUUGAUAGGCUUCUUCUGGUUUCACAUAUUUCUAAGUAACAACUUUGGUUUGAAGCUUGCAUACCUUAGGUAAGGUUGAUGUCUUUAGUUGGUCAAUAUCAAUUGGGAAAUAUAGCUAACCAGUGAAGACAGUGGGAAAAGGAUGAUGUGAGUUUGACAAAUGCUGGGAGGAGAUAGGGAAACUUAAUCUGAAAGAUUUCUUUUUUUUUCUUGGUUUAUUUAUUUAUUUACUCGUGUGACCUCUUCACAAUGCCAUUGAUUCCCAUAGUUCAUGUUGCUAGGUGAACUUAACAACAACCAUCUAUUAUGCCUUGUGGAUAACUGAGAAAAUUUAUUGCUUUGGACAAGUUGCUUUUUGAAAUAGAGUGCAAGUAGAUUGACUAAUAAUGAACUUAUUGUAUCAAGUUGUUACAUUUGAAUAUAUUAAGGUCAUAUAAAGCUUACUUGUUAUACUUCUUUUUUUCUUUUUUCCCUCCCCAUUUCCCUGUAUGGAGGGUUUCUUGGACGAUCAGUUUGGCUUAGGUCUAAUUUUCUCGAGCAGUUAAGGAAUUACUGUUAUCAAAAUAAAGUUUCCUCUCACUCACUAGCCAAUUGAGCAGCUCGUCACCGGUCGGAUUCAUUGCCGAUUGCAGCCCACCUCCAUCAUGUCAGUUCAGUAGCUUGUCGCUGCAGUCAUGAUCGGCCUCUUUGUUGUCGUUGAAGAACCAAUCAAUAAUGAUGAUGAUUGAUGAUGAUGAUGAUUACCAUUGUUGAUGAUUAAUAUUAUUGAUGAUGAUGAUGUAGAUGAUGUAAUUGCGGUGAGAUGAUGAAGAUGAAACUGAAUUGUGAUGUUGAUAAUGAAAUUGACAGAAGGAAGAAGAAGAUUGUGAAAAAUCUGACUUCUUCACUCGUAUUACAUUAGAGAAGAAUACAUAUUUAUAUACAUUACACCCUAGGAAUAAAAUGGUAAAAAAAAAACAGCUAAGAUAUUGCAAAUCAGUAUCCCUGAAAAUUAGGGAUUAUAUAUCCUAAAAUCUAGUAUUUAAGUCAACACAUAGCUGUAAAAUACAGCUAACAUCUACAACAAUAGUCAACACACAGCUGUAAAAUACAACUGACAUCUGCAACACUCCCCCUCAAGCUGGAGCAUAGAUAUUCUUCAUGCCUAGCUUGCAUACAAACUCUUCAAACUUGUGUCCAUGCAUUCCUUUUGUCAACAUAUCUGCAGUUUGUUGUCCUGUUAGAAUAUACACCAAACAGAUAACUCCAGUUUCCAAUUUCUCUUUAAUAAAAUGUCGGUCUACCUCCACAUGUUUUGUCCUGUCAUGAUGGACAGGAUUAUGGGCAAUAUUAAUUGCUGCCUUAUUGUCACAGUAAAGUUGCAUAGAACUAUUUUUUAUUAACUGUAGUUCUUUGAGAACACGUUCUAUCCACAUAAGCUCACAUACCGCAUGUGCUAGUGCUCGAAAUUCUGCUUCUGCACUGCUUCGUGCCACUACAGUUUGCUUCUUGCUUCUCCAAGUUACAAGGUUUCCCCACACCUUAGUACAAUAACCCGUUGUAGACUUCCUAUCCAUGAUGUUUCCAGCCCAAUCCGCAUCAACAAAAGCUUCUACAUUCCUUUUUUCUCCCUUCUCAAAAUAAAGUCCCUUUCCCGGUGUUGACUUCAGGUAUUGAAGUAUUCGGUUUACUGCCACUAAGUGAGCUUCUUUUGGGGCGUGCAUAAACUGGCUCACUAAGCUAACCGCAAAAGCAAUAUCAAGUCUAGUAUGGGAAAGAUAAAUUAAUCUCCCUACUAGCCUUUGAUAUCUCCCCCUCUCCACGGGUGCACUAUUUUCUUCAAGACCCAACUUGCUAUUUGGUUCAAUUGGUGUGGCAGCAGGUUUACAGCCAAUCAUACCAGUAUCCUUUAGCAAAUCUAGGGUGCAUUUCCGUUGUGUAACUAGAAUACCUUUAGCUGUUCUAGCUACCUCCAUUCCCAAAAAAUAACGUAGUGGUCCAAGAUCCUUGAUUUCAAACUCACCAGCUAAUUUUUCUUUUAAUCCUUCCAGCUCUUCUUUGUCAUCUCCUGUUAGUAUAAUGUCAUUAACAUACACGAUCAAAAUAGCUAACUUCCCUUCUUUAGACCGUUUGUAGAACAUAGUAUGAUCGGCUUGCCCUUAAGAAUAACCAUAGUUCUUCAAGACUUUCCAAAUCGAUCGAACCAAGCCCUAGGGGACUGUUUAAGGCCAUAGAGAGACCUUUUUAACCGACAAACUCUUCCAGCAGGUCCUUUUUCUUCAAAACCAGGCGGCAUAUCCAUGUAAACUUCCUCUUCCAAUUCUCCAUUCAAGAAUGCAUUCUUGAUAUCAAGUUGGUUGAGAGGCCAAUCUAAAUUUGCAGCAAGAGAGAGAAGGAUCCUUACAGUAUUAAGCUUUGCCACUGGAGCAAAAGUUUCUAGAUAGUCCACCCCAUAGGUUUGUGUGAAACCUUUCGCCACGAGUCUUGCUUUAUACCUGUCCACACUUCCAUCAACCUUAAAUUUGACUGUAAAUACCCACUUGCACCCCACAGUCCUCUUGUCUUUAGGUCUUGGUACAAGCUUCCAUGUGUUAUUCUUUAUUAAGGCUGCCAUUUCUUCUUAAACAGUUUUCUUCCACUCAUUUGACUCUAGGGCUUCAUGGAUGUUUCUUGGAAUAGUGGUAUUAGAUAGACUGGCCACAAAAUUCCUAUACUCCUUAGAUAGAUUUGCAUAUGACAAGAACUUGUUGAUAGGAUGUUUAGUGCAAUUUCUUACCCCUUUCCUUAUCGCAAUAGGCAAAUCUGUGGACUUCUGAGCUUCGUUCUCAGCAUAUUCAGUAGGUGGGUUUUGAUCCUCCCUUAGUUCAGAUCUCGGUUCUGCUUGGUCUAUAAGUGGCUGUACCUCUUGAGUUUUAUUCUUCUUUCGUGAAUAGACAUGAAACUCGCCUAUAGGUUCCUCCAAAUGUGAAUUGGUUUUUAUUCCUUCAUUCCUUGGUGACACUAUUGGUUGAUUAAGUUCUAUGGUGUUAGGUAGGUUAGGAUGAAUGUCUGGACUGAGGAAGGAGGUAUUUGGUAGAUUGAGUUCUAGGCUGGAAUUACUGGACAUAUUAGGUUCUAGGCUGGAACAUCUGGACAUAUUGGGUUCUAGGCUGGAACUACUGGACAUAUUGGGUUCUAGGCUGAAAUUACUAGGCAUCUUAGGUUCUAAAAUGCCAAGAAGAUCCCAGGAAUUAUCUUCUCUCAAAUUCUGCCCCUGAAGAGAAUUACUCGUGUAAAAAGGCUGAUUUCAAAGAACUUGACAUCCAUUGUGACGAAUAAUUUUUUGGUAAGAGGAUUAUAACACUUGAACCCUUUCUUGGUAGGAGAAUAUCCUAGAAAUAGGCACUUGAUGGCUCUAGGAGACAACUUUGUUCUUUGAAGACUCGGAAGAUAUACAAAGGCUGUACAACCAAAAGUUUUGAGUGCAAAAUUAGAGGUAACAAGGUGAUUUUGUGGGUAGCUGUCAAGAAAAACAAAAAUAGGUGUCUUGAAUUUAAGAACUCGAGAGGGCAUACGAUUUAUGAGAUAAGAUGCUGUAAGAAUGGCCUCUCCCCAAUAUAUUUUUGGUACAUUAGUUGUGAACAUAAUGACCCUAGCAACCUCUAAAAGGUGUCUGUUUUACGUUCUGCAACCCCAUUUUGUUGUGGUGUUUCGGAACAAGAACUUUGGUGGACAAUUCCUUGUUGUGAUAGGUAAUUCCCUAAAAUAGAAUUGAAAUACUCAGUUCCAUUAUCUGUACGGAGUACACGAUUUUCAGUUUGAAACUGAGUUUUUACCAUGACAUGGAAUUGUUUAAAAGUUUGUCCAGCUUCAGAUUUUUCCUUCAAAAGGUACACCCAAGUGGUCCUAGAGUGGUCAUCUAUGAAUGUUAUGAACCAUUUUGCUUUUGACAGGUUGUUAACCCUUGAGGGGCCCCAAAUAUCACUAUGAAUCAAAGAGAAAGGCUGGGAUGGUUUAUAAGUACGGGUAGGAAAUGAAACACGUGUUUGUUUAGCCAUUUAACAAAAGUCACAAUAUAAUAAACUCAAAUUUUGAUUUUUAAAUAAGGAAGGAAACAAGGUUUUUAGAUAUGGAAAGCUAGGGUGGCCUAACCUAUAGUGCCACAACAUUAUUUCAGAAGAAACAAAUUCACAUUGAGAGACCUGAGCAUGUCCUUUCACGAGUCUUUUAUUCUCGAGAUAGUACAGUCCCUCAUAUUCCUUUGCAUUCCUAGUCAUCCUCCCCAAGAUUGGAUCCUGAAAUAGACAUUUAGAACCACAGAAUUUAGCUACACAGUUUGUGUCUUUAGUAAGUUUACUAACUGAAAGAAGAUUGCAUUUAAGAUUUGGGACAUGUAAAACUGAAAAAGAGUCAAACAAUUUGAUAGUUUUACUGUUCCUUUUCCAGCAACAGUGGAUAAUGAUCCAUCAGCAAUCCUCACUUUAUAAUUACCUGGACAUGGAGUGUAACUAGAGAAAAAUUGAGAAGACCCUGUCAUAUGGUCUGAGGUCCCUGAAUCAACAAUCCAAGAACCUUUUUCAAGGGAUUGGAUGCUAAGGGCUGAUGGGUUACCUGUAUGGACUGCAUUACAACUAGAGGAGGUCAAGUCAUUUUUAUUUGCUUGCUGAUUUUGUAUAAGGAGCUGUUGCAGCAUCUCAAAUUGAUCUUUUGCGAGGGCAAACUGAUUAGUUUUCUCUGUCACCAUUCCCUUUGCUUCUUGCUGCCGUUUUGGUUUCCAAUCUGCUGGCUUUCCAUGAAGCCUCCAGCAUGAGUCUCGAGUAUGCCCUUUCUUGUGACAAUAGUCGCAAUAGGGACGUUCUCCAUGUUUUUGUCCCUUUUGGUUAGCUGACUGAUCUGUCUUUUUGGUCACCAGCGCUGAUCUCUCCGCCUCAGGUUCCUUCACCAGUCCCAUCAUGACUCUCUUUCGACUUUCUUCACGCCCCACCUCAACAAAAGCUUCUCGGAUGGAGGGUAGAGGAUUCUUUCCUAAUAUUCUGCCACGAACUUCAUCAAGUUCUUUGUUGAGUCCAUAAAGGAAAUCAAAGAGACGUUCUUUAUCCAACAUCCUCUUAUUUUGAUGGCAUCCUCAGAGCAAUGCCAUUGCGAUUCAUAGUAAAGGUCAAGUUCAUGCCAUAUAUUGUUUAGAGAAUUGAAAUAUUGAGUCACUGAAAGACUCCCUUGCUUUUGGUCACGUAAUUGUGACUUGAUUUCAAAGAGCUGAGCUGCAUUCCCCAGGUCAGAGUAAGUUUCUGUCACGGCUUCCCAAAGCUCCUUCGCAGAUGGUAGGAAGAGAUAAGUCCUACCAAUAUCCACGUCCAUCGAGUUGAUCAACCAAGUUUGCACCAUUGAAUUUUCAGCAUCCCACUGUGGAUAACCUGGAUCCAAGACAUCAGGGGCUUUGGUUUCCCCUGUAAUAUACCCUAAUCGGCCUUUGCCACGAAGAAAUAGGGUGACAGAUUGAGACCAUUGCAAAAAGUUUCUGCCAUUUAACUUGUGCAAAGUUAUUUGCAAAGAGGGGUUUUCGGUACCUAAGGAGACCGAAGAGAUGUCCUGCCUUGUUACAGAACUGGAGGAAAUCUCAGAUUCUUGUGUAGGGUUUGUUGUCUUCUCCAUUGGAUGGGUUGAGAGUUUAGAAUGAGAAAAAAAUUCAGAGGCUUAGUUUAAAAGAGUUGCUCUGAUACCAUGUGAAAAAUCAGACUUCUUCACUUGUAUUACAUUAGAGAAGAAUACAUAUUUAUAUACAUUACACCCUAGGAAUAAAAUGGUAAAAGAAAAAAAAGCUAAGAUAUUGCAAAUCAAUAUCCCUGAAAAUUAGGGAUUAUAUAUCCUAAAAUCUAGUAUUUAAGUCAACACAUAGCUGUAAAAUACAGCUAACAUCUACAACAAUAGUCAACACACAGCUGUAAAAUACAGCUGACAUCUGCAACAAAGAUAAUUGUGGUGAUGAUGAUGAUGUUGAUGGAGAAGAUGAAAUUGACAUGAUUGAUGAUGAAGUAACGAAGAAUUUGUAAAACACACACACACACACACACAGAGAGAGAGAGAGAGAGAGAGAGAGAGAGAGAGAGAGAGAGAGAGAGAGAGAGGAGAAGAGGAUAAAAAAAAAGAUAGAGAAAAACAGGAGAGAAAAUAAUAACAAAAACAAAAGAGGAAAAUAAUUAUUAUUGUUAUUAUUAUUAUUAACAAUAACUUUCUUAAUAACCAUAAUCAUAUAAUAGAUAAUAAAAAUAGAAGGUAAUAAUAACUAAGGGUAUUUUAAUAAUUUAAAUAAUUUAUUGUAAUUUCAAGGUAAAGUAAAUAUAUUAAUGAUAAUACAGUUUAUUUUAAUUUUGAUUCUUAUAAUUGAAGUAAAUAAUUUAUUUUAAUUUUUAUUUCACAUUUUAAUUUUAUUCUAUUCUGAAUUAGUAAACGCAUCAUAAAAUCAUGUGAUUCUACUCUAUAUGUGAGAUUGAUUUUUUUCUUUAAGGCCUACGACAUCCCAAUACAAGUCUAUAUAGGACCAAGCUACUAAGUGGACGGUCAUAAAAACUUAAAAAGGCAUAAAAUUGGAUGGCCGUCUAAUUAAUUUCCCGUGACCUACAACAAAAAUUUAAGAAGGAACUCCGAUACCAUCAAUUCUGCAUUUUAAUUUGAAGUUGGAAAACAGUGAAAACAGAAGGAUCGGGUGAUUUAAUUUUAUACAUAUUUAAUCAAGUAAAAAUGGCACGUGCGUUGUAAUUUGCCCAGUUAUCUUACUUUGAAUAAUAACAAAGUUCAAAUUUUGUAUUCAGUGAAAAAUCAAUUCUAUAGUGAAAAACACUAGCUAGAAAAAAAUCUAUGUCCUGAUGUCUUAGUUUAUAAGCUCAAACAAUGAAUAGUAUACAUACAACGCAUGAUAGAACACAAACUCAUAUAGAUUUUUAGUUUUGAAAUUCAUUUCAGAAAAUCUGUUCUGUUCAACAGGUUAUAGAUUAUCAACUAAACUCUGCCCACAUUCUUAGCUCUGCCAUUGGAAGUACGCAACUCAGCUGCCCAUCGACCGCCAAGCCAUCAAGACAAUACCAAGAUACAACAUCAAUAAUAAUAACAUCAAGAAUUACAUAGAGGCCGUCGCACGUUACACCCACUCCAACAGGAAACUAAUUAAUACCCUCCAAGCUCCUCUGUUUCAAAUCCAAAUCCACUGCUCGACCAUUUACUAUGACGUAAGGUAUAUGGAUUAAUUAACAAGUGCCGAUAUUGUCCUCCAUCCUUUUGUGUACCUUUCUUCUGGCAAGGCCUUUUCUGGAAAGUAUUUGAGCUCCAGACAAUUGCAGAAUUUCAAUUUGCUGAGGUUUUGAUGAUCAGCAAUUGAAGAAGACAGGUGUUAAUAAUUAUGAAGAACUGGUGUAAUUUAUAUCAUGUAGGAAGCCCUUCAGUUACUUUUUUGACCGUGCUCAAGCUCUUUUAAGGGCUAAUAUUAAAAUUUCGUGAUAUUGUGCCAAAAGAGCUUCGUACGUCAUUGUAAACUGUUCAUCGUUAUGUGCUGCUUCCCCAUUUAAUUACAUUUAUUUAACAUUUUAAAGAUGGAAGUAGAAAUUAAAACUCAGUUUUUCAGAUAUGGCUCAUAUACAAUGCAAGUAUCAAGAUUUAAUUAGAGUUCAAUAUACAUGCGUCUAGUUUUUAUUGAGAGAAACAAAUCAUAAAUACUCAGGUGUUUCUAAAUGAUUGAAUAACGAUAUUAUUGUUAUUUAUAAAUUUAUAAGGAUAAAUAACUAAUAGUCCACCAUAAAUACCGAAAAGGGUCCCCAGCAUAACUUGAACAACUUUACUUGUGUUUGCUCAUUGAAUAAUGUUAUAAGAAAGAAAUACAUAUGUCAGAAGAUUCAUAGUAUAUUGGAGUGUUUUUUGUACUUGAAUGAGAAUGAAUGAAGGUAUGUUAAUUUACUUUAAAUAAUUGUCUAAAAGGAAUAGAAAUGCUCUAUAACAUACCAAAUACUACCUUAAUCAAAAUUUAUUUGACAAAAAUUUUUAAAAAAUGGAAUAAUUAACCCUAAUUAAAUAAUUGUCUUAUAUCACCAAACUCUUUUUUUUUUAAUUAAGCCAUCACCAAACUCUGUAAAGCAUAAAAUAUAAUAGGCAAAUUUGAGUUAAAAAAAAAUGAAGUUAGGAAAAUGACUUGCAUAUUGUCUUUGAUGAGCGCAUAAUUUUCUUUUAAAAAAAAUGUUGAAAUGAACUCAAACUCGUUAGUGCAACUUGUCGGUUUUAAGUUGUAGAUACGAGUGACAUGUCAUUUUAGCUGAACUAGAUUCCAGAGCUCACAUUUGGGCAGUGUCAUCCAAGAACAUUAAAACUCACGUGACUAUUGCACGCAUGGUUUAAGCUGAAAUGACGUUGCUAGCAGUCGUUUAAGGAAGGCCUUUAAGUGUCACAUGAGUUGCUCGUGAUAGGAGGUUAAAAGCUGUUGGUUUUGGAGGGAAACCCCUGAAGCUGUUACGCCUGCAUCUUCUGGUAUAUAAACGAGCUGGUUCUGGUGUCAUAGUCAGUAAUCAAGGAAAGAGAGAUAAAGCAUCUGUACUGAGAGAAAAUCUUGACAGGGUGGUCUCUGUAUUGUGUAUAAUUUCUCUAUAACCUUGGAAGCUUAAUAAAACUGCUCUCUGUGUUGGUUUUCUCCAGUGGAUGUAGGCACCCUUCAACAGGUGCUGAACCACUUAAGCUCGGUGUGUUCUUUGUCUUUGGGUUAUGAUCUUUGAUCUGUGCAUUGUUCUUUGUUAACGUAAGAUUAGUUCUUGAAUCUUUGAGUCAGAGUUGGGUCUUGGGGUAAGGUUAAUCUAGUAACUAAAGGUUAAUUUCACAACAAUUGGUAUCAGAGCUCUAAACUCUGAUUUCAAGGUUCAAGAAUGGGUUCAAAAGUGGAUCUUGAGAAGUUUACGGGGCAGAAUGAUUUCAAUAUGUGGAAGAUCAAGAUGGAGGCUUUGUUGAUUACUCAAGAGCUGGGAGAAGCCAUAGAUCCAGUCACUAAGAUUGAAGAAGGUGAGGCUUCAUCAUCUAAGAUCCCAGAACAGGUAGCAGAGAUAGACAAGAAAGCCAGGAGCACAAUCAUACUAAGUCUUGGUGACUCUGUAAUUCGAGAAGUGGCCAAGGAAAGGACUGUUGCUGGUUUAUGGGCUAAGUUGGAGAACUUGUAUAUGACAAAGUCUUUGGCAAAUAGACUUUACAUUAAGAAGAAGAUGUUCUCACUGAAGAUGAUUGAAGGGGCAUCAUUAACAGAACAUGUUGAUGAAUUCAAUAAGGUUUGUGAUGAACUGGAGACUAUAGAUGAAGGGCUGAGUGAUGAGAGCAAAGCCUUGCUACUAAUCAGCUCUUUACCAAAGUCUUACGAGCACUUUGUGGAUGCACUGCUGUAUGAGAGGCAAACACUCUCCCUAGAAGAGGUUAAAUCUGCUCUUGGCACAAAGAAGCUGAAAGAUAAGCAAGAUAAUCCAGAAAGUGAAUCAAGUGAGGGAUUGAUGGCAAGAGGCAGGUCUGAGAAAAGAGAUAACAAUGAAAAAAGCAAGGCAGAUCAAAGUCUAAACAAAAGAAUUUGAAGUGUUUUCAUUGCCAUAAAGAAGGGCAUUUCAAGAGAGAUUGCCCUGAAAGAAAGAACAAGAAUAAAGAAACCAAAGAAAGAACAGGUAAUGCAGCCAUAGCCACAGAAGAAGAAUGUAACUUUGAAACAGCCGGAGUACUCAUUGCCACAAGUCAGAAACCUCAAGGUCAGUGGGUCCUUAACUCAGGUUGUACCUUUCAUAUGUGUCCAAAUAGGAGUUAUUUUACAACAUAUCAGCCAUGUGAUGGGGGUAUGGUUCUAAUGGGUAAUAACUCAAUGUGUAAGGUAGCUGGUAUUGGGACUGUUAGCCUUAGGAUGUUUGAUGGGGUGAUAAGGGAAUUGACACAAGUGAGAUUUGUCCCUGAUCUAAAAAGGAACUUAAUCUCAAUUGGCAUGCUAGAUCAAACAGGUUGUGUAAUUAAGGCUGAGAAAUGUGUAUUGAGGGUAAUUAAAGGAUCAAUGGUGAUCAUGAAAGGCAUAAAACAAAAUGGUCUAUAUGUGAUGGAUGGACAUACUGUUGUUGGGGAGGCAAGUGUGACUGACAGUAAAUGGAACAGAUCAAUGAUGUGGCAUUUAAGGAUGGGGCAUAUGAGUGAAAGAGGUUUGAGAGAGUUACAAAAACAAGGAGUGUUUGGGGAUGAUCAAAUAGGAGCUUUGGGGUUCUGUGAGGAUUGUAUUCUAGGAAAAUCCUCCAGGUUAAGGUUUGAGAUUGCAGCUCAUACCACCAAAGAGAAGCUUGAAUACAUACACUCUGAUUUGUGGGGGCCUGUACAAGUAAACUCACUAGGUGGAUGUAGAUAUUUUCUGACUUUUAUAGAUGAUUUUUCAAGGAUGGUUUGGGUCUUUGCACUCAAAAGCAAAGAUGAGGUUCUGGAAAAAUUCAAAAACUGGAAAACUUUUGUUGAGAACCAGACUGGUCUGAAGGUGAAAACUCUGAGGACAGACAAUGGCUUGGAGUAUUGCAACAAGCUGUUUGAAGAAUUCUGUGAAAAGAAUGGUAUUCAGAGGCACAAAACUGUCACCUACACCCCUUAACAGAAUGGCCUUGCUGAGAGGAUGAAUAGGACUCUGGUGGAGAAGGUGAGAUGCAUGUUAAUCUAUUCUAAGCUCCCAAAAACCCUUUGGGCAGAAGCUUUAAACACAGCAUGCUAUCUAGUCAACAGGAGCCCAUCAACUGCUAUAGAUUGUAAAACACCAAUGGAGCUUUGGUCAGGAAGAAGGGCUGACUAUACAAAACUCUGAAUCUUUGGGUGCACAACAUAUGCUCAUGUGAAGUAGGGUAAGCUGGAACCAAGGGCAUUAAAAUGCAGAUUUCUGGGGUAUCCGGAUGGGGUCAAGGGCUAUAGAUUAUAGUGUGUUGACACAAAACCACCACAGUGCAUCAUAAGCAGGGAUGUAAAAUUCCAUGAAGAAGAGCUAUUGAAUAAACCAAAGAGCUCAGAUAACAAUAUGGAAUCAAGCACUGAGACUGAUAUAGUGAAGUUUCAGGUGGAGCCUCAAAACUUGAAAGAACUUGAGCCUGAAAUUGAAGGUACUGAAGCAGAACCUGAAGCUGGUGUUGAACAUGAAUCAGCUGAAAGUGAAGAGAACACCUAUCAGUUGGCUAGAGACAGAAAGAAAAGGACAAUAAAGCCACCUAAAAGAUAUGCAGUAGUUGACUUGAUUGCAUAUGCUUUGAAUGUUGCUCAAGAGCUGAAUGAUGAUGAACCUAGGACCUAUCAAGAAGCUAUCACAGGCAAAAACAAGCUGGAAUGGAAGAGGGCAAUGGAUGAAGAGAUGACAUCCCUGAUUAAAAACAAGACCUGGACAUUGAUUGAAAAACCAGACAAGAGGAAAACAGCAAGCUGCAAAUGGAUCUUCAAAAUUAAAAAUGGUGUACCUGGAGCUGAACCUAGAAGAUUUAAAGCUAGAUUGGUGGCAAGGGGUUUUACACAGAAGGAGGGAAUUGACUUCACUGAAGUAUUUUCUCCUGUGGUGAGACAUGCUUCCAUCAGAGUUAUUCUUGCACUUGUGGCUGUGCAAGAUAUGCAUCUUGAGCAGAUGGAUGUAAAAACAACAUUUCUGCAUGGUGAGUUACAAAAAGAAAUUGUAAUGCAGCAGCCUGAAGGAUAUGUAGCAUCUGGAAAAGAAGACUAUGUUUGCUUACUUAAGAAGUCUCUGUAUGGGUUGAAGCAGUCACAUAGGCAAUGGUAUCUGAGUUUCAGAUAUUUUUGACAUGUCGGUUUAUAACCUUGAUUGUGCAUGCCCUGUCGGUUGCGUGAUGAAACAGGAGAAUAUUGACAUCUGUGUAUUAUCGUUUACUUCCUGCAAUUAAAUCACAUGUUGUUCAUUCCAUUUACACUAUACGGCACAUUUGGCAGUUGUUUUGGUCACUUAUUGAAGCACGGGUUAAGUACUUGAUUCAAGGUUGUUAACUGACCUUUACAAGGCGGGAAAAUUCUGGGUUUGUUAUAACAAACCCCGGAAUGCAGCUAGUGAGUGGGGACUUUUCUAGACUCUUCAUGAUAUGUAUAUAUAGUCUUAGAGGCUAUAGUUGAGACAUAUGAAAAGCUUCUUAAUGUUUGUAGUUUGAUCUCGGUGAUGGAGAUAAGAUUGCUGCCCUGUUCUUCAGUGGAUAUAGGCUAUCUCCAAGCCGAACCACUUAAAUUGUGCCUCUGUUUUGCUUGAUGACUACCAGUGGUGAGAAAACACCUACAGAACAAAUCAAGCUUGAUGACUCAAAUAUUAGGGAAGCCAUAGUCAAGGUAUCUGGUUUAUGCAUCAACAGUGGUUCGUGGACUAGAAUUCCUAUCUAUUGUCGCUUCACAAUUGCACUGGAAGAAAGCGAAUUUGAUCGAGCUUUGGAUCGCAUAGCUAAAUUCAAAAGCAUCGUACAAAUAGUUAACUAAAAGACGGUAUUGUCAUUUGUCAUGAUUUAUUUCUAUUGCCUGAUGAUGAUACCCAUCACGCCUUAGUUGUCGUGAAUAAAUCUAAAAUCAAAUUGAACUGGUUUUUACUGGUUAGCAACAAUUGUGACGUUUUGAGAUUAUAAUAUAUGACAACACUGAUUAGUGUUGUCUCCCAUGUGAAUUGAGACAAAAAUUAUUUUCCCAAUUGCGCUUUCAUUUGAACAAUUCCACUGUAGAUUUAUAAAAUAAUGAUCAAAUUGUGUUUUAUAUUAAGUUACGAGUAAUUGGUUAAACAUUAAUACAAAACUAUUUUAAGUAACAUGUGGCAUAUUCUAAUUCUAGCCAAGCUUCCAACUAAGAUUCCCAAAUCAAAAGAAUUUCAAUCUUCAGAACAUUCUGCAAAACGUUUAGUCUCUACGCAGUGCUAGAAUUUUCCCUAAGUUUCUAUUGCAAAGACUUCUAAAGAACUAUUCAGAUAUCGAGCUAUAAUCCAGUCUAAAGUGCAUAUAUCUCUCUAAUUCACCUCCCUCCAUUUCACCAGAAAAUCAAUAAACACUUAGCUUCAAACAAACACUCUCAAAAAGCUAGCUAGCUAUCCAGAUGGAAAAACCAAGAAUUCUUGCAAUGACAAUGUUGUUUCUUGUUAUGGCAGCAACAUUGAUAAACAUGGCAUCACAAGCAAUAGCUCUGAUGCCGUACACACAAUCACCUUUCUUUGACAUGAUGUUCCCAAUGACGGAAGAGCCUUUCAGGGUUCUUGAACAAACCCCUUUAACAAUCGCAAAAGGAGCUGAUCAUCAUCAAACUCUAGCCCUGGCGAGAGCAGACUGGAUGGAGACACCAACAGCCCACGUGAUCACGCUCGACAUUCCAGGGAUGAAGAAAGAUAAUAUGAAGAUUGAAGUUGAAGAGAACAGAGUACUGAGAGUGAGUGGGGAGAGGAAGAGUAAUGAUUAUUAUAAGGAGGGAGUUGAAGGAGAGAAAUGGCACAAAGCUGAGAGGACAUUUGGCAAGUUUUGGAGGCAGUUUAGGAUGCCAAUGAGUGUUGACUUGGAACAUGUUAAGGCUCACAUGAAAAAUGGGAUUCUGAGGGUCACAGUGCCAAAGCUUGCUGAGGAGAAGAAGAGGCAGCCUAAGGUUAUUAACAUUGAUGAAGAGUCUGGUAAUUCUUCCAAUGAAGAUAUUAAGGCUACCAAGGCUCAAAUGUAAUUAAUUAAAGAAAGAAGUGAUUGCUUUGCUUGAUGUGCUAUUUGUUUAUGAUCUUUUUUUGGUUUUGUUCCGAGAUGUUUCUAUUUGGAUGCUCUAUUUAAUGUAUGUUGAUGGGUUUUUGAGGAAGGCUUGUAUGUAUUGACAACCAUAAAAUACUUUUUAUAAAUCCUAGUCCUACAACACUAAAAGAAAACAAUACGUUUGGUUUAUAGUUAAUAAAAAUAUAUUUUUUUAAAAAAUUCUUUUUCUUUGGCAUAUAGUAUGCGUUUUGAGGGGAAAAAAAUUUAUCCCACUCCUAAUUUGUCAUCUGUGAUAUUAAUGUGUUAGCACGAAGAUUCAUUGUAAUUGCAACAAUUUUGAUGAAUCCAAACGUUCAAUAACUGUUAAAUUGUAUUUUAUAAAUACUAAUAGCGAAGGUACAGAAACGAUUAAUCCAAGAAGUUGCUUAAAGUGCAUUAAAUUAGGGAGUAUAAAUAAUUGUGUGAUACAGUCCAGCCUUUAUCUGCUUAUAAUUAGCAACCAAAAACCAUUUGCAACGCCAUUAAAAAAACAUUUUAACAUUAUUGCUGAGGGAAGAGGCAGCUUAGGCUUAUUAACUCGUAUUAUUAAUGCUGAUGACGCAGCUGGUAAUCCUUUUGGUGAAUAUAAUAAGGUAGCUGAAGCUUAUAAUUAUUUAAGCCCACUAAAGCUUAAAACUAAUUCUUCUAGUGACGAUGCUUUGCUUAGUUUGCUUUUUGUUUUUAAUUUUUUUGGGGCUAACAUUUUGCUUAUUUUGCUUUUAAAAUUCUAUUCGCGUUGCUGUGAAAUAUUGUUUGUCCUUCCAUUUUCUGUUUUUGUUGUUAUCGGAUUUGAUGAUGGUUUAUAUGUACGAAGAUUAUGUAAUAAAGUCUUUUUCUUUGGCCUUUAUUAUGCAUUUUAAUACGAAAAAAAAUUAUCCCACUCCAAUUCAUGAAGAUAUUCUCAUUUCUGUCAUAUUGAUGUGUUAAUAUAAAGAUCCAUUGCAGUUGGUGAAUUCAAAUAUUCAGUAACUGAUGAAAUUGUAUUUAUAAAUUCAUAGUAAUAGCAAUUGAAGAUUAUAAUUAAUUUUGUAAUAUGGUCAAGCCCUCGUGUGUUUAAUUAGCACUCAAAAACCACUUUACAAUAGUCAUUAAAAGAACAUUAUAACGUCAUUACUGAUGAGUUCUGGUGAAGAUAUUAAGUUAAGGCCACAAAAAUCGAAAUGUACGUGGCUUCGUUUGUUUUUUGUUUUGAUUUUUUUUGGGGGCAAAUGCUUGGCUUCGUUUUUGAUAUUUUAUUGGCUUUAUUGUGUGGCAUGUUCUUGUUUUCUUUUGAUUUUCUGUUUUUGUUUGUUAUGGGAUUUGAUGACGAUGUACAUGUACGAAGAUUAUGUAAUAAAAUGCUUUUGAUAAAUUGUGGUCGGUUUAGUAUUAAUUAACCAAAUUUAAUUUACUUGAUCAAUUGAUAUUUGUUAGUAUUGUUGUUAUACAAGCACAACAAAAGAAGAACACUAACGUACUAAUUAAUUACUAAUAAGAACAUUAACAAUUUUUGCCGAAGUCUGAUGAAGAGAAAUAUUACACAUACGUAACGGUACCGCGGAAGGAAAAAAUAAAAGAAACUGAAGUUUAUUUCAACAGCUACUCUUUCUUUACCUAAAUCCUGCACCUCUCAUACUACCAACAAGAUCGAAAACCUUAUCGAAUACUCCUACAUCCCAGACUCUGCCCAAAUCAGUGAAUCCACAUACCUCCAAUACAGUACCCCGUUGCUAAAAUAAAGCGAGCGUCUUACUCUACCUAACAUUUUUCUUUUUAUUAAUUUAAAACAGUUUUCAACUGAGAUUGGAAUUUUAAAAUUACGUACACAAACAUACCUGAUUUUAAAGAAAAAAAAUUCUAAUAAUAAAAUAUUUUACAUAUGUAACCAUACGGCGGAAGAACAAAUAUAAGAAACUGAAGUUUCAACAGCUGAGAAUGAGAUAAGCAUAAGAAAUUAAUUCAUUAAUUAAUUAAUAGAGUCCUCCUCCUUUGCUAAAUAAUGCGAGCCCAUUGUUCUUUUUAUUUCGAAAACCCAUUAAUCACCAACACAUAAUAUACGCCCAAUUUAAAAAAAAGAAACUAAUAAUAAAAUAUUUCAGUCCCUCUGUUGAGUCGUCCUCUGUGGAGUCGUCAUCAAAAACCCAUUUACUAGCUAUUUCAACAUAAGGUAAAUGGGUUAACAAGGCCCAAUAUUGUCCUCCAUCCUCUCUGCACUUCUCUUCUAUCAACGGACAAUCAUAGAUACUUAAUUUCAAAAGUGAGGAAGGCAGGCCCUUCUCCGGAAAGUAUUUGAGCUUGGGACAAUUCUUGAGAUACAAUGAAGUGAGGUUUUGAAGAUCAACAAUUGAAGAAGAUAGGCGUUCCAAAUUUGGAAAAUUGUAAAUCUCCAGAGACGUUAGAGAGGCAAGAAGAGGAAGCGCAGCCCCUAAUCUUUUGUCCUCUAGUGGAAUUGACACCAUGUCGUCAUCGCAUUCGCUGAUUUUAAAAUGUCGCAGAGAGGAGAAUCUGUGAAAUCCCCGGCCCCGCUCAAUCAUUGACUUCCAAAUCUCCAUAUUACCCCUGAUAUCAAGUGAAUGAAGGUUGGUGGGAAGGCCAUCUUCUUCAAGGCUUGGAAGCUCAACUCCUCUUCCUAUUGUUAAUUCUUGAAGAGAGGUCAGAUUGUGCAAUCCCUUGGGUAAGGCCUCUAGUCCCUUGCACCAACUGAUAUUGAACUUUAUUAGUUUCGCACAAGGCAAUCCCCCUUCGGGAAAGGACACCAGAUUUUUACAUUCCCAUAUUUCGAUCUCUUGAAGCUGGCGGAGAUUAUGUAAACCACUCGGUAAAAUCUUUAGAUUUUUACAAAAAUCAAUUCUGAUUAUUUCAAGCGAUGUGUUGUUGUCCAACCUUUCUGCUAUUGACUCCAGCUUUGAACAACUAAGAACUUCAAGGGACUUAAGAGACGGAGGUAGAUUGCCAACUUCAAGGGACUCAAGCGUGGCAGGUAACUCGUUUUUUGAAAAUAUACAUGUCAGAGAUGGACAUUCGCUAAUAUGCAAGCCCUCGAGAAGAGAUGAGGUGUACCUUCUGCUGCUGCUGCUGCUGCUACUCUGGAUGCCCUCUUCCACUGUCAAAGUCCUUAGAUUAUCACAAUUAUGGAUGUACAACAUCUUAAGGCUCGGUGGUAGCUGGACUCCAGCAAUAUAUGUCAACGAACGGCAACUCAAAAUCUCCAAGAUCUCGAGAGAUGAAUUGGUGUCGCACAUCCAUGCCUCUGGUAACAAUUUCAGUGCAUCACAAGAACUAAUAUGAAUUGUCUUCAACUUGGAAGGCAGAGCAACCUCAGGAAAGGAAACAAGGGAACUGCAUUGGUAGAUUUCUAUCUCUCUCAAGGAGCUAAGGCUGAGCGAUGAUUGUGGCAGCUUCACAAGGUCUUGGCAAUCUCUCAAUUCUAUAUAUUCGAGUCUGCAUGACAACUCGCAGAGCUGCUGUUGUUGGUCUUUCUCUUCCUCCGCCACCAAGGAUUGAAGUUUGGGACAGCUGCCAAUCGUCAAUCUUUUGAGAGAGCAAAUGUCUUGUAGUAAUCCAUCAUGACUCUUCCAUAUAUAUGUUUGCUCUUUUGUCGACAAAAUUAAUUCUUCCAAUUUCUGUAGUUGUGGUUUCAAUGGCCCCACAAGAAACACUUGAUUUGAUGCAUCUCUACAAACCACUGAAUUCUGUGAUCCGAGAUGACCAGUUGCACUUUCCCACACAACCUUUUUGCAUCCACCAAUUUCCAAUUUGCAAAGAGCUGGAAGACUCGAAACUGAAACUAACAAUUCUUCACAUCCUUCAAUAACAAGCAUCUCCAAUGCAGGAAGGUGCUCUGGAAAUGUUCCUUUCAGUUUAGAACAUUUUAAAAUGUGAAGUUCUCUCAAUUUAGGAAACCCUUCAACUCCUUGACUGGAUCCAUGAGGAAUCCAAUCUUCCCAUUCUUGCAUGUUUUCAAAAAGAAGAGUCUUCAAGCAUGGAAAUGGAAUUGGAGAAACAUUCCCAUAGAACUCUGAACCCAACCUCUUUACUCUGCUCAUUCCACAUACUACAAGAUGCUUUAAAGAGGGUAGUUGCCCGACUGACGGCAGGGCAGUACACAUGUCACAAUUUUUAAAUUUUAGGGUCACCAAAUUUGAGAAUGAGGAAUCUCCCAACCAAGUUGGAAAUUUCAUACCUCCAUAGCCUUUGAUACAAAAUUGCUCCAGAUUUGUAUGAGGUUUCAGCAUGUCAAGCAUGCCCAUUUCAGUUUCUGCCUCCCUUGAAGAAGAACCAUCGGUACUGCAAGUCCAUUUAAGCGAUAAUUCUUUCAGAUUCUUCUUUCCAUCCAUUUGAGCUACCAUGGCAUCACCAACGCAUUUUGCAUUCUCCAAUUUUGAAAUGUUAAGUGUCCCAUGAAGGUGCGUCAACAACUUUAGCUCUCGUAACCCGGAACCACUGCCUUUUCCCACAACAAAAUUACACAACGUCUGAAGACUAGUCAACCUACCAAUUCCUAGUGGCAUUUCCUCCAACGACUUCGUAUUUGAAUUCUUAAGAUGAUGCAAUUUGGCGAGGUUUCCCAUGUCUGCACACAACUUCUUCAGCCGAUCACAAUCUUCCAACAAAAGGCUAUGCAAAUUGUAAAGCUUGUUGACUGAGUCAGGCAGAGUUCUAAUCUCAGUUCCAGACAGGUUAAGGUACCUUAAAUACCUCAAAUCACCAACUGAAUCCGGUAGCUCGAAGAUGUGGUAUCCACGCAGAGAGAACGCCCUCAAGCGUUGGGGUUUGAGCAACUUAGGAAGAAUGCUAGGAGCCAAGUAGCCAGGCCCACUAUUUGUCAACAUUACUGGUAAAAAAGUUCUCAAAUGUUGGAUAUCAUACAAGUCCCCGAACCUUUGAACGCCAUCAUAAUCUCCACGAAUGUAUGAUAGGUGACGAAGAUUUCUGGAAAAACAUUGUUGCUUGUUAACCUCCGAGGUAUACUCCAGUGUGAAGUAUGUCUCCCCUGCAGCCCAACGGGCAAGGUCGUUGAUAAGAUCGUGCAUAACAAAUAGUGAUGCAUCGGUGGCCGAUUGCUGCAAAAAAGAUCUUGAACGUAGCUCCUUAAAGAAAUCACGACCUAAAUCUUCACUAGGAUUCUCAUCUUCUUUGUGAUCCAAAAAACCGGAGGCACACCAUAAUAAAAUUAUCUCCUCCUCUUCAAAUUCAUAAUCCUUUGGAAACAAUGAGCAGUAUGCAAAGCAUUGUUUCAAAGUUGGAGGAAGAUAAUAAUAGCUCACUGCAAGGGCUGGUAUAAUGCCACACCUCUUUUCUGAUAAUUCCCAUAUCUUGCUACAGAGCACACGUUCCCACUCACGUCUGUCAUGUUUUCCACGUAAAAGUCCUCCAAGUGUUUGUGCUGCCAAGGGCAAGCCAUCGCAUUUGGUCACUAUCUUCUUGCCGAUUUCCUCCAAUAACUUAUGUGACCCCAAAGAAUGUUGAGCGAAUACAGCCAGACAAUCAUUAUCUGACAACUUUUUUAAUUGAUAAGAUGGAACAGUACCCAUGAUUUCUGCAACCUCUUGAUUGCGAGUAGUGACAAUAAUUUUACUUCCUGGUGCACCAACUUCAAAUGGACGUCUGAGUUGAACCCAAUCAUCGUAAUUCCGGUUCCACACGUCAUCCAAAACAAGCAAAAAUUUCUUUCCAGACAGUUGCUUACUCAGUUCCUUUUGAAGUGAAUUCAAGCUGGGAUCACCCACGUUCUGGCUAGCAACAAUGGAUGUUAAGAUUGUUUUUGUUAGCCUCUUAACGUCGAAAUCAUCAGAGACACAAGUCCAUGCCUUGAGAUCAAAAUGAUCCUGCACUUGCUUAUCAUUGUAGACAAGCUGAGCAAGAGUGGUUUUGCCCAGCCCGCCCAUACCUAUAAUAGGAAUAACAGAGAAUCCACCAUCGUUGCUUAAAUCAUCCCUCAACAGCAGUUCAACAACAUCCUUCUUUUCUGUUUCCCUGCCAUAUACUUUGGCUUCAUCCACCAAAGAGGUUGUCUCUGGCCUUUGACUGGCUUUUUUGGAUCCCCCAGCUGAACUUUCUUUCAAAUCUAGCAAGUUUUUCUUUGUCACAAUUUCUUGAAAUCUGCUGUCGAUCUCUUUGAUUUUGGACAUCAAGUCAUAAUCGAACUGAGUCGAUUGUGGAGUAAAAAUGGUGAAGCAAGUAUGAAUGAACUUCCGAAGCUUACUUGGUCUCGUAUGACUGCUACUGGGUUGAUCAUGAGCAGCAGCUGGUUCUCCAUUUCCAAGCGGCAACCUCCUCCGGAAAGCCUCGGUUUGAAACUCAUCCAACAAGUCUUCAACAUCAUAAGCCAAGUUCUGAAGCUCGCCAAGCCACAAAUUCACAGACGGAGCCGUCCUCCUCUUCUCCUCAGCAUCAUCAAGCACUGCCUUGAUCAUCUCCAACAUAUUCGCCCACCUCAUCAGAUCGGCCUCGAUCUCCUUUUGGCGUGCAAAAAACAGAACCCCCUCUGAAGCUAACUUAUUGACCAGCAAAUCAACGGACGCCGUAAGGAUUGCCUCUCCGAUCAUUGACAUUUUUUUUUCCUUUUUUGGGGCAAAGGAAGAAAGGAGCAGAAUUAUGCGUUAUGGAAAGCAGAAUGAGAAAUUUGAACGGGUGAGAAAAUGGAUAAUUAAGCAGAAUGAGUUUGUGAUUGUGAAGGGUCUGGCCCAACAAGCUUAGUAGAAAUCACGCGUUUAUACUUUAUUGACCAAUGACUAAUAAUUUGCCAAUUCACUCAUCACCACCACUUGGUGAGCAAAAUGAAAAUGCUUAGUAAUUAAACGUGGCAAGUCUCCCCACUUGUUGUUCCUUGCAGCUAAGAAAAGAAAAAACAGAGCCGUAAUUAAUGACAGAAUUUUAAAAAUAAUAAUAAGAGAAAAACCUACACAUUUUCGACUUAGAGUGGAACCGUAAUUAAUGCUAAAAUUUACUCAGCUAAAAUUUUCAAAAUAUUGUUCUUUAUAAUUUUCAAAACCGUAAUUAAGGUUCAUCUCAAAUGUUUGAAGAGACUCUAUCAAUUCUUCUGCGCUAAGAAUAUUAAAAUUCUUAUUUUUUCUUCAAACGUUGAAUAAUGAAAAAAAAUGUUAAAUAUGGAGAAAAAUAGAAUGCAUCCAUCUUUGCUGUAGAAGUCUUCUACUUAUAAAAGCAAGUUAGAAUAAACGAUUUUAAUCUCUCUUUUUAUUCCUGUAAGUGCACUACAUUUUUUUUGUUUUAAUCUCAAUGUGAAGUCGUAUCAUAAUGUUAUGUUAAUGUUAUAUUCUUGUUGGAAAAUGAAAUUUUAGAUAAAACAAAUUCGACUCAUUUGUUGAAGGUAUAUAUUUAGUAGGUUGCUAACAUAAAGUAAAUGAACUAAAAGACAAUACUACCAGCGAUAAUUUAGCAAGUUUCGCAUGCUCGUCUUUCUUGAAAUAUUAUAUGGGAAUGGGAUCAAACAACAGUGAUACAAAGAGAAAAAUGGUAAUCCUCUGAUUGUAUUUUUUUUUUCUUUUUCAAAAGAGAUGGUGGGGUUGGGUUGUUUGCAAAGUUAUUAGUGUGGGUCUAUUUAAAAUGUUAAGAAAUUUUAUGUCCUUUUUUCAAAGUGAAUUUCCAUUUUUCAUUUCUCAUUAAGUAAAACCCACAGCAAAAUUAAAAAGAAAAAACAGAGCCCACUAUAAAUAUAAAAUCGAAGGAGCUCAUAAUUAUACCUUUGCUUUACAUACUAAAUUAAAUAAAAGCCGAACCAAGAAUCUUGCCUUUACUUAACAUGAUUAAUUAGACACUACUUCAGAGAGAAUACGAAAGCAAAGAACCCUUUUGUUAAUCUUAAAUGUUAGGAAAAUAAUUAGCUUGGAAUAAAGCUGCGUUAUUCUCCUCUUACCGUCUCUUCAGGUUCAUUUCAAAAGUUUGAAGAGAUUUUAUCAAUUCUUCUUAUAAAGGCAAGCUAAAUUAAAAGAUUUUAAUCUCUCUUCUUAUUACUAUAAGUGCACUGCUUUUUUUUUAUAAUCAACAAUGUCAAUUUGUAGUGUAAUAUUAUAUUCAUAUUCCUGUUGCGUCGAAAUAAGGUAAAAUGAAAUUUUAAAUCACACAAAUUCGACUCGUUUGUUAAAGGUAUAUAUUUAAUAAGCUAAUAACAUAAUUAACAUAACGCUAUUAUUACACUAAAUGAAAUAAAAGACGGUACCCUCCACCAAUAAUUACAUUAGCAAGCUUCGCAUGCUCGUGUUUCAGGACCUAGACAUUGGCGAAUUAAUCUAGGAUAACGAAACAAUUUCAAAAAGCAAAAUGGAUACUAUACAUUUUCUUUUUUUAAUUGUACAGAAAACGGGACUAAUUUUCAAAUAUUUUUAAAUUCACUUAUUUACAAAAGCUAUACAAAAUGAUUUCCUUUUUAUUUUUGAUGAGCAUAAUUUACAUACAUAUUUUACUAUUUAUUAUAUAAUUACUAGUUAUUUUUAUUUGUUAUUUUAAUUAAUUGAAUUAUUUUAUUUCAUAGGAAAUUAAUUGGAGAUUAUGGAUGAAAAGUGCGUAAAGAAUAACAAUUUGACAGCAUUGAAGAUCAAAUCAAUUUGCGGAAGGAAUUAAGCAAAUGUGCAAGAAAUUCUAUUCGAAGAAACCGAAGCCAAUAAAUUGAAUAUCCAUACUCGUGCAAACAAAGAAGAAGUUUAAAACUAAAGUGGGCAGCACAUUAAAAAAAGCUUUUAAUUAAGUCUUUGAAUGGAAAGUCAAAAUAGAAUAAAGGAAGGAAAUCAAUAGCUUUUGGCUUUUAUUGUUUUCAAUUACGUGGCAGGCUUAGAGCUUUAGCUUGUAAGAGUUGGUUUGGUUAUUAUCACAAUAGGAUUUGGUGGCCAAGCAAUAUAAAAGGGAGUUUUGCUUUUGAAUUAAAGGCUGGACGGAAACAAAAGGGAGGAGAAUUCGGCUUUGAACAGAGAGCAGCGGCAACGGCAAUAUUUCGGCUUCCAUGGCUGAAUUUAUUUCUUUUGUUGCUCACAAUUUAAGUAUGUCUAGCUAAUUUUCUUAUACUGAGGUUAAGGAUGAAACCCUAUUCAAUGAAAUAAUUAUCUUUUUAUUUAUUUAAUUCCCUAUAUAUGUGCUUUAAUGUUUAUGGUUUUUAUUUCACAUGAUUAAUUGGACGUUAUUAAAAUCUUUUCAUCAAUUCUGUCAUGCAUUAUUAAUUGUUAGGAUUAAUAUUCAAUUAAUUCUAUACUUGGAUCUAUAAAGUUUAUACAUGAUUAUCUUUGAUUUUAUGUCUUUCAUUAAAUUAUUUACAUAGAGUGCUUAGGAAAACUUUGACUCUUUGUUAUUUAAUAUGUUUACAUGAGAUGCUUACAUGUCAUACUAUUAAGUAGAAAAAGAACCUACAUUACAUUUAAUUUUAAUUGGGCUUAAUUGUUAUAUUUAUGAGAUGACAUAGAUUGAUUUUGAGUUGUCACUCUAAAAUUAGGGAUUCAUUAAUAUUUGGAUAAUUACAAAUUAAAUAGUGGUGGAUUCCGAAACCUUGAUAAUUUUUAUUUUAUUGAUUUCUCAUUUGCUUUAAUUGUUUUCUUAGUUUAAUAAGUUUAAUUUCUUUUAAAAAUUCAAAUUACUCAACUAAGUUAGGAUUAAUAUUAAUUUUAGAUUUAAAUUAGACUUUUCAAUUUAUAACAAUCCAUGUGGGAUUGACCUCGUUACUACUAUUCUAUUUCUAGAUUCAUGCGCUUGUAAGUAUAUUAAAACUUUCACAACAAUUUUGAAAGGAAUCAAAUAACAGUGAUACAAAGAGCGCAAAGUUGCAAUUCUCUUAUUAUAUUUUUUCUCUUUUUUAAAAGGAGAUAGUGGGGUUUGGUUGGUUGCUAAAUUAUUGGUGUGAGGGUCUAUUUGUUUUUGUUUUCACUUUAUUAAUUAUACCAAGCAAACAUGUAAUCAUUUGUAAAGGGGUCACUAGCAUUGGAUUAUGUAAGAUGAAUUCAUAAGACUUAUUAAUUUCGAUGAAAAUGUAGCGUUAUUAAGUUGUCAAUUCAUUAACUUGAGGUACUAAUAUUUACUAAUUGUGGUGAUUAAUUUAUUUAACUUGUCAUAAUUUUCAAUUGAGAAUGAAGUUCAAUCAAUGUAUGAAAAAAAUAAUUUUUUUAGAUUUUUAAUUCCUAUGAUUUAAUUUCCCCCUGUUUCGAUUAUUGACGUGUUAAAAGCUUGUAGAAUAUCAUGAAAUGCUUGUAUCUCACCUCGCAAAUUGACAAAUAUUGGUUGGUUUCUCCAAAGGCUACCAUAAUGAAUUGAAAGUAAAAACAACAACCAUUGAAAAUUAAUUUUAAAAUCAUUUUUACUUGAAAUUUUUUAAAAGAAAAAUUAAGCAAAUUAGAUUACAGAUAUCAAUCUUAAUAUUUUGUUGAUGAAAAUUAAUUAAUUUAUCUCAGUACUUUCUUAAUUUUGUGUUGUGCACCGCAUUGGUCACUUCUGAUUGUGUUGCAUAUUUGUUAAUUCAAAGAAAUAGAACUUCUUUAUCGAUCAAACUUAUUUUAUUAGUAUUCUUCAUCAUAUGGUUAAUGGCUUAGCCAAUGAAGGAGAAGGGGUCAGCCAAAACAAAUAAAGUACUUUCUCAUGCAUUAACCUUUAUUAAAAAGCUUUAUUAACUGUUGUAGUUAAAAUAAUUUUAAAACAAGUUAAAACAGUUCCAACUCAAAAUCAGUAGGCUGCAAUUGGGUUGUUACACAUAUUUCUAAAUUUCAGUCUAAUUUAAUUGUGUAUGGACAAACUAACUUUAUCACUUCUUUCAUAUUAAUACUCAUAAAUUUCAACCUUUUUUUAUGAUGAUGGACAAUCUAACUUAACAAAAAUAAUGUUCAAAUUAUCACAAAAUGUUCUUUUCUUAAAAAAGAAAAGAAAAUCAUAUAUAGUAGUUAAUUUUUCUUCUUCUGUACUCCAAGAUCCAACUCCGUACUCCACUUGUUCGUUGUUAUUAUACCCAGCCAUUAGAUUUUAAUUACGUUGAUUUAACGGUUUGGAUUCGUAAAUGAAUAACGACGUAAAGUUUGGCUACCAUCUGAACCCACCGCAUCUAAUUGGUUUUGUGAUUUUUUGCUUUCUUCACUGCAACGCUUGACUAGUUCUGGAAAUAUCGACCGCCAUCAACGGCAAAUCUGAACCAUGUAUUAUUUGCGAAUACAUUCAUUAAACUAUUAAACAUUCAGAGAAGAAAGCAAACCGUGGCAGUAUAACAAAAACUGCGAAUGGUCAUUCCCAACACGAACCCCUAUGGUUGUUUUCCUUUUAAUUUUCUUCUUUGAAUUCUCCUUUUAUUAAUCAUUAGAAAAACUCCAUUUUUUUUGUUUUAAAUCAUGUGUUAUUAACAUUUACAUGGUUAAUGUCAUCGAAAUCGAAUGGUUGUUAUCUACGAAAAGAGAAUUGCUAGAAAUUUUGUUAGUCCCAUUGCAACAAUAUAUUGUUAUAAAUUGCAUUGUUUUCCAUAUAACAAAUAUAAUAAAAUCUCAAUAAAUUAAUAGUUUUUGGGACCAUAAAAAAAUUAUUAAAAUUAAACAAAUAUCAAUUAAUCAGUAAAUUAAUAAAUUAUUAAUUUAUGAAAAUAUUCAUUAUUUUGGAAAAACAUGAUCACGCUUUUAAUAUUGAUUUACCUUGAGUUAGUAUCUAUUAGGUUUUAUUUGUCUAUUAGUUUUCUCUUGGGAAGAUUUUUUAAGAGUUAGCUGCUUUAUAUUAACAGUAAUAAAAUUAUUAUUUAACGGUUUUGUUUUUCCAUGCUAAAGACCGAUUAGUCGUCUUCUUCUCCUCAGCAUCAUCAAAACCAGGGUUUUUAACUCCUAAAACGUUUCUUUUUAGAAAUAUAUUACUUUAUUCAUCUAAUAUGUUAUCUAACAAAUAGACACAGAUGAAAUCACUCUAAAGUGAAGAUGAAAGGGGAAAAAAAACAUUCCAACCACCAAUAAUUUAGCAAGCUUCACUUUUAUUCCACCAAAGUGUAAAUAGUGCCAGCCCCCACCACCAUCAAUAAUUUAGCAAGCUUCACACGCUUGUUGUCUUCUCCUUGACGAACUGGACGUGGGUGGACCAAGAAUCAAUGAAAGAAUUUUAAAAAUAAUAAUAAAAGAAAAACAUAAACAUUUUGGACUCGGAGUAGAACCGUAAUUAAUGCUAAAAUUUACUCCGCUAACGUUUUCAAAAUAUUGUUCUUUAUAAUUGUACAGCAAAUAAGACUAAGUUUUGGACAUUUUCAUAUUCACUUACUUUCAAAAGCAGUAUUUCGAAACAUUUUACAGAAUCAAGUAACAGUUAUAUAACGAGAAAAGUGCAAAGUUGUGUAAUUCUAAUGUUUUUUUUUUUUUAUCACAGACACUCAGAUAAUUUUUUAUUUGGGUCGCCAACUCGCCAAUUAACCCAUGAUUGAAUGAGUGUUUAGAAAGAAAAUCAAUAAAAAACAGUUUUUUUUUUGGUCGUCGAAAUAUAGUAAGUGAGAAAGAUUAUUCUGUUUUUUUUGUUAAUUAGGUUAGUAAUUAUGAUUGAGUGACUCAGAACUAUAUUCUAGAUUGAGAAUCAACGGUUCUCCCACACUGAGAGGCUGUAAGUUUAAGAUUGUCGUUUGCUAUUUCAUCGACAAGAGAACACUUGAAUUUAUUAAAAGGAGAAGGCCAUAAAGAUUUUCCUUUAUGAGAAAUGUAUCUGAUCAUUCCUUUUUACUUGAAAAUUUCAUAUAUAAAAACUCAUUAAUAAAUGACAGAAUAUACAUAAAUUAUUAAUUCAUUUGAUAGUUGAUUAUCGAAGGACAUGUGACCCAUGGAAGCAUGCAGUCUAUAAAAUAAUUCUUUUUUUUUUUUAACAAAAAAUUGGUGAUGUUGAAAAGCAAAAUUAUUAUUUCUCUAAUUAGGGUGAACAUUCAUAAAAAGAAUGCCGUAUGAAACUAAAUUAUUAAUUCGUUUGACAUGUGACCCACAAUAAAUAGUUAAAUUUGGCGGCAACAAUAAUUACAAGACGAACUUAAAGCAGCGCAUAGGUUUUUCUUAAAAAUACAUAAACAAUUCGAUAUUUUUUAUUUGACAGUUUUUAAGAAAUGUCAAACAUAUAUGACAUUUUGUGAAAAACUGAGUAAUUGUGAAAUAUAAAUGAUAAUUUAUUUAAACGUCAAAUAAUUGUGACGUUUUAUCAAAUAAGUGAUAAAUAUCUUACAUAUUUAUUGAAUAAUUAUCAUUUACCUUUUCCUUUUAUUGACUCGAGCAAAAAAAACAAAAAAACUGACUAUACUGCUUUUAUUUUCGUUCUUAGAACAGAUUUUAGUUUCUUUUGAGAAAAUUCAAACUCAUUCCCAUUACUUUCUUUUCAAUAAUCACCUCUCAGUUUUUCAUCAAUCACUCAAUUCCGAAUUUCAUCUCCAUUCUCUUUUGAAGAAGAACGCACGAAGAAUUUUAGCUUGCUUUUGCUGCUUCUCGAAUAUUGGGUAUUGUUUCCUUUAAUUUAGAUAAUUGUUUUUUAUAUCUCUCUUUCUAGUUUGAUAAUUUAUGGUUAUACUUGAAUUAAUUGUAUUUUUAAUCAACCAAGGUUGAUUUAAUUGAUUCCAAGUCUCAAUUUCCUGUUCAACAAUUUUCAUACUCAAUUUUGAAAGAAUCAAUGUAUUUUAUCUUUGGUUAGUACACUUCUGUUCAAUUUUUGUUUAUUUAACUUAAGAUAUCUUUUUCUUUCUUUUCUUCAAGCAAAUUAUAGAUUAUAUUGAGAACAGAGUUUUCUCCUUAAUUCCGCCAAGAGCAACGUUGAUUUCAGGUGAUAAUUGAAUGUGUAAUAUUUUCAAUUGAAAUUAAUUGAGUCUCGUGAUAAUAAUAGGGAUUUGAGAUUUACAUCCUGUUGAAAUGAUUUUAGAGUGUUCUGUUAUUUGAAUGCGCAUUAAUUGUUUGAUUAAAUGUCUCUUUAAAAGAUUAUUUUUGUUUUUAGCAAACAUCUUAAUGCACUUUACAAAUUGAAUCCAACAAGGGAAAAUUAUAGAACUGCAGCAGUUUUCAAAUUGAUUGCAUAUUAGAAGUAAUGUUAAUUUAUGCUGCAACAGUUCAAUGGGCUGGGCACAAGUUUAGGACUUCAGUUGCUCAAUUAAUGAAUCCACCACUCAUCAGACUUGGAACUUAUAUCUAUUGAAUCAAUAAAAAUAGUUGAUGGAAUCAAUGCCGAAAGCUUCAUUUGAUAUUUAUUUAUAACAUCUGUUAGAUUCUGGACAAUCACAAAGAUAUAGUAGCAGAAACUAUGUUAGAGACACUAUAGUUGCUUAAUUAGUGAAAUUGUGCUCUCAUUGCCCCCUUUUUUUGGUUGAUUCUAUAAUUUUAUUAGUUGUUCUUGUGGUUGUAAACAAUAUCAAUUUCUAAUAUUAAUAAAACUGAAUGAAUAAAAUGCGAUGCAUUUGCAGGAAAGUUAAUAGUUUAAAUAUGGAUAAAUCUUGGAUGUUGAUGGAUAGAAGGUCUAUAGAAUAUGAGAACAUGGUAAAUGAGUUUCUCAAGUUUGCAGUACUUCAUGCUAGUCAUCUUGAGCUUUUGAGAUGUCCAUGCCAAGCAUGUCUUAGUUUAUAGGCUCAAACAAUUAACAGUAUAGAAAAUGCAUGAUAGAACACAGAACUCAUAUUUUAGCAACAAUCCUCAGCUCACUGGCCCUUAGUUCAGAAUGACAAUUCUUAUUAGCCAAAGGUUCAAAAUGAUUUUUAGUUGUUUAUAAGUAGAGAACUAGAUCAACAAAUAAUUGAAGACCUGCAGCUUGGCUAUUGAACUAUACGAUGAUGCCAAUUCGAAGACUACAACUUGGCUCUGCCAUUCGAAGUAAGCAACGCAGCUGCCCAAAGUCUGCCAAACCAAGAAAAAUAAAGACUUCUCCUUAGCAAUUAAGUUAAUAUAAGGAAUGUUGCAUGUCCACAAAACUAGGUAGACGCAACUGGGACUUCAAUAUAUAUAUAGAUAUAUAUAUAUAUAUAUAAGCAUUUCCUAGAUCAAUAUUAUUCUCAGUAACUGAAUAUUGAAGCUGACCAUCACAUUUAAUAAUAAAUCAAUAUCAGGAAUGUUGUUGAGGAGUAUUUUGAUAUUUACAAAAGUGUUCAAAGUAAAAAUUGAUUUCUUAAAACCCAUUAGCUAGCGCACAUAAUAAUGGGGAGAAAAUUUUAGACUACGAAUAGUCCCACCCAUUUAAUAAUAUUCUUCAAUCAAUUAUGUUUACUUCAAAAAAAAAAAACCAUCUCUUUAUUACUUUCUAACUAUUCAUAUUAAUGUGUUCAUAAUUAUGAAGAACCGGUGUAAUUUAUAUGAUGUAGGAAGCACAUUAGUCAAAAUCAUCAGAAUCUCAAAAUUUCGUGAUGUUGUGCCAAAUAUGCAAACCAAAGCUUCCUACAUUCUUUGUACGUUUGUGUUAGUUACAAGCAAUCACAGUGGUAAACGAAAAAAAACGAAUUAAAACACAUGAGGAGAUUUAAAUGAAAAUGUCUUAAUCAUAUAUCGCAUGUAAGACCUUUUGUACUCAAAACUGAUCAGCACCCAUUCUGCCCGCCGUGUGAUCACAUCUUGAAGGGAGUGUUGCUUCAGCAUUUUUAUCAUUUUUACUAUUUCUAGGAUCCAUUUUGUCACCUCCCUCCCUCCCCCCGGUUUCUAAAAUAAUUAUAUAAUAACCAUAUAAUUAUUGGUUGUUCUAGCAAAUAAAAAAAAUAUAUAUAUAUAUAUAUAUAUUAAUCUUUUAAUAACAUUAUCACUUUGUCAAAAUAAAAAAUCUCCUCAUUAAAUAAUUAUAUUAUAUAUAUUCAUUUAUUUAUCCAAAUAAAAAAGUAUGAAGUCAAAUAGUACACAAUAAUUUAACUAAUUUGAAUUGGUUUAUUUUUAAUGAAACAAAUAACAUUCCUAAAUGCUUCUCUUGAUCCUUAAUUUAUUGAUAAUUUUGUCAAUUUAAGGUCGGCUAUAUAUUGAUUAAAUUACAAGCUUAGACUAUCGAAAGCUGGUUACAGUUAUGGAGGCAGGAAAAAUUUUAUUGUACCAGAAAUUUUUUCUACAACAGUCCAUGCAAAGUAAACAUUUGUAAGGAAAUUGGAGAAUAAUUACAAAGCCAACUAAAUUUUAUGAGAAUCAAUUUGGAGUUUUUGUUAAUCGCCAUUUUGCGUUCAUACAAAGCAAGUGUAGAUACCGGCACAAUAAGCUAAAUGCAAAAUCCAAUGUAGGACAGUGGGGUUGGGACAACGAAAUGGGGAAAUGGGAAUCUAGGUAAUUGCACUGAACCUUAAACUGAGAGUACGGGCACUUAAAAUUUUUAAAGUGUCUAAUAAGUUUCAGCUAAAAAGGAAAUAGGCUGUAAAAUUGCUAAAUUCAUUUUGAUUUCUAAAUUCAUAAAUAACCUUAAAAGUUCUCUGAUACAACUUGUCAAUAAUGGUGAAAAUUCAAUUUCAGAAUGACAAUUCUUAUUAGUGAAAGAAUCAAAAUGAUUUUUAGUUGUUUAUAAAUAGAUCACUAGAUCAACAAAUAAUUGAAGACUGGCUUGGCUAUUGAACCAUACGCGGCAAUUCGAAGACUGAAACUUAACUCUGCCGUUCGAAGUAAGCAACUCAGGUGCCCAAAGGCUGUCAAGCCAUCAAGACAAUACGAAGAUACAACAUCAAUAAUAAUUACAUAUUACACCUACCCCAAUAAGAAAUUAGUUAAUACAGUCCUAGAAAGAAAUUUACAAACCCAUGCUGUAGGAAUAAUUAAUUAAUUUAUACAGUUCGGUACUCAUUCCUCUUCUGUUUCAAAUCCAUAUCCACUGCUCUGCCAUUUAUUACUACGCAAGGUAUAUGGGUUAGCAAGUGCCGACAUUGUCCUCCAUUCUUUAUGUGCCUUUCUUCUAUCAAGGGACAACCCAAGAUCUCUAAUCGCAAGAAAAAUAUUUCAAAGUAAAAAGUGAUUUCUUAAAAUCUAUUAGCUAGUGCACAUAAUAAAAGGCCAUUCAUGGUAAAUUUUAGAUUACAAGUAGUCCCAAUAAUAUUCUGCAAUCAAUUCCGUUUAUUUUAAAAUAAAAGAAAUCCAUCUCUUUAUUACUUUCUAAUUAGUCAUAUUAAUGUGUUAAUAAUUGUGAAGAACCAGCGUAAUUUAUAUGAUGUAGGAAACCCGUUAGGCAAAAUAACCUGAAUUUUUUAAAGUAGGGGCUAGACAUAUUGGGCAUAACCUCAGUUUCUGUUACUUCUUUGACCCUGCCUAAGCUCUUUUAUGGGCUAAUAUCAAAAUUUCGUGAUAUUGUGCCUAAAGAGCUUCCAAUUCAAGGAGCUCCCCUGUUUUUGACUGAAACAUAUGUAAUCCGAAAAAUUUAUAAUUAGAUAAAUCAUUCAAAAUCUCCCUGAAUCUAACCCACAUUUCUAUGGUUUAAUAACAUAUCACAAAGGUGCCUAAUAUAAUGAAAUUAGCACUAGUUCACGAGAUUGCCAUUAUAUAUUACAAGUCUUUUUAUGAUGUAGAUUAGAAGGGAAAAUACGAAGGACAUAUUAUAUAUUAUAUAUGAUUGAAUUUAAUCCAUGAUAAUUAGACAAAAUAACACUAAUCUAGCUAACUAAUCCACCCAUCAUAAUAAUUUGAUUUUCAUUAUUUUAUUGUGUCCAAUCAUGCUAAUUUAAUAAAAAAAAUACAGAACACUUGAGGAUUUAGAUAUUCAACAACUUUGGCCAAGUUUGAAAAAGAUUAGAGCUUCCUUCAUGCUUUGUGUUCUUAUGUUACACAUGAUCAUAUUAUGUUACAUUUGACAGAAAACUGAAAAUUAUUGAAAAAAAAAAAUCUUAGUUAGCACAUGAUCAAAAUGAGAGAUUAAUGCACACACAUCACAACAAUGUUUCAUUCAUUUUGAAUCUAUAUUUACAAAACUUGUAUCCGAUGGUUUACAUUUGUUUAAUCUAACUGCUAUGACAUGUGUACUGUCAAAACGCUACAGCUGCCAUCUCUGUUUGUCCUUGUUGCAUCCUUGAUCUUAUAUUAUCCUGGAGAUUAUUGAAUGUUCUUCUCAUUCUCAUGUGCUCGAGGGUCCUUUCUUGAGACAUUUCAGCAAACACCUGAUUCAUCCUAUUAAACAUUAGCAUCAUUAAUCAGUAAAUGAUGUAAGGUAGCCCUGUUUCGUGAAGUCAACAUAAAUCAGUCACCUUAGAUUUUCUGAGUCUCAGAGCACAAUGGGUGAUGAUUUGAUGAGAAAUAUUAAUAUGCCUUCAUCCCCUGAAUUAGCUAGAGCUGGUUGUCAUUUUCUUCUUUCUUUUGGUACGGUUUUAGAUUUUUAAUCAAUCAGAUUCAGCUGCAUGUUUGCUUUUAGUCCAAACCAAAAUAAGAUAUUAAGUACUUUUGCCAGAAUAGACGCAACCAAAAUUCUAUGGGAUCUGUAGUUCCUAGUUCAUGCAGAAGCGACCGAAUGCUUCCUGCAACUCAGGCAGAUAGAACCUUGGUUGAUUCGUUUUUCUUCAUCUGAAAUUCUACCUAAUGCCUAUCCUCUUAAUUGGUUUAAAUUCUUCUUUUUUUUCUUUGAAUUGUUGAUUUAUAAUGUCUUGUAUGCAACAUUUAUAAUUUCGGAUGAUGAUAAUCUUGUUUAAGAAGAGAUUUCUAGUUACGGCAGCAGCGUUCUUGAUCAUGGCAUCACAAGCACGUGCUCUGGUUUGCUUAGUUUCCUUUUUGUCUCUGAUAUUUUCUUGGCAUUGUGGGAUAUUGUUUCUCUUUUGAUUUUCUGUUUUUGUUUGCUUAGUUUCCUUUUUAUGUCUGAUAUUUUCUUGGCAUUCUUGUUCUCUCUUAUAAUAAAGUGCUUUUGAUAAAUUCGCCUGGUCGGUUUACUUCACUAACCAUUAAUGAGCAAAUCCUCCCAGUGACUCUCAAACUCUUCUACACAAUUAUAAUAAUUUCAGUUUUACAUAUACAAAAAUGAACAGCUCUCAAACAUAUCAUUUGAUAAUGACAAAAACAAUAAUUCACUCCAAUAAAUCUCAUAAUAAAUACAUGAUCUACAUUGCAAGUCUUUUUAGGACGCAUUCAAAGAGAAAACAUAAGGAAUGGCAAUGCAAGAAUAUGGAAUCAGAAUAACAGUGAUACAAAGAGAAAAAAAAAGGGGAUGGUCGGGUUGGGUUGCUUGCAAAAUUAUUGGUGCGGGGGUCUACUUGUUUUUGUGUCACUUUAUUAAUUAAUUACCGAAGCAAACACGUCAUCAUUUGAAAAAGAAUCACUAGCACCAGCUUAUGAAAAAUAAAUUUGUAAGACAUAUUAAUUUGAAAAUAUUUUGGAAUUUCAGUCUAAGUUGAUUUGUCUAAUUAUGUAUGCACAAACUAGCUUGACCACUUCUUUCAUAUUGAUACCUAUAAAUUGCAACCUUAUUUUACGUUGAUGCACAAUCUAACUUAACAAAAAAAAUAUUCAAAUUGUCACAAAAUAUUUUCUUCUUAAUAUAUAUAUAUAUAUAUAUACAUACACACAGUAGUUAAUUUUCCUUAUUCUUCACUCCAGGAUCCAGCUGCAUACCCCUCUUUUUUGUCGUUAUGUUGCUCAACCGUUAGAUUUUAAUAACGUUAAUCUAACGGUUGAGAUUUGUAAAUGAAUAAUGAAGUGGUGUUUGGCUACUAUCUGAAAAUAUCGGCAGCCAUCGACGGCGAAUCUGAACAAAGGCAACAGGAGGUGAUCGUGGUGAAAUUGUUUUUUGGCAUGCGAAUCUAACGACUUUCAAAUACGUUCAUUCAAAUAUUAAAUGCAAUUCAGGCAAAUAGAAACUUGGUUGAUUGAUUGCUUUUCAUGUGAAAUUCUACCUAAGGGCUAUCCUUUUAAUGGUUUGUACUGUCUUAUAUGCAAAUUAAAUUCGGAAUUCGGGUGAUAAUAAUCUUGAUUUAGAACAGAUUAGGUAACAUGUGGCAUUCUACAUUCUUGCAAUGCCAUUUCUUUUUAUGGCAGCACCAUUUUUUAUCAUUGUUUGUGUGGACCUAUUUGCUGAAUUCAAAACUUGGCGUGUUAAAACGGCAUCGUUUUGUCCAUUAAGAUGUUUCAAGUUGUCCCCGGCUGGACAUAUGACUCACUUAAUGAUACCAAAACGGCGAGGCAUGAAGGUGUUUCGGCUAAGGGCUUAAGUUCUGCAUGUGACAAGCACGUGAGAGAAGAAUCAAGUUAGUUAUAAGUUGUUAUACACGUGGCUGGAUCUGGUGCAAUCUGGGGUAAUGAACAGCCGUUAUAUAAGCUGAGCUUUCAGGCAGUUUCAGCAAGAUGUAAAGAGCUUCUAGAGAGAAUGAAGAGAGAGAAAAUGUAUCAUCUUAUUCCUUGUUAGUUUCUCCGUGUGAGCUCUGUAAAAUACUUUGAUUCAUAAAUAAAACUCAUUUUAGUCGAUUCUCCCUUGGAUGUAUGUUCUGCCUCAUUGCACAGCCGAACCACGUAAACAGUGCUGGUUUCUUUUUUUUUCAUUUGUGUCUAUCACUAAAAAGCAGAGCACUUGCUUGAUUGAAUAAUGUCAUAUUACAUCACAUAAACUCUCUCAAUUAUUGAAAAAGAAAAUCGUAAAAGAGAUGUGUUGAAUUGAUAACUGAAAAAAUCUUAAAAAAUCUUCAAAGUUUUCAAUUAUUGAUAACUGAAAAUUAUUGAAAAAAAAAAUCUUAAAAGAGAUGUGUUGAAUUGUGAAAUUAAAACUGAGUUUCAGACAUUUCUGACAUGUCGGUUUAUAUUCUUGAUUGUGCAUGCCCUGUCGGUUGCUUGAUGAAACAGGAGAAUAUUGACAUCUGUGUAUUAUCGUUUACUUCCUGCAAUUAAAUCACAUGUUGUUCACGUGAUUCCAUUUGCUCUAUGCGGCACAUUUGGCAGUCGUUUAGGUCACUUACUGAAGCACGGGUUAAGUACUUGAUUCAAGGUUGUUAACUGACCUUUACAAGGCGGGAAAAACAAACCCGGAAUGCAGCUAGUGAGUGGGGGACUUUUCUAGACUCUUCAUGAUAUGUAUAUAUAGUCUUAGAGGCUAUAGUUGAGACAUAUGAAAAGCUUGUAACUUCUUCUUAAUGUUUGUAGUUUGAUCUCGGUGAUGGAGAUAAGAUUGCUGCCCUGUUCUCCAGGCCGAACCACUUAAAAUGUGCCUCUGUUUUGCUUGAUGACUACCAGUGGUGAGAAAACAGCUACAGAACAAAUCAAGCUUGAUGACUCAAAUAUUAGGGAAGCCAUAGUCAAGGCAUCUGGUUUAUGCAUCAACAGUGGUUCGUGGACUAGAAUUCUUAGCUAUUGCCGCUUCACAAUUGCACUGGAAGAAAGCGAAUUUGAUCGAGCUUUGGAUCGCAUAGCUAAAUUCAAAAGCAUCGUACAAAUAGUUAACUCAAAAACGGUAUUGUCAUUUGUCAUGAUUUAUUUCUAUUGCCUGAUGAUGAUACCCAUCACGCCUUAGUUGUCGUGAAUAAAUCUAAAAUCAAAUUGAACUGGCUUUUACUGGUUAGCAACAUUUGUGACGUUUUGAGAUUAUAAUAUAUGACAACACUGAUUAGUGUUGUCUCCCAUGUGAAUUGAGACAAAAAUUAUUUUCCCAAUUGCGCUUUCAUUUGAACAAUUCCACUGUAGAUUUAUAAAAUAAUGAUCAAAUUGUGUUUUAUAUUAAGUUACGAGUAAUUGGUUAAAUAUUAAUACAAAACUAUUUUAAGUAACAUGUGGCAUAUUCUAAUUCUAGCCAAGCUUCCAACUAAGAUUCCCAAAUCAAAAGAAUUUCAAUCUUCAGAACAUUCUGCAAAACGUUUAGUUUCUACGCAGUGCUAGAAUUUUCCCUAAGUUUCUAUCGCAAAGACUUCUAAAGAACUAUUCAGAUAUCGAGCUAUAAUCCAGUCUAAAGUGUAUAUAUCCCUCUAAUUCACCUCCCUCCAUUUCACCAGAAAAUCAACAAACACUUAGCUUCAAACAAACACUCUAAAAAAGCUAGCUAGCUAUUCAGAUGGCAAAACCAAGAAUUCUUGCAAUGACAAUGUUGUUUCUUGUUAUGGCAGCAACAUUGAUGAACAUGGCAUCGCAAGCAAACGCUCUGAUGUCGUACACACAAUCACCUUUCAGGGUUCUUGAACAAACCCCUUUAACAAUCGCAAAACGAGCUGAUCAUCAUCAAACUCUAGCCCCGGCGAGAACAGACUAGAUGGAGACACCAACAGCCCACGUGAUCACGCUCGACAUUCCAGGGAUGAAGAAAGAUAAUGUAAAGAUUGAAGUUGAAGAGAACAGAGUACUGAGAGUGAGUGGGGAGAGGAAGAGUAAUGAUUAUUACAAGGAGGGAGUUGAAGGAGAGAAAUGGCACAGAGCUGAGAGGACAUUUGGCAAGUUUUGGAGGCAGUUUAGGAUGCAUAUGAGUGCUGACUUGGAUCAUAUUAAGGCUCACAUGGAAAAUGGGAUUCUGAGGGUCACAGUGCCAACGCUUGCUGAGGAGAAGAAGAGGCAGCCUAAGGUUAUUAACAUUGAUGAAGAGUCUGGUAAUUCUUCCAAUGAAGAUAUUAAGGCUACCAAGGCUCAAAUGUAAUUGAUUAAAGAAAGAAGUGAUUGCUUUGCUUGAUGUGCUAUUUGUUUAUGAUCUUUUCUUGGUUUUGUUGUGAGAUGUUUCUAUUUGGAUGCUCUAUUUAAUGUAUUUUGAUGGGUUUUUGAGGAAGGCUUGUAUGUAUUGACAACAAUAAAGUGCUUUUUAUAAAUCCUAGUCCUCCAACACUAAAAGAAAUUAAUACGCUUGGUUUAUAGUUAAUAAAAAUAUAUAUAUUUUUAAAAAAAGUCUUUUUCUUUGGCAUAUAGUAUGCGUUUUGAGGGAAAAAAAAUUAUCCCACUCCUAAUUCGUCCUCUUCUGCGAUAUUAAUGUGUUAACACGAAGAUUCAUUGUAAUUGCAACAAUUUUGACGAAUCCAAACGUUCAAUAACUGUUAAAUUGUAUUUAUAAAUACUAAUAGCGAAGGUACAGAAACGAUUAAUUCACGAAGUUGCUUAAAGUGCAUUAAAUUAGAGAGUAUAAAUAAUUGUGUGAUACAGUCCAGCCUUCAUCUGCUUAUAAUUAGCAACCAAAAACCACUUUGCAACACCAUUAAAAAAACAUUUUAACAUUAUUGCUGAGGGAAGAGGCAGCUUAGGCUUAUUAACUCGUAUUAUUAAUGCUGAUGACGCAGCUGGUAAUCCUUUUGGUGAAUAUAUUAAGGCAGCUGAAGCUUAAAAUUAAUUAAGCCCACUAAAGCUUAAAACUAAUUCUUCUGGUGACGAUACUUUGCUUAGUUCGCUUUUUGUUUUUAAUUUUUUUGGGGCUAACGUUUUGCUUAUUUUGCUUUUAAAAUUCUAUUCGCGUUGCUGUGGAAUAUUGUUUCUCCUUCGAUUUUCUGUUUUUGUUGUUAUCGGAUUUGAUGAUGGUUUAUAUGUACGAAGAUUAUGUAAUAAAGUGCUUUUGUAAAAAUACUAAGGUAAUAUACAUUACACAUUUGUACUCAAUAAGAAAUCAAUUCAUUAAUAUAAGCAUUAAUACCCCUGGUUUAUUGUUAAUGAAAAUUAAAAAAGAAAAAAAAAAGUCUUUUUCUUUGGCCUUUAUUAUGGAUUUUAAGAGGAAAAAAAUUUAUCCCACUCCAAUUCAUGAAGAUAUUCUCUUUUCUGUCAUAAAGAUCCAUUGCAGUUGGUGAAUUCAAAUAUUCAGUAACUGAUGAAAUUGUAUUUAUAAAUUCAUACUAAUAGCAAUUGAAGAUUAUAAUUAAUUUUGUAAUAUGAUCUAGCCCUCGUGUGUUUAAUUAGCACUCAAAAACCACUUUACAUAAAUGAGGUUUCAACAGCUGAGAAAGAGAUAGCCAUUAUACAUUACACAUUUGCACUUAAUAAGAAAUCAAUUCAUUAAUAUAGCCAUUAAUACGCCUGGUUUAUUGUUAAUGAAAAUUAAAAGAGAAAAAAAAAGGUCUUUUUCUUUGGCCUUUAUUAUGCAUUUUAAGAGGAAAAAAAUUUAUCCCACUCCAAUUCAUGAAGAUAUUCUCGUUUCUGUCAUAUUGAUGUGUUAAUAUGAAGAUCCAUUGCAGUUGGUGAAUUCAAAUAUUCAGUAACUGAUGAAAUGGUAUUUAUUUAUAAAUUCAUACUAAUAGCGAUUGAAGAUUAUAAUUAAUUUUGUAAUAUGGUCAAGCCCUCGUGUGUUUAAUUAGCACUCAAAAACCGCAUUACAAUAGGCAUUAAAAGAACAUUAUAACGUCAUUGCUGAUGAGUUCUGGUGAAGAUAUUAAGUUAAGGCCACAAAAAUCGAAAUGUACGUAGCUUCGUUUGUUUUUUGUUUUUGAUUUUUUUUGGGGGGCAAAUGCUUGGCUUCGUUUGCUUUUUCGUUUUUGAUAUUUUAUUGGCUUUAUUGUGUGGCAUGUUCUUGUUUUCUUUUGAUUUUCUGUUUUGGUUGUUAUGGGAUUUGAUGACGAUGUACAUGUACAAAGAUUAUGUAAUAAAAUGCUUUUGAUAAAUUGUGGAACAAAAGAAGAACACUAACGAACUAAUUAAUUACUAAUAAGAACAUUAACAAUUUUUGCCGAAGUCUGAUGAAGAGAAAUAUUACACAUAAGUAACGGUACCGCGGAAGGAAAAAAUAAAAGAAACUAAAGUUUAUUUCAACAGCUAAGAAUGAAAUAGGCAUAAGAAAUUAACCCAUCAAUUAAUUAAUUAAUACAGUCCCCUGCUACUAAAUAAUGCGAGCCCCUUACUGUACUUAACAUUUUUCUUUUUAAUAAUUUAAAACAGUUUUCAACUGAGAUUUGAAUUUUAAAACUACAUACACAAAUACACCUGAUUUUAAAGAAAAAAAAUUUCUAAUAAUAAAAUAUUUUACAUAUAUAACCAUAUGGCGAAAAAAUAAAUAUAAGAAACUGAAGUUUCAACAACUGAGAAUGAGAUAGGCAUAAGAAAUUAAUUCAUUAAUUAAUUAAUAGAGUCCUCCUUUGCUAAGCUAAAUAAUGCGAGCCCAUUGUUCUUUUUAUUUCGAAAACCCAUUAAUCACCAACACAUAAUACACGCCCAACUUUUUUUUUAAAAAAAACCUAAUAAUAAAAUAUUUCAGUCGUCCUCUGUUGAGUCGUCCUCUGUUGAGUCGUCAUAAAAAACCCAUUUACCAGCUAUGACAGCAAGAGGAAUAUGGGUUAACAAGUCCCAAUAUUGUCCUCCAUCCUUUCUGCACUUCUUUUCUAUCAACGGACAAUCCACGAUUCUUAAUUGCAAAAGUGAGGAAGGCAGGCCCUUCUCCGGAAAGUAUUUGAGCUUGGGACAAUGAUAGAGACCCAAGUGAGUGAGGUUUUGAAGAUCAACAAUUGAAGAAGAUAGGCGUUCCAGAUUUGGAAAAUUGUAAAUCCACAGAGAUGUUAGAGAGGCAGGAAGAGGAAGCGCGGUCCCUAAUCUUUUGUCCUCUAGUGGAAAUGACACCAUGUCGUCAUCGCAUCCUAUGAUUUCAAGAUGUCGCAGACAGGAGAAUCUGUGAAAUCCCCGGCCCCGCUCAAUCAUUGACUUCCAAAUCUCCAUAUUACCCUCAAUCCAAAGUGAAUGAAGGUUGAUGGGAAGGCCAUCUUCUUCUUCAAGGCUUGGAAGCUCACCUCCUUUUCCUAUUGUUAAUUGUUGAAGAGAGGUCAGAUUGUGCAAUCCCUUGGGUAAGGCCUCUAGUCUCUUACAAUCAAGUAUCGUCAGCCUCGUGAGUUUCGCACAAGGGAAUGCCCCUUGGGGAAAGGACACUAGAUUUCCACAAUACGCUAUGCUAAUCUCUUGAAGCUGGCGGAGAUUAUGUAAACCACUCGGUAAAAUUUUCAGAUUUCCACAAUUAGAAAUGUCGAUUGUUUCAAGAGAUGUGUUGUUGUCCAACCUUUCUGCUAUUGACUCCAGCUUUGAACAUCCGCGAACAGAAAGGGACUUAAGAGACGGAGGUAGAUUGCCAACUUCAAGGGACUCAAGCGUGGCAGGUAACUCAUUUUUUGAAAAUAUACAUGUCAGUGAUGGACAGCUGUUAAUACGCAACUGCUCAAGAAGAGAUGAGGUGUACCUUCUAUUGCUGCUGCUGCUGCUACACUGGAUGCCCUCUUCCACUGUCAAAGUCCUUAUAUUACUGCAAUUGUUAAUCACCAACUGCUUAAGGCUCGGUGGUAGCUGGACUCCAGCAAUAUAUGUCAACGAAUGGCAAAAGCAAAUCUCCAAGAUCUCGAGAGAUGAAUUGGUGUCGCACAUCCAUGCCUCUGGUAAUGAUUUCAGUGCAUCACAUUCCCUAAUCUCAAUUGUCUUCAACUUGGAAGGCAGAGCAACCUCAGGAAAGGAAACAAGGGAACUGCACUUGUAGAUUUCUAUCUCUCUCAAGGAACUGAGACUGAGAGAUGAUUGUGGCAGCUUCACAAGGCCUUCGCAAUAUCUCAAUCUUAGAUAUUCGAGUCUGCAUGACAACUCGCAGAGCUGCUGUUGUUGGCCUUUCUCUUCCUCCGCCACCAAGGAUUGAAGUUUGGGACACCGUCUAAUCGUCAGUCUUCUGAGAGAGCAAAUGUCUUGCAGUAAUUCGUUAUGACUCUUCCAUAUAUAUGUCUGCUCUUUCAUUUCAUUUAUCUUCAAUUCUUCCAAUUUUGGUAGUCGCGGCUUUAAUGGCCCUGCGAGAAACACUUGAUUUGAUCUAUCUCUACAAACCACUGAAUUCUGUGAGCCGAGAUGAUCAGUUGCACUUCUCCACACAACCUUUUUACAUCCACCACUCUGUAAUUUGCAAAGAGCUGGAAGACUCGAAACUGAAACUGACAAUUCUUCACAUCCUUUAAUAACAAGCUUCUCCAAUGCAGGAAGGCGUUCUGGAAAUGUUCCUUGCAGCUUAGAACAUCUUAAAAUGUGAAGCUCUCUCAAUUUAGGAAACCGUUCAACUCCCUGACUGGAUCCAUGAGGAAUCCAGUCUUCCCAUCCUUGCAUGUCUUCAAAAUGAAGAGUCUCCAAGCAUGGAAAAGGAAUUGGAGUAUCAUUCCCAUAGAACUCUGAACCCAACCUCUUUACACUAGUCAUUCCACAUACUGCAAGAUGCUUUAGAGAGGGUAGUUGCCCGACUGACGGCAGGGUAGGACACAUGCCACAAUAUUCAAAUUUUAAGGUCACCAACUUUGAGAAUGAGGAAUCUCCGAACCAAGUUGGAAAUUUUGCACCUCUAUAGCCGCUGAUACAAAAUUGUUCCAAAUUUUUAUUGGGUUCUAGCAUGUCAAGCACGUCCUUUUCAAUUUCCGCCUCCCUUGAAGACGAGCCAUCGGUACUGAGUGUCCAUCGAAGCAAUAAUUCUCUAAGAUUCUUCUUUCCAUCCAAUUGAGCCUCCUUUGCAUCACCAACGUCUUUUACAUUCUCCAAUUUUGAAAUGUUAAGUGUCCCAUGAAGGUGCGUCAACAACUUUAGCUCUCGUAACCCGGAACCACUGCCUUUUC
This 98489-nucleotide long non-coding RNA is filed under the name Citrus x clementina. Its description in RNAcentral is "Citrus clementina (C. clementina) long non-coding RNA (CCLE_LNC002249)". Lineage: Eukaryota; Viridiplantae; Streptophyta; Magnoliopsida; Sapindales; Rutaceae. The record is from RNAcentral.